RNAcentral lists this long non-coding RNA (107179 nucleotides) under Phaseolus vulgaris (common bean). Its description in RNAcentral is "long non-coding RNA (PVUL_LNC004841)". The record is from RNAcentral. Lineage: Eukaryota; Viridiplantae; Streptophyta; Magnoliopsida; Fabales; Fabaceae.
AGAGCACGCUUUGAGCCACUAACACAAAAUCCAAUUAACCGUACCACAUUUUGAUGAUGUAUUCUUCCAAUGGUUGCAACUUCACUGAUAAAAUCUUGUCCAUUUCCUUUGGAUUUGCCUAACAUUUUGAUGGCCACAGAAGGUCCACUAAGUAACUUUGCCUUAAAGACAAAGCCAAAUCCUCCUUCACCUAACUUCUCUUUGAAACCUGCAGCCAUCUUCUUGACUUCUUUGUAUGAGUAUCUAAUAGGUGCCAAACUAUUUUGUUCAAGGUAAUUUUCAAUAUUUUCAUACAUUGACAUGUGUCUUUUUCUCCAUUUACAUAUAAAAAUAACAAUUAAGAAUGGCAAUCCAAACAAAACUUUGUAAGUCCAUACCAUAAAGAUAAUACAAAUGACAUAUCCUGUAGAAAUAAUUUACUUGAGUGAUUAUACUGAUACUGUAAAAUGCAACAAAAUAUUUAUUAAUGUAAAUUUUCGUUCAAAAAUGCAAACUUUACACAUCCAUUUACUUAGUAAAAUUUCAAUAAAUAAAUAAAUUUAAUGUCUAGCAUAAACAAUAAACCCUAAACCCUAAACAAUUAUCAACAGACACUAACACGAACACUGAUACGACAUGAAAAUACGUAUAAUAUAUAAAAUGUAGGACAAAGGGACACAAAUCUAUAUAUUAUAUAAUUAUGUAUUAUAUAAAUUGACAAUAAAAAUUUAUGUGCAUAAGUAUGUUCCAGAUUAUUUUUUGAAGCAGAAAAAUGUUUUUCAUAACUGGUUCAAAAGAAUUUGUUUCUUAUUUUUAUAAUCAUAAUAAAAAUUUAUACAAUAAGUUUGAGAUUUUAGAAAAUUAAUGUAUUUUUAAAAAAAAUUGUGUUAGAACCGUACUAGAAUUGUGAGAAAUCCAACAAAUACUUUUUGAAUUGGAUACUUCACAGAUACGUGUCCUACAAGUUUCAUACGAGUGUCGGUAUCCGAUAUGAGUAUUCGACAUCAACACGCCAUUUAAGAGAAGUGUCUAAGCUUCAUAGCGUUGUUGUCUAUAAGUAAAUUGUGUGGAACAUUAAUGUGUCCUAAGACCUAAUUCAAUGAUGCUUGUAAAAUACAAACAUAUUUUUAAAAUAAAAUUCUUUAUAAACUUUUAAAUUCAUUGUGUUACUCUAUAACCUCUUUAACGUAUUAAAAUCACAAUUUUUUAAGUUAUUAACAUUUUAUAUCGGUUAUAAACCUUUAUCUCUAUAACCAGACAAAAAGACUUGCAUUUGAAGUUUUGAUAAAGGUUCUGUUCGAGUAGUAUAAGUCACAGUGUACUCUCUUUUAUCCCUAUAUUCAUUGUUUAAUGAGGAAAUUGUGAUAAUAUUUACAACAAAAUUUUACUUGAGUGAAUAAGCAUCACUGUAAAGAGUCAUUCGAUUACACCCUAAACUUUACAGGACUACUUUUAUUUGUUUUAUAUUAUUUAAAUUGGCUAUAUUAUGUUACGAAAUCAUUUGUUAAAGUUAUACACCUAAAUAUAAUUAAUCUACAUUGAUUACAUUUUACGUAGGCGUAUUUUCGUUAAUAAAUUAAUAUUAACAAUCGAACCCAUGUAAUGAUGUUUUAUUAUAUAAUUAAUUAAUUUAAAACUACAUACAUUUACAGGUAUAAAAAAUUAUGUACAACCAAGUAUGCUACUAAAUAAGGACGUCAUAAAGUAUCAAAACUAAUUCUUAUUACUAUUAUGCUAAAUCAAGUCAUUUACUAUUAUUGAAAAAAUGUGGUGACUCUUUUAUAAAUAAGCGUAACUUUAUAACGAUGAAUGGUUGUAUAAAAAUUGUAAUAAAAUAUGUUUGUAUUAAGACUAUUAUGUUUGUAAUAAAAAUUCUUAUUACUAUUAUGCUAAAUAUGUUUGUAUUAAAUAACAAUGGUUACAACAUAUAGUUAUCAUCAUAUGUCUAUUAAUAUACUCAAAUCGUGUCAAUGCAAAUCGUUCCAUUUUGCAAUGUGCUUCUAAUGUUUUCUUCUUUUCCAUUGUGUUGCUCUCAUCAUCUAUACUCCUUCGUAUUUGUGCUAGUAAGAAAAUUUUAUUUUUAUAUCUAGUACAUUGACCUUAAAUAUGUUAAGUUUUUCUCAUGUACGAAUGAUAUGAUAGAGAUGAAUGACGCCUAGAGGUAGGGAACAAAAGGAAAACGAGACAUCUCAUAUUUCUCCACACAUUUUUCAGUAAACUUUAGCAAGUAUGAUAUGUGGAAAAUCAUCCAAAGUUGGAAAAGAGUUAGUGAAGUGUUCAUAUCUAGGAAACUAAAUGGUAGAGGACAAAUAUUUGACUUUGUGAGAUUCAAAGAGGUUGUGAAUGAAGUAGAAUUGGAAAAACGACUAGGUGAAGUCUCGAUAGGAAAUAUGAAAAGUCACAUAAACCAAAAUACAAGAGUUUUGAAAAUCACACAAACAACUAGAAAAAACAUGAAGGGAUGAACAUGGAGAAAAAGUCGAGAGAACAACAAAGUGGGUUUAGGGCAAUCUUGUUAGGAAGGAUAAAGAGGCGAAUUCUUUGCCCAUUUUUUGUAAGUUGUGGAGGUGUAAGGCAGUACCCUCUGCAGCGCUUAUAGCCUGGAGGUUGAUGGAAAACAAGCUCGCUACUAGGGUAAAUCUGAGUAGAAGAGGGGUAUUGGUGGAUAGCUCGACAUGUAGUUUGUGUGGGAAGGAGGAAGAAUCUUGCAGACAUUUUUUCUUCGAUUGCAACUUUGCUUGGCGAGUUUGGUAUAGAUGGCUUGGGGUUCUGGUCGUGUCCCACAUUGAGCCGAAGCUUAACUUUGAUCAAUUUAGGAUGAGCUUUGCUUCAGAGACAGUUAAUAUCGUAUGGAACACAAUAUGGGUUGGGGUGGUUAGAGAAAUAUGGAAUCUCAGGAAUAACAUAAUUUUCAAAAGAGGAAUGGCAGAUGCGUUUGAAGUUUUUUCUAUGGUGCAAGUAAAGGUUUGGUCUUGGGUCUAUAUAAAUUUUAGGUCAGCUUCGUUUUCCUUUUCUGAUUGGUGUUUAGAACCUAUGGUGUUCAUGAGGUUAAUCACUUGAGUUUGUUAGAUGUAGCAAGGGCAAGGUAUGUUUUAGUUAGUUCUGGAGGUUUUAGGCAGGAAUCGGUGUUUGGGUAUGUAUAAGGGUUGAACCACCCCUGAAGUGGUUCCUAUUUAUUUAUUUAUUAUUGCUGAUAAAAAAACAACAACAAAGUGGGUGAAGAAGGAGCAAUACUUUACUUAUGUACAAGCGAUAAAAUGUUACACUAAAAAGGAAGGUAAAAAGAUACAAUGGAAAAUACAGCUCCAAGUGUAAGAGGAGGAAAAGAUGUAGAUGAACAAAAGUUUUGAAGGGAAAUACAUGGUGUGAGUAAGAUGAAUAUACUAAAUGAAAACUUUAUCUUUGCUGAGCUAGAUUCAUCAUAAUAAGAUAUUUAGGAGAUAAUCAAAUGAAUGAUUUUCAAACACAUUUGAGUAUCCUUAGUCAUCUCAAACAAUGUCAGGAAACAAGAUGGAAUAGGUGAGGUGUAGAGACAUACCAUACCACUAUCCUUAUCGGGUAUCAAAUUUCAAACAAAAUGCCAGUCGUGGGGGUGGAAAGAUCUAUUUAAAUUAUGUGGUGAAGGAGUUACGGUGGGAUGGUUCCAAAAAGCAAUAGGAUGGAAAUUUGGAGUAGGGGACAAAGUUAGAUUUUGGGACGAUAAAUUGGGUUCAUAAUAAUAAUCUUAAAUUUGUAUACCCCAGGCUAUAAUCAAUAUCUUUGGAUCAUGGCUUAGAGGUGGGAGAGGUAGGCGUGUGGGAAGAAUUAGAUUGGCAAUGGAAACUAAGCUGGAGAUGUAAUAGGUUUGAAUGGGAACUAUUGCAUAACAAGAAGAAUUGUUAAGGACAUUAUCUUGUAAAAAACUGAAUAGGGAGGUGAAGGAAACAAAAGUUUGGGAGGGUGACGACUUCUCAGUCAAAUCUGCUUACGAAUGCAUAACAAAUGACGUCAAAGGUAGUAGCAAUGCUACAUUUAAAUAUCUAUGGAUGUCUAAAGCGCUCCCAAGCGUGCUAACUACAACGUGAAGGGCUUUAUUGGAUAGAUUGCCAACAAGAGUGAAUUUAAAUAGGAGAGACGUAGUGGUAAAUAACUUAUUUGUGUUUUGUGUCAAGAUUGGGCAGAAUCGACUCAAUACUUACUUUUGAAAUGUAAGAUUGCAUAUCAGGUAUGGAACUACUAUUUCAAAUGGAUUGGACUUUUGUUCGUCCAACAUAAGGAGUUGAAAUGCCACAUUGAGAGUUUCCAUUUGGUACAUGUAAGUCUAAAGCAAAAUCUUGUGUGAAAAGGUCUUUGAACGGCUAUAUAGUAUGGAUAAUUUUGGACCAUAGGAAUAAACUUUUCUGUCAUGAGUAGAUAAGACUAAGAGGAAUAAGGUGUUGCGUGAAGAACUAUUAGAACAAUGAUUUUUUUUGGUUUGGUGGUUCAUUAAGCACAAAUCUUUCAAAGUGAAGGAAAAAAUUCCUUGAGGUGAAGCAGAUUGGUGCAGCAAAAUUAGACUGCUUUUGAUGCUGCUCUACUUAUAAAUAGCUAGGUAAUAAGCAGUAGGAAUAUAUAAAUAUACUUAUAUCUAGAUAGAGAUAAUACAAUAGAUUUUGGUGUAAUUUUGGUUUGUAAGGUCUAUAACUUAUUGUACUUUGUAUAAGAGGUAGAAUAUUUUUGAAAUGAUUCAUUUUAAUUCAUUUUAUUUUUUUCUGUCAAAAAAAGAAAUUAAGAUGAUAAAAUCUGACCUGGUAUACUGAAUUCCAGUGAUUCAUAAAAUGAUGACCCUGAAAUGAAGGAAAAAAAUAUCAACUUUAGAAUACUGGUAAUCUCAACAGUUAUUCCACAUAAAGUUAUUAAAGCUAAAAUUUUAUUCCCCUAAAUAAACAAAAUUAUUUAUAUCAAUUUGCAUAAACUAAAAUUGGCAGUUAUACUGAUAAAACUACUCAAUAUAUAUAUAAGUUUCUCAUUUAAAAUAAGAAAUGUAAUCAUAUCUUAAUAUUUGGUUUAGGAUCACUCACGGCAUUGAAGCUUCUGGUUAGAAGAGUCCAAAUAGCAAUAUCUAUCGGAAAGUGAACAAUGUUUGUGACAGGCAAGUUUUAUCCAUGAUAUCUCAAAUCCAUAGGCGAGUGCAGUGUGCAUGGAAGAGUAGGAAUGGUAAUCGAAAGUGGAGAGAGAAGUGGGAGCAACAAGCUUUACCUCACACCCAACUUCUAAGUCCUCUGCUUUUAGGUCUCCACCAAUUGCAUAUGCAUACCCCUUCCCCUCCCAUUUCACCCACUCUCCACUCUCCACAUACUUCCCUUUCUCUCUCACCCAAUCCUUACAAUUCACAAACACUAUAUGCGAGAAACUCAGAGAUUCCCAAUUUACAGAGGCUCUUAGACCGGCUUGGUAUGAAUCCGUGUAGUAAGCGUAAGUGUCAGAGAAAUUGGAGCGAGAGAGGGAACGGAGAGGAAGGGAGGAGAGAUUAUGGUGUUGAAGAGCAGGAUCAACCACUCUCACUGUGUAGUUAUUGUAGUUUAUUGACUGCACAUGAUAUUUUGCAGAGUACAGAUACAACACCGUAACGUUAUUCUCACAACCAAGUUCAUACCUUUCCUCACCACACUUUUCUGGGUCGCCUUUUAAUCGAAAUGGAUAACUGAUGUUGCUGAUUUUACCACAGGAAGAAGGGGGACAAACGUGUUCUAGGUCGUCCUUGGUAGCAGAAAUAUGGUGGAGUAGAAGUAGCAGUACCACCAACACUGCUCUCUCUCUCCACAUCAUGUCUAAACUGUUUCUCACUGAAUUCAAGUGCAAACAAAUCCAAGUUAGAUAUUUAUAUUUAAACAUCACAUACUGGAAUAUAUAGCUAUAAAGGACCACAUUUUUUUUUUUUGAAGAGUUAUGAUACUUAAAACGUAGACUUUGACUCAGAAACCGCGUUUCUAUCUGGUUUCCGCAACUAAUUUUAAUCAAUACAAGCUUAUAUUUUGAAAAAUAAUUUUAAUGACUUUAGAAUUUGAGUCCCAAAAUAAUGUUUGUUUGGUUAAGAAACUUCAACAUGUGAUUGGUACAUAUAUUAUUUUGGUUGAAUUUUUCCCCGAAAAUGGCCUCAUAUAUAUGUUUCUUUGUGUUAAUUUCUUGAACAUAAUCUUCUUGGACAUGGAGCAAGAAAGAGUGCUACCAAGUGUGGUGGCAGAACGAAGCACUAACAAUUUUCUGUAAGUGUAAAAGGUAACGGACAGAGAAAAACAUAUGGAAGCAAUUCCGAACAGGCCUUAUUUAAUAAAUUUGUUUUCAUAAUUAAACAAUUAAACAGAUUUAUAAUACCAUUUUAAUAAAUCUAUUUUCAUAUUACAAAAAUUAAAUACUACACAAAGUUAUACAUCAAAUUGAAAAAUAGAACAAAGUUAAUGUUGGUUUAAAAGUACACCAAGGUACAUACACAAAAUAUUUUUAAAUAUGAUAACAUUGUAUUAGAUUAUUACAAUCAUUUUCCUUAAUCAGUUUUGUUUUCACCACUUCAUUCAGUGAUGAAACAUCACUUCACAUAAGGUGCCAACAUCUCGUACUUAAAAUAGAUAAAAACUAAUUUCAGAUUAUUCAUUUUCAAUUUUUAUAACUAUAAAAUAAAGGAAGACACUAAAAAUAAAGAUUUUAGUAUACUAAGUUAUAACCCAUUCCAAUAAACAUAAUUUUAGGUUAUUUGAAAAACCUUUCUUUAACAUCAUUAGAAGUUUUAGAUGUACUAUAAACUAGAGAGUUAUAAAAAUAAAGAAAUGUAUUUUUCUAUUAAAAAUAACAAUUAAAUAUAAUUAUUUUUGAAUUUCUUUAAAGUUUAUAUUAAAAAAAUUACAAUUACUACUACAACUAAUUUAUUUUAUAGUUAUCCUUAUUUAAUGGGAUGUUUUUUCUUACUCUUGAAAGAAAUAAAAUAAUGUAUAUAUUUGUUUAAAAUCGAAAUUCAGUUAACAUUUGAUAAAAUAAUAGAAAAGUGAAUGAAAUCUAUAUUACAUAAAUAUGAAAAGUUAUACAUUUUAUUUGAAUUUUGAUAAUAAUAUUGACUUUGAAGCCAGUGCAUUUUAAUUUAGUAUAAUGAUAUUGACUUGAAUUUUCAGAGUUUGGAAAAUCUCUUAGUGAAUGGUUUAUCCCAUAUUCAUCACCCUGAUCAAUUGUGUGAGACUUGCAUUUUUGGAAAGAAUCAUAAGAUACAUUUUGUUAAGGAGCCUUGGCGUGCGAAAUUUCCUUUGCAGCUUGUUCAUACAGAUGUUUGUGGCCCGAUGAACAUAUCAUCAAUUGGAUGUAAUAAGUAUUUUUUAACCUUUAUUGAUGAUUUUUCAAGGAAAACCUGGAUUUAUCUAUUGAAAAGCAAGGAUGAGGAGGUAUUCCACUGCUUUAAAAUAUUUAAAGAAUUUGUUGAAAGACAGAGUGACAGACUAAUUAAGAUGGUGCGUAGUGAUGGAGGAGGUGAGUACAAGUCUAAUGAGUUCAAGAGGCACUGUGAAGAACUUGGGUUGCAGCAUAACAUAAUUUGUCCCUACACACCUCAACACAACGGAGAUGCCGAGAGAAAAAAUAGAACAAUCAUGGACAUGGUGAGGAACAUGUUUAAAGCGAAUGGUAUGCCAAAUUAUUUUUAGGCUGAGGCCGUAACAUGUGCGGUAUAUUUGAUAAACAGAUCACCCACUUGGAGUGUUCCUAACAACUAUGAUUGAAGCAUGAAGCGGAUUCAAACCCAAUGUGCAACACUUGAAGGUAUUUGGGUCAAUUAAUUAUGCUCAUGUCCCCAAAGCAGCAAGAUCGAAGUUGGAUGAUAAGACAGUGAAUACCAUUUUCAUUGGAUAUAAGCUUGGAGGAUACAAACUAGACAGUCCAAUUACAAAGAAGGUGAUUGUCAGUCAUGAUGUUACAUUUGUCGAAGAUAAGGAAUGACAAUGGAAUGCAACAACUGAAAUGGAUUCGAAAAAACGAUAUAUUUACGUUUUGAACGAUGAUGUAGAAGAUCAAGUCACUCUUGAAGCAUCUGCAGUUCAACCUGAAGCUGUAUUCAACCUAAAGUUGCAGCUCCAAUUGUAACUAUGAUGGAGCGACCAAAAAGGCAACAACGACAACCUGUACACCUUCAAGAUUGCGAAGUAAAUCUUGAGGAUGAAGUUUAUGACAAUGGAUAUUUGGUUCACUUUGCUUUUCUUGUAGAUUCAGAACCCGUGAGACUUGCAGAUGCCAUUCAACAUCCCAAAUGGCAAGAGGCUAUGAAUGAAGAAUUGAUGGCGAUUGAGAAAAAAAAAUACAUGGCAACUCACUGAUCUUCCAAAAGGACACAAGGCAAUUGAUGUGAAGUGGGUGUACAAGAUUAAAGUGAAAGCAAAUGGUGAGAUUGAUAGAUACAAGGCAAGGUUGGUGGCAAAGGAAUCCGAGCAAAGAGAAGGCUAUGAUUACGAAGAAAUAUUUUCUCUUGUAGCUCGAAUGGAAACAAUGAUAUUAAUCAUUGCUUUAGUUGCACAAAGGCAAUGGAAAAUUCACCAAAUGGACGUCAAGUUUGCGUUUCUAAAUGACCCACUUGAUGAAGAGGUUUAUGUAAAGCAACCGUCGGGUUUCAUACAAUCUGGAAAAGAGGAGAAGGUGUACAAACUAACUAAGACUUUAUAUGGUCUUAAACAGGCACCAAGAGCUUGGAACAAAAGGAUUGAUUCAUUUUUUCAUGCCACUGGAUUCAAAAAAAUGUACAUCAGAUCAUGGUCUUUAUGUAAAGACUAAUGAUUAUGGAGAUUUGCUAAUUUUAUGUCUUUAUGUUAAUGAUGUGAUUUUUACAGGAAGUAAUCUCAAAAUGAUUGGUGACUUCAAGCAUAUCAUGAUGAAGGAAUUUGAGAUGACUGAUCUUGGUCUUAUGUCCUACUUUUUUGUCAUUGAAGUCAUCCAAAGAGACGAUGGAAUCUUCAUUCAUCAGAGGAAAUUUGCUGCUAAGUUUUUAAAGAAGUUUAGGAUGGAGGAUUCAAACUCAGUUAAGACUCCAAUUGAAAUUGGAAUUAAGCUUACGAAGGAAGGUAAUGGGCAAACUGUAGAUGCAACAUACUUUAAGUAGAUUGUUGGGAGUCUUAGAUAUCUCACGUGUACUAAACCCGACAUAUGUUAUGAUGUGGGAUUGGUCAGUCGAUACAUGGAGUCACAUCGACAAGUUCAUUUACAAGUUAUAAAGAGAAUUAUGCACUACAUCAAAGGUAGUACAACUUUUGGUUUAUUUUACUCUUCAUCUAAGAAGAUUGAGAUCGUCAGAUACUCAGACAGUGAUUGGGGUGGAGAUUCAGACGAGAGGAAGAGCACUAGUGGUCAUUGUUUUAUGAUCGAAAAGACUGUUUGCUUGUGGUCAUCAAAUAAACAGUCAAUUGUUGCAUUAUCUACUUGUGAAGUUGAGUAUGUAGCAGCAACAACAAGUGUUUGUCAAUAAGUUUGGUUCAACAAUAUCAUGACUCAAAUUUUGGUUUUAAUCUAGAUGUUCCAAUCAAGAUUUAGGUUGGCAAUGUCUCUGCAAUUAAUCUCGCAAAGAAUCUGGUAUUUCAUCAAAGAAGUAAACACAUUGAUAUUCGAUAUCACUUCCUACGAGACCAAAAGUUGGGAAGAACAUGAUCAAAUCGGAAUACUGUUAGUAUUCCUAUUUUAUAACUUCUAGUAUUUGUAAUUUUAUUAUAUAUAUAUAUUAUUGAAGUAAAUCAAAAUGAAUGUAUGAGUUCGACAAUUUUGCAAUUUCGCACAAUUACAUCAUCAAUUUAUACAAUCUUUUGCCUUCUGUUAUUUCCUUCAAUUAGUUUCUACAAAUUUGACAAUCAAACAUAUCAUUAUAACCUAGGUUAACAUAAAUUUAUCUUUCACCAAAAGAUGUUACAUGUCGAACAUAUAAAUAUUUUUAUCUAAACAACAAAAAAUUAAAAACUAAAUAUUGAACUAAAAAACAUAAUUCAUUGACAUGAAAAUUUUGAUAAAGUAGGAUUGACCUAAUUUUUAUCUUUUCCUACUUUAAUGUAAACUUUAUGAUGUUGUAGUUUACACUAUAUGAAAUAGAAAAGAUAAAUAAUCAUCUAAAAAUUUAGAGGAAAAAGUUGAGAAAAAUUGAUUUGCGUAGGUGAGACUCAUGAUACAUUAUCCAUUCAAUUCAAAAAAAAUUAUUCUUUUACAUUCCAUAAGUCAACACAAAUAUAUAUAUAUAUUUUUUAAUAUCUCGGUAAAGUGGGUUUGGCUUACGUAAUGUUUUUCCUCCCCUUAGCGCUAACUUUACUGUGUUCCAUCAUCAGUGGACAUCAAUAUGUGACAAUUAAUUCUUUUUUUUUUCUUAUAGUGGUUAAAUUAGAAUUAUUGACUAUAAUAACAUCCCAUUUAGGUCGAGGAAAUUUUGAAAACUAAAUUCAUGUUUGCAAUAUGAAAUAUUAGAAAAAUAAUAAAUUACGAUGCUUAAAAACAUUUAUUUUGUAUUUAAUCAAUUGUUAAUCAUAUAAAUUAUCAACUAUUAAUGAAAUAUUUAGAAGUGAUAAAUAAUAAUUUUGUAAACAUAUUUAUAUAUUUGUUUAAAAUAUAAAUUGUUUGAGUGUGAAUGAUGAUGUUUGCAAGUAUUAUAUAUAUUUUAAGAAAUAUUUAGAAAUGUGACAAUAUAAAAUUAAAAAUUAAUAACAAAAUAUAUUAAAAAUUACAAUGUAAAAAAUUUAAGUUAAAACUUAAUAUCCGCGAAAAGAGUUUUUUUUAAAAAAAAAAAUUAAAUAUAAUCAUCGCGUGUUUUAUCGACAACGCGUGUAAUCAUUACUUUUGUUUAAUUACAUGCACGGAGGUUUUCUUUUUGCUGCAGCAGUAUUGUGGAUCUGUAAAUGAAGAAACAAUCGUAUUUUUUAUGAUGAAGUAUGGAAGAUCCGUGAAGUUUUGUGAAAAAAAUCCAUUUACUACAAGAUGAUUUUGUUAUGGCACUAAAGGAUAUAAAGGACUUUGCAUGGAUACCUAGAUGGAAACCACCAGUUCUGGGAAAAUGAAAAUAAAGGUAGAUGGAAGCUGAGUAACUAAAUAUUGUGACAAGGAAGUCUAUAGGGAUCAAAUAUCUACGUAGGUCUUUGGCUUUUCUUCUUAUAAUACAUCGAAAGCAAAUUUUUUGGCCAUUUUGCAUACAAUUUAUGCAACUAUUUUAGAAUAUAAUAACAUGUCCUUAUAUCCAUAGUUCAUUACAAAAUACAAAAUAAUAUAAACAAGUGAAACAUCAUGGACAACCAAGUCUUUAGAAUAAGAAGAUGGAUGGCAAAUAACUAGGCUUGUGCAUCGUGGAAUAAUAUAUAUUUACAAGUAAAUAAUUUCAACAUUAAAUAUAUCUAGUAAGAGUUGAUUGUUUGAUACUCUGACACUAUUUCAUCUUCUGGAAAUAAAAUAGGUUUUGGAGGUAUUUCCAACUCUUCAAUAUCUCCUUCAAGCAUUUUCACUACUUUAUUCAUUGAGGGUCGAUCAUUUGGUUUUAGUUGUAUACACCAGAGUGCAACUAUGAUCAUCUUCUUUGCUAUUUUAUUUUCUUCUUCUGUCACAUUUUCGACAUCUACAUCUUCCCCUUCCCUAAUAUGAUCAUAGAUCCAAAGGGGAAAGUAAAUUUGACUUGAGUGGUCUGCAUGAGGAUUUAGAUUCUUCCUCUUACUUGCCAUUUCCAUCAACAACAUUCCAAAGCUAUAAACAUCAGCCUUAUGGGAUAUUCCUCCAAUAUUUUUAUAAAACAAUUCUGGAGCCAUAUAUCCAAUAGUUCCUCUUGUUGCAGUCAUUGUGACGAUGUUAUUAUCUAUUGGAUAUAACUUCGCCAAUCCAAAGUCAGAAACCUUAGGGAUGAAGUUUUCAUCUAGUAAGAUGUUAUGGGGUUUGAUGUCAAAAUGCAAAAUCUGCAUCUCACACCCAUGGUGGAGAUAAGCAAUCCCACAAGCCACUCCAAUUGAUAUAUUAUAUAUCCUUUCAUAGCUUAAAUGUAUAUUUAUUUCUUUUGAGAAAAUAAAUUUAUCAAGAGAACCAUUGGGCAUGAAUUCAUAGACAAGAGCACGUUUUGAGCCACUAACACAAAAUCCAAUUAAUCGUACCACGUUUUGAUGAUGUAUUCUUCCAAUGGUUGCAACUUCACUGAUAAAAUCUUGUCCAUUUCCUUUGAAUUUGCCUAACAUUUUGAUAGCCACUGAAGGCCCACUGCGCAACUUUGCUUUAAAGACUGAGCCAAAUCCUCCUUCACCUAACUUCUCUUUGAAACCUGCAGCCAUGUUCUUGAUUUCCUUGUAUGAAUAUCUAAUAGGUGCCAAACUAUUUUGUUGAAGAUAAUUUUCAAUAUUUUCAUAUAUUGACAUAUGUCUUUUUCUCCAUUUACAUAUAAAAAUAACAAUUAAGAAUGGUAAUCCAAACACAACUUUGUAAAUCCAUAUAUAUGCGACAUCUCCUGCAAUAAAAUUUUACUUUAAUGAUAACCCUUAUAGUAUAAAAUGCAAAAAGGUAUUUGUUAAAGUAAAUUCCCGUUCAUAAAAUCCUAAGUUUACAUAUCCAUUUACUUAGUAACAUUACAAAAAAAGUAAAUUUAAUAUUUAGCAAUAAACGAUUAUCAAUAAACUUCAUUUUUUAUGUUACUCUCUAUAAAUAAAUUUUUCUGUAACAUUAAUGUGUCCUAAGACCUAAUUCAGUAAAGAUUGUAAAAAAUAAAAAAAAAACAGAUUUUUAAAUAAUUUAUUAGUUUCUAUAAACUUUUAAAAUUCAAUCCGUGUCCCUCUUAACAUUUUUAACGUAUUGAAAAUCACAAUAUUUUAUCUUUAAUGUAAUUAACAUUUAUUAUCGGUUAUUAACCUUUAUUUAUACCACUUUAAUUAAAAUUUUGAUUUUUUAAAUUAGAUGAAGAAAAUAUAAGAAAAUUUUUAGAUAAAUUAAAACUGAAUUUUAAAAGAAGUGGAGUACAUAAUUAGAGUAGAGAUAAAUUAAGAUAAUAAAAUAUCAAUUUCAGAGUGUGUUGACAAAAAAGACUGUGAGAUAAUAAAGGUUGUGUUGGAUUAGUAUAAAUGACGUGGAAGAUGAUAAUGUGACUGUAAGAAGAAAUGGACUAAUGGUUGUCCAAAUUAAAAACUAAAUUUAUUAUAAUUUUGUUUCAUGUGGAUUGUCUAGUUUAUGGUUGCGUUCUCUAAUGAUGAAAUAGAGACAACAAAACAUCUGUUUUGUAGAAUGUAAAAUUAUUACUUUAUUAAUGCAAAAGUAAAUUAAGAGGCAAAAGUUCUUACUUGUUACAACCACUAUUAGUUGAGCCAGUAUUCCUGUAUCACCCAAACACGAAGGAAAAUAUAAAUUUCAGAACUGUUAAUCUCAACAACUAUACCAACAAGGCUAUUAUAUGCAUGACGUUUUUUUACAAGCAGCUUAUAUGCAUCAGUUAUAACUAAUACAGGUAAAAUAUACAAAGAAAUGAAUUAUUACUCAUCUAAAUAUUGAUUGAAUAUAGAAGGGUGAAUCAUAAAUAUAAAAAUAUUUGUUUGACAUUUGGAUUAGGAUUACUCACCAUUUCCGCAUUUAAGCUUCUGAUUAUAAGAGUCGAAAUAGCAAACAGUAUAGAGAAAUGAACAAUGUUUCCAACAGACUAGUUGUAUCCAUGAAAUCUCAAAUCCAUAGGCGAGUGCGGUGUGAAUGGAAGAGUAGGAAUGGUAAUCGAAAGUGGAGAGAGAAGUGGGAGCAACAAGCUUUACCUCACACCCAACUUCUAAGUCCUCUGCUUUUAGGUCUCCACCAAUUGCAUAUGCAUACCCCUUCCCCUCCCACUUCACCCACUCUCCACUCUCCACAUACUUCCCUUUCUCUCUCACCCAAUCCUUACAAUUCACAAACACUAUAUGCGAGAAACUCAGAGAUUCAAAAUUCUCAAAGGCUUUUAGACCGGCUUGGUAUGGAUCCGACUGGUAAAAGUAUUUGUGAGUGUAAGUGUCAGAGAAAUUGGAGCGAGAGAGGAAACGGAGAGGAAGGGAGGAGAGAUUAUGGUGUUGAAGAGCAGGAUCAACCACUCUCACUGUGUACUUCUUGUAGUUUAUUGACUGCACAUGAUAUUGUGCAGAGUACAGAUACAACACCGUAACAUUAUUCUCACAACCAAGCUCAUACCUUUUCUCACCACACUUUUCUGGGUCGCCUUUUAAUCGAAAAGGGUGAUUGAUGUUGGUGAUUUUACCACAGGAAGAAGGGGGGCAGCCACCAUGGAUUUUGUGGACUAGAAGUAGCAGUACCACCAUGAAUGCUCUCUCUCUCCACAUCAUGUCCAAACUGUUUCUCAAUAAAUUCAAGUGAAAACAAAUCCAAGUUAGAUAUUUAUAUUUAACACAACACACACUGAACUAUAUUUAUAAUAUGAAGGACCACGUUACUUAAAACGUGGUCUUUGACUCGGAAAUCACGUUUCUACAUGGUUAUAAAUAUUCGUGAAAUGCAUGAAUUCUGAUUUAGAUAUUCUUGUAGUAGUUUUGUUAACGAGGUUCUUUGAAUUUCUAAGACCACCCUAAAUUGUUCUUUUUGGAAGCUUAUAUAAUAUGCUUUCGAAAAAUAAUUUUAAUGAUAUUCAUUGUUUAUUUAUAUGUUUAUCUGUUGUAAUCUUGAGUGUGUGCAUCUCAUAUUCUGUUUUCCAGAAAUUCUUGUUUUCUUCUUUUGUUUUUUGCUCUUACAAGUUGUGCUUUUGUUUCAUUAAUCCGUGUGACUAUGCGUGUGUCAUGAAUUACCAUUUUUAAUAUGCUAGCAGAGUAGGUUGAAUGACCUGCUUUGCCUCCAGUGUUGUUUCUGUUCUUUUUCUUUCUUGCUGAAUAAUUGUUUUCUCUUGUGGGCUAUUUUCUUCUUGUUGUCUUUUUCAUGUAUUUUUCUGAAACAUAAUACAGAAAGCAAGGUUUUGUUACGAAUCUUUGCAAUAAUCCCGCAAGCUCAUAACACUUGCAUCUUGGAGAAAAUUCUAGAACUGCGUUUAUCUCUCCUCAACUCAAUAGAGAAAAUUCCUUCGCAUAAAGGGAAAUUUGUGGUAUUAAGGUUACACCUCUCCUAGUUAAGUUAGAUCUUGUUGGUAGUUAUCCCACCAAAACCCUCCAAGAAAAGGUUUGAGCAUUCUGGAGUGCUCUGACAUGCUAAAAAAAAUUGAAUAAAGUAUUGUUAGCACUCCCAUAGGUAUUUUUUUAACAUAGCACAUGACUUGAAAUAGAGAAUAACCUAGGGAAUGUUUGUUUAAGAGUCCCCUCUCUUAACCAUCCGUUCAAUAAGUGAUUGAUAGAUGUUAUUUAUUGACUUAUUUUUCUAAAUAUCCUUUGUGGUGUUACAGGUAAGUUCCGAUAUUAAGCCUUUAAGGCUCGGUCUGAGGAUUAGUGAAUUGUGUGGCGUUAUAGGUAAGUUUCGAUAUUAAGCCUCUAAGACUCGGUCUGAGACUAGUGGGAUGUAUGGCAUUAUAGGUAGGUUAUGACCUAUAUAACGAUAAUUUGGAUUGGAUGAGAGUGAAUCCUAGAAAAAUUCAUACGAUGAUAUAUUUAAUAGAAGAAUCCCAUUAAUGUCUCCUAAACGUUUAAGACAGUUUAAGGCAAGAAUAAAGUGUUAUAAAGGUAAUUUUGUCAUUUAAUAGUGAAUAAAAACUUAAAGUAGGAACAAAUACGAGGAUCAAUAUAGCAUAAAAAAUGAUAUACAAGGUGAGAAAAAGGCGGAACAAAAAUUAGGGUGAAUUGUUUUCACAAUAUUUUCGCAAUAGUGGAGUCAACUUGAAAUUUGAAUAAAAUCAACUAAUUGAUUUAUCUGUUUAACUAAUUAUAAAAAGCACAACAAGUAUAUAUUAAAAAAUUAAACUACUUGUUAUGAGAAUUCAACCAAUUGAUUUAAAUGCAAAAAGUAGAAAGUUAUUGAUAAAAUAGAUAUCAGAGUAAGAGAGAGAUUGCACUUGAGAUUUACAUUGGUUCACUCUUGUUUAUUAAUUCAGAUUUUAUUAUCGUUAAAUUAUUUACUGUUAUUAUUGCAUUAAUUAUUCCUAUUUUAUAGUUUCUAGUAUUUGUAAUUUUAUUAUAUAUAUUAUUGAAGUAAAUCAAAAUACAGAUAUCAAUUACAACAACAGUUUUGCAAUUUCUAACAUUUUAUUUUCUAUUAUUUCCUUUAAUUACUUUCUACAACUGGUAUCAGAGCCAUUUUGUUACCAUGAACUCUACCCAAUUAUAUGUCCCUAUCCUUGAUGGAAAAAAUUUCAAUCGGUGGUGUGUGCAGAUGAGAGUUUUGUUUGAUUAUCAUGAGAUGAGUUAUGAGAUUCAACUGAGGCACAACGAGUAGCGCAUCGUGACCAGAAGAAGGAUAAGAAGGUUUUGUAUCUCAUCCAUCAAGGGAUGAAUGACGAGACGUUUGAGCAUAUAGAAGGAGCAACAACUGCAAGUGGAGUUUGGAUCAUUUUGUCAACCAAUUAUAAAAGUGAUGACAAAAACAAUAGGGUGCGUCUUCAAACCUUAAGACGACGCCAAUAUGAACUGCUGCAGAUGGAAACCACAAAGACUAUUGAUGUCUAUAUAAAUAAAGUUCUUGCAUUGACAAAUAAGAUGAAGACCAAUGGUGAAACACAUUCGGAGCAGGCAAAGGUGAAGAAGAUUUUGAGGUUUUUAACUCCCAGAUUUGAACAUGUUGUUGCCGCAAUUGAAGAGGCCAAUGACAUUUCAACAAUGACAGUAAAGUUAUUGUCUAGUUCCCUACGAGUGCAUGAGCAGCGGAUGAAUGACAAUAAGAUUGAAAAACCAAUUGAAUAAGCAAUUGGUAGCUCCUAUCAUAAACACAGUAGUUCACGAGGCAGAGAACAGAGACGUGGUGGUAGGUAUUCCAGCAAAGGUCGUGGUGGCCAGAAUCAUGAAGGCGCUGAGCAAAACAACACCAGUUCCAAUCACAAUCCAAGUUCAAAUAACUCUUGGCGCGGAGGACGUGGUCGUGGAGGACGAGGAGGCAUGUAUAAUAGAUCAAAUGUGGAGUGUUAUAACUGCCAUAAACGUGUCCAUUAUGCAAAUGAGUGCAGAUCAAAAGGUGAUAAUCAUGCUGCCAAUUGUGCUCAAGAAAAUAGUAAUCAUGAACAAGAUGAAGAGGAUCAUGCAGUACUAAUGAAAUCUCAAAUCCAUAGGCGAGUGCAGUGUGCAAGGAAGUGUAGGAAUGGUAAUCGAAAGUGGAGAGAGAAGUGAGAGCAACAAGCUUUACCUCACACCCAACUUCCAAGUCCUCAACUUUAAGGUCUCCACUAAUUGCAUAUGCAUAACCCUUCCCCUCCCACUUCACCUAUCUCCACUCUCCACUAUCCACACACUUCUCUUUCUCUCCCACUGAUUGGUUAUAGUUCACAAACGCUAUAUGCUCAACAUUAAACUCAAAAAUAACAUCAAUUUUAUUUAGAAAUUUGAAUGUUCAAUAAUUAUUAGCUUUAAUCAUAGUUUUAAAUAUAAUUAAUUUUGUGACUUUAAAUGUAAUUUAUAGUAUAGCUUUGAUGAGAGAGAAUCUAGAAUUUGAAAAGUCUAUUGCAAGACUAUUUACAGAGACGGUAUUCUUAUCUGAAAAGUAGCAUUGAAAUAAAAGUUUUAUUCUUGGUUAACAAAUUGGUAUGAGAGUUAUGGCCAGUAUAACCAAUAAUAUGUCCCUUCCUCAAUUAACAAAGAUGGUCAAUUAUGACAAUUGGAGCAUCCAAAUGAAAGCCCUUAUGGGAUCUCAAGAUUUUUUGGAGGUAGUUCAACAAGGUUUUGAAGAACCAGAAAAUACCACUGGUUACUCGGCGACCCAAAACAAAGUAUUGAAAGAGACAUAAUCGGAAGAUAAGGCAGCUUUGUACAUGUUGUAUAGAGUCGUUGAUGAGGCAAUCUUUGAGAAGAUUGUUGGUGCAUCCACUUCAAAUGAAACAUGGAACAUCUUGGAAAAGGUGUUCAAGGGUGCAAUCUGAGUUAAACAAAUGCGUUUUCAAACUUUACGAGGUGAGUUGGAGGCCAUAAAGAUGAAGGAUUCGGAAGAUGUAUCUAGUUACAUCACUUGUGUGCAAAUAGUAGCCAAUCAACUAAAACACAAUGGAGAGACUCUCUCGGAUACAAGAGUUGUGGAGAAAAUUCUUCGGUCAUUGACCAAUGACUUUGAAAUCGUUGUAUGUGCAAUUGAAGGAGUCAAGAAAUUUGGAAGAGAUGACCAUUGAUGAUCUCACGGGUUCUCUUGAGGCACAUGAACAACGAAAGAAGAAAAAUAAGCAAGAAGUCUUGGAGGAAGCCUUACAAACAAAGAUGACCAUAAAAGAAAACAAGACGAUGUACGCACAACAUAACCGAGGAAGAGGACAUGGACGCGGACGUCGUGGUCAUGGAAACAACAAUGAAGAAAGGGGACAAAUGAACCAACAAAAUUGGCGUGGACGAGGUCGUGAUCGUGGUGGUCAUUCAUAUCGUUCAAAUGUUGAAUGUUACAUGCAAGAAAUAUGGACACUAUGCAAAUGAGUGUUAUGCCAAGAAAAAAGUGGAAGAAAGUGCAAAUUUAGUGGAGGAAGAUGAGACAAAAGAGGAAGGAAUUCUCAUGAUGGCCAAUGAAGGCGUCAUUCUGGAUAGUGACAUGGUAUGGUAUCUACACAUUGGUGUUAGUAAUCAUAUGUGUGGGCACAAAUAUCUCUUUCUUGAUAUACAAUAGAUAGAAGAUGGACAUGUGUCUUUUGGAGACUCAACAAAAGUUUCAAUCAAAGAUCGGGGGAAAAUAUGUUCUUCCUUAAAGGAUGGAAAAGAAUGCACUAUGGAGGAUGUUCAUUAUGUACUUGAUUUGAAGAACAAUAUUCUUAGUAUGGGACAAUAGUUGGAGAAAGGUUAUUCGGUUUCCAUGAAAUACCGGAUUUUGCACUUGAAGGACAAAAAUGGAUGAUUGCUUGCAAAUGUGGAGAUGGCGAAGAAUCGAAUGUUCAAACUCAACUUAAAGAAUACAUUGUCAGAGAAGUCCUUUUGUGAUGAAAAAAUUGAGAUUGAAGAUUUAAGGGAAAAAUCAAGUAGUUUGGAAGAAUUUUGCAAUUUACUGAAUAAUGAAAAAACAAAACCUUCUAAAUGAAAGGAGUGUCCUACUAUCUCAAUUGGAGAGUGUUGAAGCAAAAUUUGGUAACCUGAAAAGAAGGUUUAGAAAAUUGGAAGAAAAAUAUAUUGAUAUGGAGAAAGACAAAGAAAGUAGAUUCAAUCAAGUUGAAGAACUCCAUUUGUUACUUUUGGCACAAAAAGAAAAGGUGAAUGAAUUACAAUCCAAAUUAGAAACCCAUUAUAAUUUUACAAAUUCCCUUGAAGCUAUCAAGAAGCUAAGGGUAGAAUCAAAGGUGAAUGACAAGUAUCUUCCAUCUUUUGUUAUUGUUGAUGAGAGUGUAAGAAAUAAUACUUCAGAUAGUAUGACUGCAGGGUGUAGUAAAGUUCUUUGUGACAAUAAUGGUUUUGAUUUGGGAAAAGACAAUAAAUGGAAUGUUGUCAAGGCAUCAUUUGAAAGGGAUAUAUGGUUUAAUCAUUAUGUUCCAAGCUCAUUGAAGCCACAGUCUUUCUUCAAUCCUUUUAAUUCAGAGGGUGAAAGUGCAAAAGAUUUUAUUUGGGAGACUAAAAGUAUUUCAAUCCAGAACUCUGCAUGGGUUGGUGCGUGAAGAAGACUGAAGUUGCUUUUAAUUCAUAACAGUGUGUUGAUUGUUGGGAAAAUAUUGGAAAUGUGGGUGAUGACGUUCAGAAAAAAACAAUCUGAAUGAAAAAUAUGAAAGGUAUAAGAGAGGAAUUAGUUAGCAUUAAACUCAAAGUCGUCAUUAGUUUUAUUUAGAAAUUUAAAUGGUAAAUAAUUAUUAGCUUUAAUCAUAGUUUUGAAUGUUAUUUAUAUUAUGAUUUUAAAUGUAAUUUAUAGUAUAACUUUGAUGAAAGAAAAUGUAGAAUUUCAAAAGUAUAUUGUAAGACUAUUUUCAGAAAUUGUAUUUUCUUAUCUGAAAAGUAGUACCGAAAUAAAAGUUUUAUUCUCAGUUGAGACUCGAAACUCAGGUUAUGGUGCUGAAGAGCAGGAUCAACUACUCUCACUCUAUAGUUGUUGUAGUUGAUUGACUGCACAUGAUAUUUUGCAAAGUACAGAUACAACACCGUAACAUUAUUCUCACAACCAAGCUCAUACCUUUUCUCACCACACUUUUCUGGGUCGCCUUUGAAUCGAAAAGGGUAAUUUUUUUUUUUUGAUCAGCAACGAAUUAAUAAAAUUAAAAGAGACACUUUAGGGGUGUCCCAACCCGUAUACAUCAGACCUUAAAGUCUAGACUGUACGCAUAAGCUAAACCGAUUCUGCUAGACAUAAAAGAGCCAACCUCAAAUAUGGUUUACCCAUUUAUCCCAACAGACAAAAACACCACAAAGACCCUCACUCACCACCUAAGACAGAACCAAACUUAACCCUUAUAGUAGACCACGAAAACCUCCACAGCACACCAUAUCAGCACUCUAUAAAACCACCAGCUCCCUCCACGCCAGAAAAGAUACGCUAAGUUAACGGUGUUGAGUAACACCCGUUCUCCACCGCAGGCUCAAUACUCAACAGUCCCCUGUAACUACCGCACACCAACCACACAGCUGCUCAUCCAGGAACAGUGGAUACGUAUAGGGAACCUGCUUAACUUCUUGUGCUUUGAAUAAGACACAGCUCGAGACGCCCUCAACCGAUGCCCUCUACAUUCACCUCGCCACGCAACGGGUUACCCAUUCACAUUGCCUUCGGCAACCACCGACUACGUCCAUAAAGAGCACGCCACUUCCUCGACCAGCGAUUAUCUUUGGAUAACUUCGACCACCACCGACCGGCGAUCAUAUGGAGCACGCCGUUUCAAGUAGCUACGACGACUACCGACUACUCACAUAUGAGGAACGCCGCUUCCUCGAUCGGUGAUCACAUUGACCAUCGCCGUUUUUUAUAACGGGCGAUCAUGUUGAGCGCUGCCAUCUACGAUCGCCGUCUGCACAGAAGUGGAAAGCGCUGCUUCAUCAACCGGCGAUCAUGUUGAAAUCGCCAUUUCAAUUACCGGCGAUCAUGUUGAGCUUUGCACAAUCGGCGAUCACCGACUACAUACAAAUGGGUCAUGCCGCUUCACCGAUCGGCAAUCAAGGUAACCUAUGUAAAGCACCACUUCACCGACCGGCGAUCAUGUUGACUUGCAUACCUUCGACGAUCACCGACUGUAGUAUCAUCCUUCCACAUAACAGUCCUUCAGAUGCUCCAGAGCCAGAACCCUUGCCUUCCGCUACUUACACCAACAAUUGACCUCACCCUUCCAAGGAGAACCCUAAGGUACUCCUUUGCUCAGGUUCGCCCACUGUAGCCAGCUGCAUUGCAACCUUCCAUAGGUGAAUUAAAAGCACCAUCCCGCAAGUAUGGCUUUAGUCAGCAGCCUCUAAACCCUGCAACCAGCACACUGCCAAUGCCUUAUUCCCACGCUAGCAACAUCUCCUCCUUCCCUCCACUGAGCAUGUCACCAAGCUCUGGUUAUCUGUAGCUUUUUAUGCAGCACAUUGGAUUCAGGACCCAAUCCACUAAGGAGUAGUUAAAGGAACUUGUCUUAUGUUUCAGCCAUUGCCAAGAUUUAAUUUGUGCUUGCUGAAAAAUUUCUUCUGCAUCUACAACGCCUUGUUUGAACACUACCAAGUUCCUCUGAUCCCAAAUACACCUGACUACCACUGCCCAAACCCCUUUCCAAACCAGGUUUUGAUUAUGACUAACCUGAAACAGGUUAAAGCUCUCGAAGUGCGUCAUUAUAUCAUUGUGUUGAACAAACAACAUUCCAAUCCACUUGAAGCACAUGGACCACACUUGAUUAGCAUAUUUACAAUCCAAAAAUAGAUGUUGAAACGAUUCAUCCUUCGUCUGGCAAAAAGCACAUAAGGUUGUUUCCAUCAACACCCCUCUCCUUCUCAAACAUAUUCUAGUAGGAAGUCUAUCCAUCAUAAUUCUCCACGCUACAGUCACCGCACUUGGGAACGCCUUAGCUUCCCACAGCGACUUAAAGACAUCAUGUUGAGGCCCUCUUCCUUGUUUUGAUAGACACACGUAAGCAUUAUUGACUGAGAAGCACCCUUUCUCCUCAUUCCCCCAUACCUGGACGUCCUUCUCUUCUUUAAGAAUGGUUGUCGUUGUUAUGAGCACUUCAAGUUCUUGUACUAGAGCGGAUUCCCACACAAAUCUUUCCCGUCUCCAUCUUAACCGCCAGCACCAACCCGACUCUUCCCACACACCUACCUCUCCCACCUUGUGCCCCUGGUUUAAAGACAACGAGUAUAAUCUGGGGAACAAAGUUUUGAGAUUACAGUUACCAAUCCACACAUCCUCCCAGAACCUAAUUUUAUCUCCACAUCCUAAUUUUCAUCCAAUUUCUUUAUAAAACCACCCUUCACCUUCACCCUCCCUACAUACUUUGUGUAAGUCUCUCCACCACCAUGAUUGAAGUUUGACCGGAAUCUGCACUUCCGAGCCAUACUUCGAAUCUAGCAGUUCCUUCCAUCUCCCUUUCUCCUCCGAAAUGUAUCUCCACCUCCAUUUAGCCAGAAGAGCUGCAUUGAACUUCUGGAUCUCUCUCACACCCAGACUACCCUCCUCUCUAUUUUUGCACACAACUUCCCAGCUUACCCAAGAGAUAGACGUCUUCUCCUUCCCCCAACCCCAAAGAAACCUCCUUUGGAUUCUGGUGAUACUCUUGCAGAUCGACGCCGGUGCUUUAUACAUAGAUAGGUAGUAAAGUGGGACAGAGGUGAGAACCGAUUUGAUUAAGCACACCCUCCCUGCCAUGGAUAGGAAUCUACCCUUCCACACAUUGAGUCGGUCUUUUAACUUGUUUAGCACAGGCUCCCAAAACUUGCUUGUCCUAGGAUUCCCUCCUACUUCAAGGCCCAAAUAUUUGAAAGGUAUCCCCAUUUGAGCAUAGUUGAGGGUCUUGGCAUAGCAAUCUAAGUUGUUUCUUUGGACAUUGAUGCCUGCUAGUUUUGACUAGUGAAAGUUUAUCUUCAGACCUGAAGCUAACUCAAACCCCCUGAGUAUUGCCUUCAACGUCACCACAUUGGUGUAGGAAUCCUCACAGAAGAACAUGGUGUCAUCUGCGAACUACAGGAUACUCAACUCAACCUUCUUCCUCCCAAUCUUAAGGCCAGAGAGUAGAUUCGCCUUAGUAGCUUGUCUUACUAGACCUGCCAAGCCUUCUACUACCAAUAUGAACAGGAAGGGGGCAAGAGGAUCGCCCUGCCUCAGCCCUCUGGAAGGUUUAAAUUCCUCCGUCAGGCUCCCGUUUACAAGCACUGAAACGGGGGAACUUUCCAUGCAUCCUCUGAUCCAGCUAAUCCACUUAUUUUGAAACCCCAACCUUUGGAGCAUGUCAUAGAGAAAUUCCCAUCUUACCGAAUCAUAAGCUUUCUCAAAAUCCACCUUCAGACACAAGCUACUCCCCCCACCCCUCCUUAUAUCCUUUACUACUUCAUUGGCCAUUAGCACACUGUCAAGUAUCCCUCUGUUCUUUACAAAAGCUGAUUGGCUAUCAUCAACUAUUGAGGAGAUGACGUUCCUGAUUCUGCCAGCCAACACCUUAGAGAUGAUUUUGUACAUAGCCCCUACUAACGAAAUAGGUCGAUAUUGCUCCAAUUUGAUAGGGUCCCUAAUCUUCGGGACCAAAGCAAUGAAGGAUGCGUUNNNNNNNNNNNNNNNNNNNNNNNNNNNNNNNNNNNNNNNNNNNNNNNNNNNNNNNNNNNNNNNNNNNNNNNNNNNNNNNNNNNNNNNNNNNNNNNNNNNNNNNNNNNNNNNNNNNNNNNNNNNNNNNNNNNNNNNNNNNNNNNNNNNNNNNNNNNNNNNNNNNNNNNNNNNNNNNNNNNNNNNNNNNNNNNNNNNNNNNNNNNNNNNNNNNNNNNNNNNNNNNNNNNNNNNNNNNNNNNNNNNNNNNNNCGUUGCUGUAAAUCUAGAUUCAAAGAGCUUCUUCGCUUCCAACCGAACUGUACAGGGUUCUUCACACCAUUGACCUCCCACCUCCACACCUUUAACUUCAUUUCUAAGGCGUCUCCACCUUAGAGAGGAAUGAUAGAAACUAGUGCAAGAGUCCCCAUACUUAAGCCAAUUGGUUCUAGCUUUUUGGCUCAAUAAGGAUUCUAUCCUCCUAUCGGUUUCCUUUAGACGACUCAACAAGCCCAACCUCUGCACAUUCUCGCUAACAUCUAAAACUCCACUACAUGGCUAGCAAUCAAGAGCCUCAAGCUCCUCCAAAAUCUUCUUCUUAGAAGACUCCAUGUUACCGAAACUAUCCCUAUUCCAAACCUUCAAGUCUCUCUUUAAACAUUNNNNNNNNNNNNNNNNNNNNNNNNNNNNNNNNNNNNNNNNNNNNNNNNNNNNNNNNNNNNNNNNNNNNNNNNNNNNNNNNNNNNNNNNNNNNNNNNNNNNGGUCCACCAAUCCUUCACCAUCGUUAAGAAUCCCUUCUCCAUAAACCACGCAUCAAUGGUCCGAAAGGGUUUAGGUCCCCAAUCCUUAACCAAAGACUUCACCACUAUCGCACAGUGAUAAAAAACCUCUCUACGUUGCACAUACUGCUUACCCAUUGGCCAUUCCUGCAACCAUUCUUCAGAGACUAACACUCUGUCUAACCUGCUCAUUGCCUUCCCAUUUGAACUAAACCAAGUGUAUUUUUUGCCUACAAUUGGUAGUUCAAUCAACAUAUUAGAUUCAAUGAAGUUAUUAAAACUUCCCAUCUCGCUUGUAUGGUUGUCCCGUACACUUGUUCCUUUCCUUUCUCCUCGUUUUCUAAUAGCGUUAAAAUCACCACAGAAGCACCAAAUUGGGUCCAAAGAAGCCCCUUUAAUAGCAGAUAAAUUCCCCCAUAGAUCAAUCUUCUCUCUCAACAAGCAUGCGGAAUAAACAUUUACAACCACACACCUACAGUUAGAUUUAGUGUGCUGUCCAACCACCGCAAUGAACCUCUUCCCCAUUUCAUGACUUUCAUAGGUGAAAGCAUCCUUAUGCCACAUAGUCAGCAAGCUUCCACUCCCAUUUUCUCCACCAUAGUGAACCCAGCCCACGUUGUUGUCCCCCCAAAGGGAGAAACAUUUUACGUCUGUACAAGUUCUCAAUUUCGUUUCUUGAAUACACGCGAAUUCUGCACCUUCCUUUGCUAUAAUAUGCCUCAAGUAUCCAGUCUUUGUGCUUCCCCCCACCCCUCUUAUAUUCAAGUUUACAAUUAACAUGAUUGAUCCUUCUUCUUACCCUCCUCAUAACUCUGCAAAAACUCCAAGUCUCUCUCCUCUAGGCACAUAUAUUCCUUAACCACCUCAUCCUCAUCCUUUGUACAGUACAACCCCGCUUUUUUACCGAUCUCCCAAAGCUUUGGUGGGUCCACCAUAUUACCGGGAUCACAAUUUCGAGUAUUACAACUGACGAAAUCCCCAUCAGAGAUGGACACUGAAGACAUACCAUGUCUAUGAUUAGAGGAAGCCUCAGCCUUAGUAACGCGUGCAUUAAUUCUCACUGAUCUUCUCGGAUUUGAAGUAGAGGCCCCCACUUCAGAGAGCCCUUCAAUCAUGCGCCAACGUGGUGAGAGCAUAAGGUUACUUCCUGCAGCCGCGCCUUCCUCUCCAAACGCGAUAGGCUUCGACCCUCCAACCAUAACACCCUUUAAGGCUUCAUCAAAUUCUUCCGUGCCAUGGCAUUCGUCCACCCUUUCCUUCAAAGGAGAUUCAAUCUCCAUCCCUUGAUUACCUAGUCCACUAACCUCUCUUUCACCGGUUUGAACCUCCUCACGUUCCUCCUCCUGUUUACCUCCACGGCAGCUCAUAGAUUUGAUAUUUUCAUUUGCAUUUUCUCUUCAAGGAGCCUCCUGCAUCGUGCGCGGUCCAACAUCUUUUUUCCCAAAUUGGGUUUCACAAGGAAUAUGGCCCACAAGGCGUUGGGCCUCCACCUUCCUUCCUUGGCCCACAGAGAGAGCGGGGGUCCCUUGUGAGUGAAAACUUUCAAGUUCUACCACUACUUUGGCCAGCUCAGCAUGGGUAGAGUAACUACUGCAGAUAGGGGAACGGCCUUGGUCAGGGUUGACAUCUAGGUCAGCACCUCGACACGCAACCUGGCCUAUUCUAUCUUCUUUCAUGCAAGAUGUGCAGUCUAUACUCUGGUCAGGGCUGUCUUUGUCAGCAAUUAACUUAAAAAACAAAUUUGUCUUAUGUGCACCUUCGUCACCUUCUUCCACCGCCUUGCCACCGUCCUCCUCCCCUUCUGACCGAUGUUCUUCCUUGGACCCAGACCUCACCUCCUCCUCACAGCUUUUAGAAGAGAAAAUCGUUUCUUCAAUAAAAGUCUCUGAUGACGACACACUAUCCGACGAGUCACCAUACCAGGAUUGCGUGUGCCUUCCUUCGUGACAAGCAGGGGGUUCUUCUUCAAUGAGGAUAUUCCAAAACUGUUCAUUAAUCCGCAAUUUCUUCUUCAGCCUGAUGUAGCUUUGGUUCUUCACCAGGACUUGCAACCUUGCGUAUUCCAGGUUCUCCCAUAGCAACGUGGAAGUGUCUAUGGAUACCAGCGUAGCCAUAUCUCCUAGAACCUUUGUAAAGCAAUCCUCAUUCCAGAGAGGUAACGGUAAUCCAUAGCAUCGUACCCAAGCAAUUUUAUGGUCCGCCAUGUGCGACGCCGACCACGGUUUCAGACUCACAAAGAGAUUGUUGUUGGGUUUAAUAGUGUCAAAGUUCAAGAGGGGGGUGAAUUGACCUUUUAAAACUGUCUCGCAGAAACAGUGUUUAACACAGUUUACAGAAAAUAAAUCGAUUUAUGUGAAAAUGAACAGAUUUAUUUCAGCACUGUUUUUGUUUGAAAAGCGUUUAUACAUCAAGGUUAAUCACAAGAUUAUGCAGAUGCACACACACUGAUAUUAGAACGAAAACCAGUGAAACACCAAAACAGCAAACUUCAGUUUCAAGCAAGUGAUUAAGGUUCAAUUGAUAGCAUGCCAAUUAAUUGAGUAACCUUUACAAUCAACCUGUUCCAGUGGCCUUUAACAAACUAUGAGUGUUCUUCUUGAUAUCAAACAAUUUUCCAGAAAUUAAGAACAAUGAAUCACAGAACAGCAAGCUUCAAUUUUAAGCAAUUGUUUAAGGUUCAAUUAAUAGCUUUGACAAUUUCUUGAGCAACCUAUCACAGUCAAUCUGUUGCAGUGGCUUUUAACAAAUUUUAUAUGUUCUUAUCAGAAUCAAACAACUUUUUCAGAAGUUAAGAACAGUAUGAACUGAGCCCAGAAAGAACAGAUUUAUUUUCACUUGAACAUAUUUAUUUCUUUGCUGUUUUAUCAAUUAUGCAGAAACGAAAUUGCAGAGAGUGAAAGAGAAUGAACACAAGCAGUUAUACUGGUUCACUCAACUGAGCUACAUCCAGUCUUCACCAAAACCAGGUGGAAAUCACUAAAACACAGUACAACCAAGUACAAUUCCCACUGUUCUUGAAACCUACAAGAACUUAGGUACUCUUGCUGAAAAAACCUAUUNNNNNNNNNNNNNNNNNNNNNNNNNNNNNNNNNNNNNNNNNNNNNNNNNNNNNNNNNNNNNNNNNNNNNNNNNNNNNNNNNNNNNNNNNNNNNNNNNNNNNNNNNNNNNNNNNNNNNNNNNNNNNNNNNNNNNNNNNNNNNNNNNNNNNNNNNNNNNNNNNNNNNNNNNNNNNNNNNNNNNNNNNNNNNNNNNNNNNNNNNNNNNNNNNNNNNNNNNNNNNNNNNNNNNNNNNNNNNNNNNNNNNNNNNNNNNNNNNNNNNNNNNNNNNNNNNNNNNNNNNNNNNNNNNNNNNNNNNNNNNNNNNNNNNNNNNNNNNNNNNNNNNNNNNNNNNNNNNNNNNNNNNNNNNNNNNNNNNNNNNNNNNNNNNNNNNNNNNNNNNNNNNNNNNNNNNNNNNNNNNNNNNNNNNNNNNNNNNNNNNNNNNNNNNNNNNNNNNNNNNNNNNNNNNNNNNNNNNNNNNNNNNNNNNNNNNNNNNNNNNNNNNNNNNNNNNNNNNNNNNNNNNNNNNNNNNNNNNNNNNNNNNNNNNNNNNNNNNNNNNNNNNNNNNNNNNNNNNNNNNNNNNNNNNNNNNNNNNNNNNNNNNNNNNNNNNNNNNNNNNNNNNNNNNNNNNNNNNNNNNNNNNNNNNNNNNNNNNNNNNNNNNNNNNNNNNNNNNNNNNNNNNNNNNNNNNNNNNNNNNNNNGAAUCUGUUUAUUUAGAAAAGAACAGAUUUAUUUUUAUGCAGUAAACGUGAUUUUUGUAAAACAUGUGAAAAACAGUUGAAGAAAACUUAUGCUUGUUCUUAUCACAUGGCCAGUGGUUAUGAGGUGAGUUACUCAGCAAAAAGCCCUCUUAAACAACCUCUAAGCACUACCUAAGACACACUUAAAGCAAAGCAAAAAUACACAUGAAAUGUACAUAAAAGUCUUCAUCAAACACAAUCUUGAAGGGGCAGCAACCAUCUUCAACCAUUGUCAAACCAUACUUUAUUACAGUUGAUAAUAUCCUCCAUUUUCUCUCCUUCCUUUGGGGUCAACAUCACUAAUCUGUCCCCCAUGUAUCUUAUACUGACUCUGUUCAAACCUACUUUCACAAACUCCUCUCCUAGCUGAUCAACAUCCCAAGCCUUCUCAAACUGCCCAACAACACUAUUCACCAUCCAAGGCAUAGUGUGGGAAAGCGACUUAAGCGAUGGUCCUUUCCACUUCCCUUGGUUUACAUCUCCUUUCACAACGUCUACAAAAGAUCUAUUCGUUUUCUUCUCUACCCAUAUCUCCUUUUGUUUCCCUACGUCCCUCUGUUUUUCCAGGUGGUUCACCUUCGUCUCCCUCCUCUCCUCCUUAACAGAGUCCUUCUGGUGCCUUCGAUAUCGUGGAAUGUUUACAUGGAGUUUCAUGUUUCCGACGAAGAGACUGUCCAACUCCCUCUCAAGACGUUCCACAUUUCUUACGUCAAAGAACCUAACGAACCCAAAUCUUCUACUCCAUUUGUUCAACCUCCGUGAUAUGAAAACUUCUUUUACCCUUGCUCUCCUUUGAAAGACCUUGACCAUGUCCAACUCUCCAUAACCAUGGGGGAAGUUCGAGAAGAAGAAGGUAGUGUAGUCAUUUAACCUCCCUUGAUCGCCUCCCCUGUUGGUUCGAACUCUGCUUCCCAUUAGUCGGCUAAUUCUGUUCUAUUUUUGUUUUCUCGUGAAUAUAAUAUUUCAAAUCGAAAAGGGUAAUUGAUGUUGCUGAUUUGACCACAGGAAGAAGAGGGACAACCACCGUGAAUUUUCCCGACUAGAAGUAGCAGUAGCACCAUGAAUGCUCUCUCUCUCCACAUAAUGUCCAAACUGUUUCUCAUUCAAUUCAAGUGCAAACAAAUCCAAGUUAGAUAUUUAUAUCUAAAACAACACACACUGAAUUCAAGGACCACAUUUUUCCUUUUACAAAAUUGUUUGAAGACGUAUGAUACUUAAAACGUAGACUUUGACUCGGAAACCACGUUUCUAUCUGGUUUCCACAACUCAUUUUAAUCAAUACCAAAUUUUAAAUAUUCGUGAAGUGCAUGAAUUCUAAUUUAUAUAUUUAAUCAUCUAAUUUUGUUGAUGGUGUUCUUUGAGUUCUAAAACCAUCCUAAAUUGUUCUUUUUGAAAACUUAUAUUUCGAAAUAUAAUUUUAAUGACUAUAGAAUUUCUGAGUCCCAAAUAAUGUUUGUUUGGUUAAGAAACUUUGACAUGUGAUUGGUACAUAUUGUUUUGGUGACUUUUUGCCCCAAAAAGGGCCUCAUCUGUUUCGUCGUGUUAAUUUCAUGAACAUAUUCUUGUUGGACAUGGGAGAAGAAAAGAGUGACGGUGGGCACCAAGUGUGGUAGCAGAAAAAAGAACUAACAAUGCCUGACGUUUUCUGUAUGUGUAAAAGGUCAAGGACAGAGAAAAUCAUAUGGAAGCAAUUCCACACACGUAACCCAAAAUUCCACCAUGUUUUUUAGCUUGUGCCUUGAAAAACUCAAUAAUUAAAAGUGCGUUUCCAAGAAUUUGACGAAGUUACUCACCAUUAACUAGUUGGUAUUGGUAGAUCAUACUCUGUAAACUCACCAGAUCUCUCAUCAUCAAGGUUCAUUGAUAAAGGUGUAUCCGAGCCAUCACAACGUGCAUAGAUUUUACAAGUCUAACUAAAACAUGUCCAAAAGAUUCACACUUAUUGUGAAUCAUUGACAACCUAAUAGAGGGUGUAUUGGGGUACUAGAUGUUGAGUUUCAUGGACAACAUAAUAUGCAGCAACAUGCAGCUAUCUUCUUUCAUAUGGUUUGUGUGCUGUUAUGGGUAGGGGCUCCUGUCAUAUGUAUUUUUUCUGGUUUUCUGUAAUCUGCAGCAAUCUUUAUGUUGGAUUUUUUUGGUUUUUAAGUUUUUUUCUUUAGUUCUUUGUAUAAGGAUUGAAACACCACUUAAAUGACCACUUAAAUGAAGUAAGAAGACAAAAACACCAUUGUGAAUUGGGGGUCUAGAUGUUGAGUUUCAUGCACACCUAUUUAAUUUAGAACUAAACUAGAAUGUAUCUGAAUAUGAAGACAAAACAACAUUAUGGUAGAAAUAUUUAUUUUUUCCUUAUUUUCUUUUCUAAAACAUCAUUCAAAAUUUUCGGUGGUUAUUGCAUAAUUAAUUUCAGAUGUAUAUUCUUACGUAAAAAUUAAAAAUAGAAAGUUAGAAUUAUAUUUUCCAAAAAUCAAUGACCCAUCAAACAACUUUGUUCCGUUCUUGUUUAUUAUAAAAAAGUACUUUCAAAAUUCGAUUAUAUAAAAACCUUGAAAAUUUUUGUUUUCUGAAAUAAGAAAUAAAGGUGAGAAUUGGAUUUUCUGUGAACCAAAUUCUCACGUUAACAUAAAUGGUGCUAUAAAAAAAAUUAAAUCUCAAAUAGUAUUUUCUAAGAAAUUAAAUAUGAAAUGGUACUUGGGUGAUGGAGGAGGUAGAGCCAGAUUUCCAACCAUUUUCAGAAGAUAUCGUGAAUGAACCAAUUCUGGCAGAUUAUGUUUUCCCCAAAAUUGGUUCAUUUACAAGAAUGCAGGAUCUGAAUGCUCAUAUAAAAACGUUCAGGGCACAUAUGUUAAUUCAUGGAGGUUCGGAUGCUCUUCGAUGAAAGGAAGGUAUAGCGGAUAUAAAUCUUUGAGCCAUGUCUUACAUUAAAGUGAAAGAAUUUACUAAAAGGAAGAGGAAAAGAGAGGUGAAGAUGGGAUGCGGUCAAAAGGUGAAAAGGCAGUAGUAAAUUUUAGAUCAAGCAAUAACAAUGGAGGUCCGAUCAAAGUAAGGAGAGAGGAUCAGUUGGAUGGAGGACCAUAUGGAGGAAGGAGACAUACGAAUGAAAGAAGGGAGGAGAUGCAUGCAUGGUACCCGCCAAAGUUGGCAACAUCUCAUAAGGAUGUUGUUAAGGAUGUCAAUACAACAAGGUUGUUGCAGUUUCCUGAAAAGAUGGAUAAGAAUAUGGGAAGAAAUGCCAAUGCUUGGUAUCAUUUCCAUAAGACAUAUGGUUAUGAUACUGAACUAUGUUACACGUUAAUGAAGCAAAUCGAGGAGCUUGUGAAGAGAGGUUUAUUACAGAUUGUGAAAGGUAGGGUUUAGGAGAGGAAGGAAGCAUCAGAGGUGUCAAAAGAAUAUCAUGCUGAGGAGGAGGAUAGCCGAAAUGAAGGGGAACACGAAAAGACGGUGAUGGGAGAUUUAAAUAUGAUUGCAGGAGGAUUUUCGGGAGGUGGAGUUUCAAGUGCGAGGAGGAAGCGGUACGGUUAUGCAUUUGGAUAAAUGAUUUUUAUUAUAAUUUAAUUUAUAUACAUGUGUGGAUACAUUUAGGGCACCAUUAUAAACUCUUUAAUAUAAAAACAAAGUUGUUGUCACAAAAAGAAUUUAGAAUAUCUAUUUUCUUGAAAAAACCAUUUAAUGUAAAAUAUUUGGAUUAAAGCUUACUAAAUAUUACUCUAAUAAUGAAAAAGUUAUGCAAUGCAACACAUGAAAAAUAGAAAAGACAAGUAUUGUCUAUGCAAACAAAAACUGUAGAAUGUCACCAUGCAUAUUCAAGUAGAAUGAGUUCAUGAUUGCGCAUUUGGAAACUUGAAAAAAAAAAUAGUAACCCAAUUGUUUUAACUUUAUAGAUGUAAAGUAUUUAAUAGAGAAAAACAAGAGAAAAAUAUUGUAGAUGUACUUCUACUUAAAAGAAGAAGGUGAAUGAUAAACAAAACUUUAUUAUGCAUCGUUAAAUAGUAUGCUUCACUAAAGGAUCAAUUACAUAUAUUCUUAUACUUUACAUGAAAUAAUAUUAUAAAAUAGAAUAGAGAUAAACAAAAGAGAACAGAGGUGAACAAAAGAAGAGUAAAAGAAAGACAAAGGAUAUGAGAAUGAAUAUCUCUUCAAUUAUUCAUAUAAUCAAAACAAAUAUAUACAAGCAGUACACUCAUUCUAGGUCUAGCUAAAAAGAGAAAAAAUCAAUCAAUAAAUAAUAAAAUCAUAACAGAGAAAGACAUAAUAAAGAUUAUUCACCUCUAUAAAGAGAAACAACUAAGAAUUAGAAAAUACACUCAAAUAUUGAUGAGACCCAGCUUGGAACAAAUACUCUUGAAAGAUUGAUAACUUAAAGCUUUGGUAUAAAUGUCAACCAGUUGCUUUGUGGUGAAAAUGGGAAGCAAAUGGAUGAGACCCUUCUUUAAUUUUUCUCUAAAAACGUGACAAUUUAUUUCUAUAUGUUUCGUACGCUCGUGAAACACUGGAUUUGUUGCAAUGUAUCUUGUUUAGUCAUUGUCACAGUAUAAAAGAGAUGGUUGCUCAAAAGGAACUUUGAAAUCUUGAAGAAGAUAAGUUAGCCAUUGAAUUUCACAUGUAAUAGUGGUCAUUGCCCUGUAUUCAGCUUCACAGGAACUCUUUGAUAUUUUUCCUUGCUUCUUUGCUUUUCAGGAUAUGAGAGAAUUUCCAAGUUACACACUAAAACUAGUCACUGAUUGACUUGAAUCACUGUUGAUACCCCAAUCACUAUCACAAAAGGCUUUGUGAUGAGCAGAAGUGUUGAAAGAGAAAAAUAAACCAAGACUUGGAGCUCCUUUAAGAUACAUGAUAAUUCUAAUCGCUACAGUAUAAUGAGAAGCUGUAGGCUUAACAAGAGACUGAGAAAGUUGUUGCACAAAAAUGUUAUGUCAGGUCGGGUAUUAGUGUGAUAUAUAAGUCUUCCAAUCAAUCUUCUGUAGGCUUGAAUAUCUAUGAAAGGAACACUUCCAGUAGAAGAGAAUUUUUCAUGAUUAUCAAUAGUGAAUGCAGGUUUGUAGGCUAAAAGACUUGCAUCUGUUAACAAUUCCAUGCAUAUUUCCUUUGAUUCACCAUUAUUCCUUUCUUACUUCUUGCUACUUCUAGACCAAAAAAAUAUCUUAAAGAUCCUUAUUCUUGAAUGUCUGAUUCAAGGCUUGUUUAAUUCGAGCAAUCUCUUCUUUAUCAUUUCCUGCCAAUAUUAUAUCAUCCACAUACACCAAUAAUGCUGUAAAAGAUCCUUCGGAAGAAUUAAUGAACAAGGAAUGAUCAUUUAUAGAUUGAGUAUAUCCCAUAGAAAGCAAAAAGGAUGACAGUUUGGAAAACCACUCUCUGCUAACUUGCUUAAGGCUAUAUAAAGCCUUUUUUAGUUUACAAACUUUUCCUGGUGGAAUAGAAGUCAAUCUAGGAGGAGCAACCAUGUAUACAUCUUCUUUCAAAUCUCAAUGUAAAAAGGCAUUGUUUAUGUCUAAUUGUUUCAAUUCCCAAUUAUAGAUAAAAGUUAGAGAAAGAAGCAACCUUAUGGUGGUCAUCUUUGCUACUGGAGAGAAAGUAUCAAGGUAGUCAAUGCCUUCUGUUUGUGUGUAUCCCUUUUCCAUUAACCUUGCUUUAUACCUUUCAAUUGUCCCAUCAACCUUAUAUUUUAUUUUGAAUACCCACUUGAUACCUAUGGCAACUUUGUCCUUAGGCAGAAGAGCAGUCUCCCAAGUUUGAUUUGACUCUAAAGCAGAUAUCUCACAUUGUAUAGCUUUUCUCCAAUAGUCAUGUUUCACAGCUUCAGAAUAAGUGUUUGGCUCAACAUGCUAAGAAAAAGACAUAACAAAAUAUGUGUAAGAAGGUGAUAGAUUGUUACAAGACAAAACAAAAUUCAAAGGAUAUUUAACUCUUGAAGAUGUAGGGGAAACAUUAAGAUUACAAUGAUAAUCCUUGAAAUACUCAGGUGAUCUUUUUAUUCUUGUACUAAUUCGGACGGAUUGAUGUGAUUUAGAAUUUUGUUCUAUGUCAUGAUCUUCUUUGAGGCUUUGGUCUAUAUGGGAAGAAACUUCUUUUGGAACCUCAAUGUGUGACUCAUAAUUAUUAUUACUAUUAUUUUCACCAUUAUCACAAGGUGCAAUAAUGGCUUGUGAUGACUGACUCAAUACAGGUUGAGUUUCAGUAAAAAUAAUUUGAUCAUGAAUGUUAGGACUGUUAGUUUCAUUACUAGUAUCUUGAACCCUUUGAUAUGGAAAAACAUGUUCAUAAAAGACAACAUCCCUAGACACAAAAAAUUCUCUUGAUUGAAUAUUCAACAAAAUAUAUCUUUUUGUCCCUCUAAAACCAAUAAAAACAUAUUUUGAUGCCCUUGGAUCAAAUUUUGUUCUAUUUGUUGACAAAGUGCUAGCAUAACAUAAAAAAUCAAACACCUUUAAUCCAUUAAAAUCUGCUUCAGUUUUGUAAAGCGUUUCACGAGGAGAAGAAUAAUUUAAAACAGGUAUGCGAAGCAUGUUUAUAAUAUGCGCAACUGAUAAGUGUCUAAUUUCAGUAAUAUUUCAUAUUAAAAUAUAGGCACUUAUGAGGAUUUAUUGCUAAUUUACAUAUAAAAUAAUCCCUAAUUUAUGAAUUUAUACCUUUUUACAUUUUUUAUGAUCUUUAUUUGAAUAAGAGUAUUUUAUUCCCAAAUUUGGUGUUAAUUGCAGAUUUCUGAGGAAGAUUGGAGAUUUGGAUUAAAGAUGAAUGAUUUGAGCCAAAAAGAUAAAGAUAGAAGGUCCCAGAAUGAAAGAAAAAAAGAAAGAAAGAAAGAUUGGGCCUUUUUAUGUUUUAUCAUUUAGCCCAUUAGCGCGACACAAUAAACAACCUAACCCUAGAAAACUAGGAUAAAUAGAGGGCUAGAGGCUCAACCUCGGUGUGCCAGAUUGAGAGGAAAACACCAUAGAGUGAAUUGUAACCCAAUUGGGAGAAUGGAAGGUGAUAGAAGUAUGCGUGGCUAAUUCUACCCUUUGGGAUUGGGAGUAAUCUGCUCAAACUCUUAUGUAUUGAGGUGAUAUUUUAUAUAUUAAUAUUCAGUUCUUGAUUGAUUAUUGGUAUUGUUGUUUUACUUUUAAUUCUCCGUGACAAAUUGAGAAUCUUAAAUCUGACCGGGAGGUAUUUUUAGGGUUUGGACCUAAACAACAAUACUUAACAUAUUUGAGUGCUAGGAAUAGACUUGAAAUGUUAAUUGCUAUUAAACGUCUGAGCUUCGUUCUAAGUUGUUCUUAUAAGUAUGCGAGGGAUCGAUAGUUAGGGAACAUUCUUAAGGAUUUUAUAUGCGAGGAAUCGAUAUAAAUGAUUUUUAUACGGGCAUCAAUUUCAAUUAAAGAACUUAAUAUUAACAUGCUAAUCAAAAUACAUGAGAGUGAGAGAGAUGAAACUUAAUCCCAAUUUUUCCAAUUGAAGCAACUAAUUCUUUGUUUGUUUUCUUAUUAAUCAGUGCCAACAUAAUCACUUCAAACUCUUUUUUAUUGUUCUGUUGUUAUAUUUAGCGAAUAUUUUACUCGAUAAUUCACUGUUCUUUGUGGGAUCGAUAUCCGUCCUUAGGGACAAUUAUUACUUCUGACAAACGCGGUGCACUUGCCGUAAAAAGUCAUCAGCAACAUUUAUCACCAAAUAUGACCAAUAAAUUUUAGGUAAAUGAGGUUGUAUCAUGAGAGCUCUUGCUACAUUUAAUAAAUGACCAUGUUUCUUUUCAACUAUAUUAUUUUGUUGUAUUGACACAUGAUGUUUGAUGUACUAUUCCUUUAUUGACAAGGAAAUUAGUCAUGAAAAAUUCAGUCCCAUUAUCACUUAUUAUUUUUAUUGCUGUCUCAAAUUGUGUUUGAAAAAAAAACAACAAAAUUUUCCAAAACCUUGACAACUUCAGAUUUUUGUUUUAAAGGAAAAAUCCAUGUGUACCUCGAAUAGUCAUAAACUAUGAUGAAUAAAUAUUUAUAACCAUGAAUUGAUAGUAUUGAAUACGGUCCCCAAAUAUCUACAUGAAUCAAAUCAAAACAUUUAUUUAUUUAUUUAGAUGUACUAAUAGUAAAUGGAACUCUUUUUUGCUUUGCAAAAUGACAAACAUCACAAACAAAAGAUUUGUUAUAUUUAACAAAGGGAAAUUUAUUCUUGAUAACAUCAAUACAUUUAAUUGAAAUAUGACCUAAUCGAAAAUGUCAAAGAGUUUCUAGAUCACUAGCACUGACAUUAACAAUAUUGAUGGUGUGUAUAGAUUUGAUGUGUUUGAUUUGAAGUUUCUAGUAAGAUGGGAUCCUGAGUAUAUAAAGUCUAUCUUGUAUCUUAGCAGAGCCAAUCAUUUUCAAGGAGUUUUUUUCCUGAAUGUGACAACCCUUAGAGUCAAAGGUAAGAACAAAAGAUAGUUUAUCAAUCAAUUUUGCUACUAAAGAAGAUUAAAAGUGAAGCAAGGAAUAUACAAAACAUUGUCUAUGACAUGAUUUUGAUUGAGAAAAACACAUCCAAAAAAAUUAGCAAUGACUUUAUUUGCAUUUGGUAAUUUGACAGAAAUAGGAUUAAUUUGAUGAUAUGAAGUGAAAUAAGUUAAGGAUGAACAAAUGUGAUCAGUAGCAUCACUAUCAAUAAUCUAAGAACUGAAGGAAGAAAUAAAGUUAUUACCAGUUUGUGUUGUCAUGUUGUAAGGAAUAACAUCGACUUGAUUAGAAAUAUUGUCAUUGAAUUUGGCCUAUUGUAAAAGACUUAACAAUGUUUGAUACUGCUCAUAAGUAAAAAACCAAUUUGUUGAGACUCCACUUUUGACUUUGACUUUGAAAUUUCAUGAUUCUGCUCAUUAUUGUCAAAAUUUGUAUUAUGAAAAACUGCAUUAGUAUGACUUGAUCAUGGUUCUGAUUUUUAAACUUGAAAUGAGGUGGAAAGUCAUGCUUUUUAUGGCAUGUAUCAAUGAUAACAACAAUAAAAAAGAAUUAAAUUAAUGAAUUAAUUGAAGUGAUCUAACCCAUAUACAUAACUUUACGUGUAACAUUGUAUUUGUACUAAAAACUAACUCCAACAAAAUGCAUAUGACUCAAAUAAGAACCCAAAAAGAACCUUAGGACAACCCACAACCAUUAAUGGAGCCCUGCCUAUAUGGUACAUAUUCAUUCACAUACCACAAUGGUAAACAAGAGUAGAAAAAAUAAGACUAGAAGGUGUUAGUCAUAAGGCAUAAAUGUGACUCUGUAGCAACAACAGAAGCACAGUAACAAAACCAUAUGCAGAAGUAUAUCAGUGCAUGAACUAAUAACAUAUGUAGGAUGCAGAAGUAUAUCAGUGCAUGAACUAAUAACAUAUGUAGGAUUACAUGCAAACUUUAGUGCUCCAAGUUUCUCCAACUCCCUCCCACAACAAUAACACCCCUUGCUCUGUUAGAAUAAUGCACCUUUUGUACCAAAAUUAGCAUAUUCCUUACUUACAGUGGCCUUAGGCAUUUUUAUGAGAUAAAAUUGUAAUUGGUUAAGGAUUAAUGUGAUGGCUGGAGUUCGGCUUCUUUCUACACCAUUUUCACCAUAAUGUGGAACUUAAAAUGCUUUUCUUUACAAUUAUAUGUUAUUGUACGAGAGAUCUUAUGAAACAAAGCAAAUAAGGAAUUAUUAGCUGAUAUAAGAGAAGCUGCAUUUAAAAAAUAUGGCUGACUUAUUGUACUGAUAGGGAUUUCUUUAGUUUAAAUUAUAAUUUUGAUAAUAUUCGUCUUUUCCCCCUAAAUAAUCUCUUACUUCUUUCAACACGACCAUCACUUUAUUUACCCAUCACACACUUCCAUUUCAUGUUUAUAUUUCAAAGUUAAACAUAUUAAAAGAAAUGAGUACAACAAUUUUUGUUGUUUUUAUCUAACGAAAUAAUAUAUUGUAUAAUAAGACCAACAAGCACAAACUAAUGAGUUUACGAAGAAACCCUCUCUUUAGACAAGCAUGGUCUUAAUCUGAAAGUUUAUAUGCCUUAUGAUAACUUGUUGGGCCUGUUGCAUGAGUUUUGUGAGCGGGUAUUGAUUUUUUUUAAAUGAUUAGAACAUUCAUAAAGUGUCUCAAUUAAUUUAUUUUUUAUUUUUUUUUAUAAAAAAAACUUAGUAGCCUCGUAUUUGUAUAAGCCUUUGCGAAUUUGAAAUUUUUCUUCAAUUGGUGAUUUGAGAUUUGACUUCACGUAAAUAAUUAAAUAAACUAGUAGAAUCCAAAAUUCACUUUUUAACAAAAAUAAAGAACAAAAUAAAAUAUUUGCAUCCGUUUAAAAGAUGUCACUCUUUUAAUCAAUAAAUUUUUUAAUAUGCAUUUUUUAUUUAUAAAUAUAGAUUUUACAUAAGAUUUCAAAUAGAUUUACAAGCUUUAAUUUAUUAAAAUAUAUAAAUCGUUUUAAUCAAAUUAAAGUUGACUAAAUCUAUAACAAUAAUUUAGGUCGAUCUAAAUUUUGAAAACUAAAUAUAUGUUUACAAUACUUGAUAUUAGAAAACUAUAAAUCAUGAUGCCUUAAAAGCAUUUAUUUUAUAUUUAAUCAAUUUUCUUAACCAAUAAUAAUAAAAUAAAUUACCAAAUAUUAAUGAAAUAUAUAUUUAGGACAGAUAAAUAAAAUUUUUGAAUUGUCACCCUAGUUAAGAUGUCAAGUUGCAUAUUGAUGCUUAACAUACAAACUUUUAUAUAUAAAAAAAUUGUAAACAUAUUUAUAUAAACAAAAUUAACAUAACAUAUAUUUAAAAUAUAAAUUGUUUGAAUGUACAUAACAAUGUUUUUAAUUAUUAUAUAUAUUUUGACAAAUAUUUAGAAAUGUGACAAAUCAUAUUUAUUUAUUUUAAAUUAAAAAAUAAUAACAAAUUGAUGUUUUAUUAUAUAAUUAAUUAAUUUAAAACUACAUACAUUUACAGGUAUAAAAAAAUUAUUUAUAUGCAACAUUUUGAUGAUUUGUCUAACAUUUUGAUGGCCACAGAAGGUCCACUAUGCAACUUUGCCUUAAAAACUAAGUCAAAUCCUCCUUCGCCUAACUUCUCUUUAAAAUCUGCAGCCAUCUUCUUGAUUUCCUUGUAUGAAUAUCUAAUAGGUGCCAAACUAUUUUGUUGAAGGUAAUUUUCAAUAUUUUCAUACAUUGAGGUAUAUCUUUUUCUCCAUUUACAUAUAAAAUAAAAAUAAUAAUUAAGAACGGCAAUCCAAACAAAACUUUGUAAGUCCAUAAUAUAGAGAUAUACCUGAGUAUAUACCUGAGAAUCUCUGCAAUAAAUUUUUACUUUAGUUACACACUACAAAAUGCAACAAGGUAUUUAUUAAAUUAAAUUUUCGUUCAUAAAAUCUAAAUGUUACAUAUCCAUUUACUUAGUAACAUUACAUAAAAAAAAGUAAAUUUAAUGUUUAGCAUAAACAAUUAUCAAUAAAUUUAAUUUUUGAUAUUACUCUAAAUAAAUUUGCCUGUAACAUUAAUGUGUCUUAAGACCUAAUCCAGUGAUGGUUGUAAAAUAUAAAAAAAAAAAACAGAUUUUUUAAAUAAUUUAUUUGUUUUUAUAAACUUUUUAAAUUUAACUGGUGUUUCUCUAACUUUUUUAAUUUAUUGAAAAUCACAAUACUUUAUCUUUAAUGUAAUUAAUAUUUAUUAUUGGUUAUUAAUCUUUAUUUAUAUCACUUUAAUUAAAAUUUUGAUUUUUUAUAUUAGAUGAAGAAAAUUGAAGAUAAUAUUUAGACAAACUCAAACUGAUUUUUAAAAAAAUGUGAAGUACAUAAGUUUUUAAUUUUUUUUAUAAAAGUUUUCAUAUUAGGCAUCUUGGCUCAAGCAACAACAAUCAUCUGUCAUCAUAUGAAAAAAUAUUACAAAAAAAAAUUAAAAAAAUAUAUGAAAAACUAGACCAAAACUCAUAUAUGUUAACAAAACUUAUAAGUAGACUAUACCUAUUUAUAAAAAAUGUUAAGAUCAGACUAGAUGGAAGUCUAUCAUCCCAAUAAAAUGAUUAUUUAUGAAUAAAUUUUAAAUUAGUGAACUUAUCAACACAAUCAUUCUCUUCGUAAAAGAUAUAUGAAUAAUCUUAAAUAAGAAGUAAAUUAAGAUGAUAAAAUGUCAAUUUAAGGAUGUGUUGAAAAAAAAAAAAGACGGUGAGAUAAUAAAGGUUGUGUUCGAUUAGUAUAAAUCACAUGAAAGAUUAUAAUGUAAUUGUAACAACAAAUUGAGUCAAUUCGAUUGAGUUGAGUUAAUCGUGGAUUAGAUAUCAGGUAUAUGAAAAAUUUGUAAAAAGAAACUAGUAUGACAACUAAUUCUGGUAGGGUGCUGAUAUAUUAAUAUUUUGAACAGUAAAAACAUACAUUUUAUAUCUUAAUAUAUUUUUAUUUUAUUUUUUAAUUUUAAUUUAAAAAUAUUAUUAUAUUAUUAUAUUAUUAUUAACCAUAUCAAAUAUGCAUAUUAACAGUAAAAACAUUACUGUUGACGGUGUUAACAAAUUUUGUUGGAUCAUCUUUAAAAUAUUUUAUGUAACUUUUUAUUAAUUAUUUGCUAAUAAAAAAAAGCAUAAAUAAAUUAAGAUGCAAAAGUUCUUACCUGUUACUUUCAUUCUUAGUCGUACCAGUCUUCCUGUAUCACCGAAAAACGAAAGAAAAUAUAAAUUUCAGAACUGUUAAUCUCAACAACUAUACCAACAAAGCUAGUAUAUGCAUGACGUUUUUUUUACAAGCAGCUUGUGUGCAUUAGUUCUAACAAAUACAUGUAAAAUAUAAAAAUUACAAAUUAAGAAUGGGAAUCCAAACAAAAUUUUGUAAGUCCAUACCAUAAAGAUAAUAAAAAUGACAAUUCCUGCAAAAAAAAUUUACUUGAGUGAUUAUACUGAUACUGUAAAAUGCAACACAGUAUUUAUUAAUGUAAAUUUUCGUUCAAGAAUGCAAACUUUACACAUCCAUUUACUUUGUAAAAUUUCAAUAAAUAAAUAAAUUUAAUGUCUAGCAUAAAAAAUUAUUAAUAGAUUUCAUUUUGUACGUUGCUACUAUGUAGCACAGACACUGACACAGACAUUGAUACGACACGGACACAAAGAUACGUAUAAUAUCUAAAAUGUAGAACACGGGGACACGAAUCUAUAGAUUAUAUAAUUAUGAAUUAUAUAAAUUAACAAUAAAGAUUUAUGUGCACAAGUAUGUUCUAAAUUAUUUUUUGGAGCAGAAAAAUGUUUUUCAUGACUGGUUCAAAAGAAUUUGUUUCUUAUUUUUAUAAUCAUAAUAAAAAUUUAUACAAUAAGUUUGAGAUUUUAAAAAAUUAAUGUAUUUUUUCUUUUUAAAAUUGUGUUAGAACCGUACUAGAACUGUUAGAAAUCCAAUAAAUACUUUUUGAAUUAGACACUUCACGGUACGUGUCAUAUGAGUGUCAAUGUCCGAUAUGAGUAUUCGACACCAACACGUCACUUAAGAGAAAUGUUUGAGUUUCACAGCGUUUGCUAAAGUAAACUGUGUGGAACAUUAAUGUGUCCUAAGACCUAAUUCAGUGAUGCUUGUAUAAUACAAACAUAUUUUUAAAAUAAAUUUCUUUAUAAACUUUUAAAUUCAUUGUGUUCCUCUAUAACCUCUUUAAUGUAUUAAAAUCACAAAUUUUUAAGUUAUUAACAUUUUAUAUCGGUUAUAAAUUAUCUCAAUAACCAGACAAAAAAGACUUUGCAUUUUGAAGUUUUGAUAAAGGUUGUGUUGGAGUAAUAUAAGUCACAGUGUACUCUCUUUUAUCCCUAUAUUCAUUGUUUAAUGAGGAAAUUGUGAUAAUAUUUACAACAAAGUUUUACUUGAGAGAGUAAACAUCACUGUAAAUAGUCAUUCUAUUACACCGUUAAUGUAAAAUGCAAUAAGCUAUAUACUAUUUGGUUAAAGAAAAAAUUAGUUUCUGAAAUAAAUAUCAUUCGAUUUGGUCUUGGAAGAUGAUAUCUAUAAGAAAAUUUUCUUUUAUGAGAACAAAUUGACUAAUGGUUGUCAAAGUUAAGAACUAAAUUUAUUAAUAAUUUUGUUUCAUGUGGAUUAAAAUCAACAAUUAUGCAAACUUUACAGGGACUACUUUUAAUUGUUUUAUAUUAUUUAAAUUGGCUAUAUUAUGCUACAUAUGUUACGAAAUCAUUUGUUAAAGUUAUACACCUAAAUAUAAUUAAUCUACAUUGAUUAUUUUACGUAGCGUAUUUUCGUUAAUAAAUUAAUAUUAACAAUCGGACCUAUGUAAUGAUGUUUUAUUAUAUAAUUAAUUAAUUUAAAACUACAUACAUUUACAGGUAUAAAAAAAUUAUGUACAACCAAGUAUGCUACUAAAUAAGGACGUCAUAUAGUAUCAAAACUAAUUCUUAUUACUAUUAUGCUAAAUCAAGUCAUUUACUAUUAUUGAAAAAAUGUGCUGACUCUUUUAUAAAUAAGCGUAACUUUAUAACGAUGAAUGGUUGUAUAAAAACUGUAAUCAAAUAUCUAAAACAAUGAGAGUUUGUAUUAAGACAAUUAUGUUUUAAAUUUAACUUAAAUUGAUUUAUUAAUAUGAGAUUUGUCUUAUUUAUAUAUUAUAAUUUAGUUAAUGAUAUGAUAUCUCCAACACGUCUCUUUCACGCUCACAACAUUGUGCAUUCGUAUAAAAGACAUCAAACACGGGAAUUGAAGGUAGUCCAAUAACGGUUAGCACGGAAAUGAGCUUUGAUACCAUAUUAUGAUAGUUUGCUCCACUUAUAUACUAUAAUUUGAUCUUAUUUCUAGUUGAUGUGAAAUCUCCAACAAUUUGGUUAAAAUUUAUUUUAUUGUCAUCUUCAAAACAAUGGUUAAAAUAUAAACUACAAGAAAAUCAUUAAAUAGAAACUAAUUUUAGAGACAAAAAAUAAUUAGUUAUUAUAUUAAAUACAAUUUUAGAGACUGGAAAAAUUAUUGUAUCUAAAGUAGUUUCUAUUAUUGAUAAAUAGUUUCUAAAUGAGUAUCUAAUUAGUUACCAAGAUUUAAGUUAGCAACUUUAGAAUCUAUAAAUAAUUGGUAGCUUAAACCUUAUUAGAUACCAAUUUAGAAACUAUUUAUCAAUAAUAACAAUUACUCACCAAUAAACUUUUUAUUCUCUAAAAUAAUAUUUAAUUUAAUUAAUAUAAUAACUAAUUAUUUUUUGUCUACAAAAUUAAUUUUUAUUUAAUAAUUUUUUAGUAAUGAGAAUCAUCGUCGAAAAUAUUAAAUAACAAUGGUUACAACAUAUAGUUAUCAUCAUAUGUCUAUUAAUAUACUCAAAUCAUACCAAUGCAAAUCGUUCCAUUUUGCAAUGUGCUUCUAAUGUUUUCUUCUUUUUCAUUGUGUUGCUUUCAUCAUCGAUACUCCUUCGUAUUUGUGCUAGUAAAGAAAAUUUACUUUUAUAUCUAGUACAUUGACCUUAUAUAUGUUAAGUUUUUCUCAUGUAGGAAUGAUAGACAUGAAUGACGCCUAGGGAACAAAAGGAAAACGAGACAUCUCAUAUUUCUCCACACAUUUUUCAGUAAACUUUAGCAACACUAGCACAAAAUGUAUAAACAACGACUAUUUAUUUAAUGCGGUUUUAGGGUUAGCGCUGUCAUUCAAAACGUGGUGUCAUUUUUUAAAUUAAUUUCAUUUACGAAUGCGGCUAUUUGUAAUAGUCGCAUUCUUAAAUCAAAGCGCAUGAUUUAAAUAGCCACAUUCGUAAAUCAAAUUGCAUGAUUUAAGAAUGCGGCUAUUACUAAUAGCCGCAUUCUUAAAUAAUUUUUUACCCUAAUUUUGAAGCGCGUCACUUACGCUUUCAUACUUUCUUCCUUUUUGGCGUUUCGCGUUUUCUCUUUGUUUCUGCUCUGGUGUUCCUCUCUUCUGCGAGUUUCAUUGAGUUCUCGUACCAAUGUAAGUUCGUUUCGAUUCGCUCUCUUUCUUCUUCACCAAUGGUUUAUAAAUUUUCUUCGUUUCAUUUAUUUGUUUGUUUUCUUGCAUUGGCGAAUGGUUCUCUGACGCUUCAUUUUCUCUUUUGUUUAUGCUCUCGUGCUUCCUCUCGUUUUCUACGAGCCUUCAUUGUCUUCUUUGUGCCAUUGUAAGUUCUUUUCGAGUUCUCUUUCUUCUUCACAAUUGAUUUAUAUAUAUUUUUUCGUUUCUCUCAUCUAUUUGUUUUCUUGUAUUGACGAAGGUCACCAACUUCAUUGCCUGCUGCUUGGAUUUUUGUUAUGUCGUAUUUGCUCCGUAGUUGCUGCUGCCACCGCUAUUGCUGCCUUAGGGUUUUAAUUUUUUUUUUUAAAUGAAAUAAGAAUGCGACUAUUUACCAUAGCCGCACUUGUAAAUCUUCGAUUUAAGAAUGCGUGUUGAUCAAGUGCGACUAUAUAACCGCCCUUGUACAUGUAAAAUAGCCGCACUAGUGCAAGUAUGAUAUGUGGAAAAUCAUCCAAAGUUGGAAAAGAGUUAGUGAAGUGUUCAUAGUUAGGAAACUAAAUGAUAGAGGACAAAUAUUUGACUUUGUGAGAUUUAAAGAGGUUGUGAAUGAAGUAGAAUUGGAAAAAUGACUAGGUGAAGUCUCGAUAGGAAAUAUGGAAAGUCACAUAGACCAAAAUUUGACCGAGAAUUAAUUUUAGGGUUUAGACCUAAACAUCAAUACUUAACAUAUUUGAGUGCUAGAGAUAGACUUGAAAUGUUAAUUGCCAUUAACAUCUGAGUGUGAUUUCUAAGUUGUUUUUAUAAGUAUGCGAGAGAUCGAUAUUUAGAAAACAUUCUUAAGAAAUUUAUAUGCGAGAGAUCGAUAUAAAUGAAUUUUCUACGGGCAUCAAUUUCAAUCAAAGAACUUAAUAUUAACAUGUUAAUCAAAAUACAUGAGAGUGAAAGAAAUGAAACUUAAUCCCUAUUUUUCCAAUUGAAGCAACUAAUUUUUUGUUUGUUUUCUUAUUGAUCAGUGCGAACAUCAUCACUUCAAACUCUUUUUAUUGUUCUGUUGUUAUAUUUAGCGAAUAUUCUACUCGAUAAUUCACUUUUCCUAGUGGGAUCGAUAUCCGUCCUUAGAGAUAAUUAUUAUUUCUGACAAACACGGGGCCCUUGCCGUAAAAAGUCAUCAGAUAUUUGUGUAGUAGUUUUGUUAAUGAGGUUCUUUGAAUUUCUAAGACCACCCUAAAUUGUUCUUUUUGGAAGCUUAUAUUAAUAUGCUUUCGAAAAAUAAUUUUAAUGAUAUUCAUUGUUUAGUGGUAAUGUAACACCAUCUAAUGCUUUUGGCCAUUUAAGAGGUAUUGUAGAUCAUCUAGGUUCUAGUGAGAUUGUCUAGUUAGUCCUGUAACAAGGCUAUCUAGCCGUUUUGCUAUAUUUUUUUUAUUUUUUUUAUAUGUUUAUCUGUUGUAAUCUUAAGAAUGUGUGCAUCUCAUACUUUGUUUUCCAAAAUAUUUUGUUUUCUUCUUUUGUUUUUUUCUCUUACUUGUGCUUUUGUUUUAUUAAUCCGUGUGACCACUAUAAGAAAAUCAUCAAAUAGAAACCAAUUUUUAGAAACCAAAAUAAUUAGUUGCAAUAGUAACUAAAUUAGAGACCAUUUUAGAAACUAAAACAAAAAUUGGUUUCUAAAUUAGUUUCUAUUAUUGUUAAAUAGUUUCUAAAUUGGUAUCUAAUUAGCAACCAAUGUUUUAUCUACCAAUUAUUUAGUUUCUAAAUUUAGUCUCUAAAACCUUGGUUGCUAAUUAGAGACCAAUUUAGAAACUAUUUAACAAUAAUAGAAAAUAAUAGAAACUAAUUUAGAAACCAAUUUUUGUUUUAGUUUCCAAAAUGGUCUCUAAUUUAGUUACUAUUGCAACUAAUUAUUUUGGUCUCUAAAAAUUGGUUUCUAUUUCAUGAUUUUCUUGUAGUGGACUAUGCGUGUGUCAUGAAUUACGAUUUUUAAUAUGCUAGCAGAGUAGGUUGAAUAAUUAUUUUCUAUUCUUUUUCUUUUUUGUUGAAUAAUUAUUUUCUCUUGUGGGCUAUUUUCUUCUUGUUGCCUUUCUUGUUGUCUUCUUCAUGUAUUUUUAACAUAAUACAGAAAACAAGGUUUUGUGAUACAACACUAAGAACUGCAGCUACCUAUUCUAUCAUUAAUUAUGGUUAUGGCUACUAAAUACUAAGAUUACUAAACUAGGAUUAAUUAUAAACUUUUUUUUUCUAUUUUCAGAAUAGGUCACUUAUAUAUGUGAUAUUUAGGUUAACAUAGUUUGUUGGACAGUAUGUUAUUGGACCUAUCCUAACAUUGUGUUACGAAUCUUUGCAAUAAUCUCGCAAGCUCAUAUUACUUGCAUCUUGGAAAAAUUUUUGGAACUGCAUUUAUCUCUUCUCAACUCAAUGGAAAAAAUCCCUUCGCAUAAAGGGCAAAUUGUGGUAAUAAAGUUGACACUUCUCCUAGUUAAGUUUGAUCUUGUUGUACUUAUCCCACCAGAACCCUCUAAGAGAAGGUAUGAGCAUUCUGGAGUGCUCUAACAUUCUAAAAAAAUUGAAUAAAGUAUUGUCAACACUCACAUAGGUAUUCUUUUAAUAUAGCAUAUGAUGACUUGAAAUAGAGAAUAACCUAAGGGAUUUUUGUUUAAGGGUCACCUCUCCUAACCAUCCUUUAAAUAAGUGAUUGAUAGAUGUUAUUUAUUGACUUAUUUUUCUAAAUGCCUUUUGUGAUGUUAUAGGUAAGUUCAGAUAUUAAGCCUUUAAGGCUCGAUCCGAGGCUUAGUGGGUUGUGUGGCGUUAUGGUAAGUUUCGAUAUUAAGCCUUUAAGGGUCGACCUAAGGCUAGUGGGAUAUAUGGCAUUAUAGGUAGAUUUUGAUAUAUAUAACGAUAAUUUGUUUUGAAUGAAGCAAAUCCUAGAAAAAGUCCUACGAUUAUAUAUUUAAUAGAUGAAUAUCAUUAAUGUCUCCUAAACAUUUAAGACAGUUUAAGUCAAGAAUAAAGUGUUAUAAAGGUACUUUUGACAUUUAAUAGUGAAUAAAAAGACUUAAAGUAGGACAAAAUACAAGGAAUUUGGAGGAUCAAUAUAGCAUAAAAAGGAUAUAUAAGGUCAGAAAAAGGCAGAAAAAAAACUGAGGGUGAAUUAUUUUCGCAAUACUGAGUCAUAUUGAAAUUUGAAUAAAAUCAACUAAUUGAUUUAUCUGUUUAACUAAUUAUAAAAAGCACAAUAAGUAUAUAUUCAAAAAUUAAACUUGUUGUUACGAGAACUCAACCAAUUGAUUUAAACGCAAAAAGUAGAAAGUUAUUGAUAAAACAGAUACUAGAGAGUAAGAGAGAGAGAGCGAUUGCACAUGAGAUUUAUAUCACUACAAAAAAAAAUAUUAUCUAUGAAGUUUUACCCACGGAUCUGAAUCCAUAGGUAAUUUCAACAUUACCUAUGGAUAUUACCAUGGAUAAUAUUACUUACGGACAUUACCCACAGAUUUUGAAUCCGUAGAUAAAUUCAGAGUUACCUACCAACUAUUAUUCAUGGAUCUUAUUACCUAUCAACUUUUAUCUACGGAUCUCUAUUACCUACCAACUAUUAUCCACAAAUCUCUAUUACCUACUAACUAUCACUCACAAAUCUCUAUUACCUACCAACUAUUAUCAUAAUAAUUAUAUAAAUAAUAUUAAAAAUAUUAUUAUAAUAUGAAUAAUUAUAAAAUCAUAAUUAAUAUUCAUAAAUAAUAAUAAUCAUAACUAAUAAGUACACAUAUUAUUAAUAUUAUAAAAUUAAUAAUAUUUAUAUAAAUAAUAUAAUUAGUAUUAUAUUAAUAAUACGAAUAAUAUUAUUAAUAAUAAUAAUAUUAGUAAUAUUAAUAGUAUUCAUAAUAUAACAAAAUUAAUAAUAUUAGUAAUAAUAACAUUAAUAAUAUAACUACUAUUAAUAAAAUUGAUAUUAUUUAUAAUAUUAAUAAUAUUUAAUAAUAUUAAUAAUAUUUAAUAAUAUUAAUAAUAUUUAAUAAUAUUUAAUAAUACUUGUAAUAUUUAAUAAUAUUAAUAAUAUUAAAUAUAUGAAUAAUUUUAUUAAUUUUUAUUUUAUUAAUUAUAUUAAUAUUGAUAAUCAUACUAAUAAGUAUAAUAAUAAUCAUAAUAUGACAACAAAAUUUGAUUGGUGUAAUGGUUAAAGUUUUUUUGGACAUUCCGAUAUAAUAAUUGGCAAACAAUAAUAUUUGUAAAUAAUAAUUGAAAAAAAAAAGAAAAAAGAUUUAAAUAAUAAUUAAAAAUUUAAAAAUAAAGAUAUUGAAUUACCUAUGGACACAUUACCUACGGACUGGAGUUGUUGGAUAAGUGCAAGAAUGAUCCAAGAAGCAAACUCGUUGUUUCUUGGACACAUUAUGGACACAUUAUGAAAAUCGUUGUUUGAAAUAACCAGAUUACAUCUUUAUAUUAGGUAAUAAUGAUUGUAAAAUUGUAAAAGCAGUUUGAUCAUUUAAUGAAAAUAUUUGUUUCAAUUAAAAAUGGAUUGGUUAAUAUAACAGAAUUUUGUUUAAAACAUUUAAUUUUUUUUGAAAUAUCUCAUUAUUUUCUUUAAGUUCAACUGAUUAAUACAUGAAUCAACUCAUUAAAAUAGAGAGAUUUAGAAAAUAAAACUUUGCAAAGAGAUUACUAUUGAAGUAAAUUGGAUCAUAAUGUAAUGCGAAGUUAUACAUAAAAAGCCAUGUUUACUGAACUUCAACCUCUAGAAAGCAAUAACACAUGGUAGAUGGUUUCUCUUUUACCGGAGCACAAACCAAUCGACUGUCGCUGGAUACAUAAAAUCAAGUAUAAUUUUGAUAGGACCAUUGAACGAUAUAAAACUCGUUUGGUCGCCAAGGGCUUCACCGAGGUUGAAGUUGUAGACUAUAAGGAAACUUUUUCUCCUACUGCCAAGCUCACCACUCUUCGUUGUUUAUUAACUGUUGCUUCCCGCAACUGGUAUACUCAUCAACUUGAUGUGCAAAAUGCAUUCCUUCAUGGGAAAUUACAAGAAGAGGUGUAUAUGACUCCACCUCCUGGUCUUCGCCGACAGGGGUAGAAUCUGGUAUGUCAGCUUCACAAAUAUAUUUAUGGUUUAAAACAAGCAUCACAAAAUUGGUUUUCAACUUUUGCAACUAUGGUUAAAUCUACUGGUUACAUAUAAUCAAAGGCAGAUUAUUCCCUUUUUACUAAAUCUCAAGGUAAAAAGUUUAUUGUUAUUCUCAUUUAUGUUGAUGACAUCUUGUUGACGGGUAAUGAUUUACAUACAUGAAAUCAAGCUGCUCAAAAAGUCAUAUGCACAAACGUUUUCUUAUUAAAGACCUCGGUGAAUUGAAAUAUUUUUUGGGGAUAUAAUUCUCUUGUAACAAAAGAUGGAUUUUUAUGUCUCAAAGAAAAUAUGCAUUGGAUAUUUUACAAGACACAGGAUUAUGAGGUGUGAAGCCGGAAAAAUUUCCAAGUAAAACUUGAAAUUGAAAAAUGAAGAUGGCAAAAUACUUGAUGAUUUGAGCAAGUAUCAGAGACCGGUUGGAAGAUUAAUAUACUUUACAAUUACUAGACCUGACAUAGUAUAUUCAAUACACACCCUUAGUUAAUUCAUGAACACACCCCGAAAGCCUCAUUGGGAAGCAACAUUGUGGGGGGAAGCAGCAUUGCGGGUUCUUAGAUAUAUUAAAGGGACAUCAGGUCAGGGUCUUUUUUUACCAUUUGAAAAUAAUUUAACUCUUAAUGCAUACUGUGAUUCAGAUUGGGGAGGAUGUCGUACUACAAGGUGUUCUAUUUCUGGUUACUGUAUUUUUCUCGGAUCACCACUUAUCUCUUGGAAAUCAAAUAAACAAACAAAUGUAUCACAUUCAUCGGCAGAAGCAAAAUACAUAUCAAAGGCAAAUACUUGUCUGGGAAUUGGCUUGGUUGAGAUAUAUACUUCGUGAUUUGACGGUUGAAUUGCACAAAUCGACUUCGUUAUUUUGUCAUAAUCAAGUAGCUUUACAUAUUGCAGCUAAUCUAGUUUCUCACGAACGUACAAAACACAUUGGGAUUGAUUUCCAGAGAAAACUUCAAGCAGGUGAGAUUCAUUCAUGUUAUGUUUCUAUAAAGAUGCAAUUGGCAAACAUUUUUUCAAAAGGGCUUGGUAGAGAGCAAUUUGAAUUUUUAUGCGGCAAGUUGAGAGUUCUUGAUUUGCACUCUCUCCAAUUUGAGAGAGAGUAUUAAGAAAUAUAUCAAUUAUCAUAUGAUAUUAUUAGUCAUUAUAUGAUUUAAUCAGUUAUAAAGAAAAAAAUAUAUCAGUUAUCAUAUGAUAUAAUUAGGUAUUAUGUGACAUACUUAGUUGAUUGAAUAAACAUAAUUAGAUUUUAUAUUACACUCUUUCAAUUCAUUCAAUUGAAAUCUAUAUGUACUGGUAUGGGCGAGACCGAGAUUCGGUCACCCUGACCGAGACUCUGGCUCGCUGAUCGAGACCGAGGAAACUUGACCGAGACCACAGAAACUUGGCCAAGACUAGGGAAAUCAUCAUGGUCAGCCUGGUCGACCGACCCAUACACCCAUUAACACUCAAACCAAGGUCAGUGAAGCUAAUCCGUCAUUAAGGAUUAGGUAAUGCAACCCUAAGUGAGAUCCACUCCACUAAUCAGACUCAAUAAAGUAAGUCCAUUAAAAUAAUAUAAAUAGCACACAUCCCAAGAACAAAGGUACGUCAUUUAUUACUGUUCACCUACCUGAAUACUGAUCACUCGCUUUACUAACUUGAGCAUCGGAGUGUCUUCGCAGGUACCACAUUCGGUGUUCGUCCGAGACCGAGUGCCGAAGGAGAAGCACGAGGACGAGAAGAACCCCAACUCAUCACCGAGUGACCUGCCUGAUCGAAGGAAGGAGAGGAAGACUUCAAUAGUUCUUUAGGUCUCAUCUCCCUAGCAGGAACACUAUCCUUCUUGGCUAGAACACGUCCAUCAUUUUUUUUUGUUAUUCUAAUUUUUUGAACGCGUUCUACUUAAAUAAAUGGAGAAGAAAAGUGUGGUGGUGGACACCAAUAUGCAGUGGUGGAAAAGGUCCAUGAACGACCACAAGAGUUUCCCCACCAGAUUAUCUCUCACUUUUGUCAAGUGAAUGGAUAAUUGCAAUAAAAUAUUUAGAUAUAUAACUUUAAAAUAUUCCAUGAAGUGUGCUCAUUAUACUAUAAUAAGACUACAAUUGACAAGUUUUAGAGUGCAGACCUUAACACUUCAAUCACUAAAAAAAAGGUUUUUAAUAUUUCAACAAACUUAUAAUGACAGCUUGAGAAUUAUAUUGGUUUAAUUUUGUUAGAAAACACACAUAAUAACAUCAAUUACAAUCAUUGUUGUUUUUUUUUACAUACAAUACAAUGACAAUUACUUUUAUAACUAUCGUAGUUUAGUUAAUAUUCGAUAAAAGUUAUUUUUAAAAUUGUCACAAUUAUCUCUUAAUAAGUAUUUUUCUAAUAUUUUUUACAAUGGUUCUAGGUAGUAGAGAUGCGAUGAAAAAUCGUAUACUAAUCACCAUCACCAUUGUUUUGUCUUAAAUAUUUUGUUUUCUUACUUUUUAUUAUGAUGGAAGUGACAUGAUUUUUACCAUAAUUAUAUUAUGUUAAUUGUACAUACUUUGCAGAUUUUAAACAUUCGUAUUAAAAAAAAUAUCAGACAUACAAUCCCAUUCAUAUUUCACAAUUCUUAUCACUUUUCACUUCAAAAACAAUUAUAAAUAAACAGUCUUAACAGUUACACGAGUUGAUUUACAAAUCAAUUACAAGAAAUCUCACCUUAUUAUAGAGACAGAUAAAUAAACGAGUUGAUUUACAAAUCAAUUAGAACAAAUCUCAGUUUAUUAUAGAGACAAAUAGAGACAAUCUAAUAACAAUGUUAGAUCAUCCAGGUAAAAAAAAUCAUGACAUAAAAACCAAUUUUAGAGACACAAAAUAAUUAGUUCUUAUAGUGACUAAAUUAGAGACCAUUUUAUAAACUAAAAAAAAAUUGAUUUCUAAAUUAAUUUCUAUUACGGUUAAAUAGUUUCUAAAUUUGUAUUUAAUUAGCUACCAAGGUUUUUGCUACCAAAUUUAGAAUCUAAAUUGGUAGUUAAAACCUUGGUAGCUAAUUAGAUACUAAUUUAGAAACUCUUUAAUAAUAAUAGAAACUAAUUUAGAAACCAAACAUUUUUUUAGUCUCUAAAAUUGUCUCUAAUUUAAUCACUAUAACAACUAAUUAUUUUUUAUUCUAAAAUUGAUUUCUAUUUCAUGAUUUUUUUUUAUAGUGUAGGUUCUCUUCUAGAUUGCUCAACUUGAUGUUACAUCCAAAUAAACCUUUCCCAACUUUGAAGAAAGGAUUAGCAAUAUUACAAAGAUUCAAACUAAAACACCUUAUAUCAUAUUGAAAAAUAGCUCAAAACAGUAAUAGCAGACAAACACAAGUAGCUAGUAUAGAUAAAAAAAAUAUUAUGUAGAACACCAUGGUACAAACGGUAAAAAAAUUCUCUUGCUAUUUGAUUGUUUUAAGGUAUUGAUUAGGGAACAAUAGCCUGACUGAAAAGGAGAAAAUAACAGCAGGUAGUUUAUAUUUCAUCCAUAACUAAGCCUUUAGCUGAACCAUAAGUACCAAUUCUUCUUCAUCAACGUUUCCAUCUCUAGACACCAUUAUGUUCUUAUAAUUUCAUAUACUCAAAAUCAAUGUUAUCCACAUAAGUUUUUAACCUGGUUUUGCUUUUUUCUUUUUUUCAAGUGUAGCAGUUGAAACUGCUCAAAGUGAACAAAAAUAUUGUUACGUUGGAGUGACUGAAUUCUCACCUAAUGUGUUCCAAGCUAAAAAAACUACCUUACAUUCUAGAAAUAAAGGAGAGUUUGAACAAAUAACUCUCAAUUCCAAAGGAUAGAAUUAGUCACUCAUGUUAAGUAUUACAAGCAUGGAGAGCAAGAAAAGAAAAUCUAAGAUGUUUCUCCUUGACGGAUGUCUCCUCUAGGGUUUCUAACACCUUCUAUUCUCCCAAUGAAUUUCCAAUUCACUCAAUGUUGUCUAGGGUUGUGCUUCAAGCCUCAUAUUUAACCUAGUUGAGUUUGGGCUAAGUGACUUCUCUCUUGGGCAUUAUUGGGCUCACCUGGGCUAGUUGCAUGAAAACAGGUCCAACGUCACUGAAGUGAUCUCGCUUGGGCGACAUUGAGCUCCCUUGGGCGAGAUCCUUUAGGAGCUUCUGGCUUGGGCGAGCUUGGGUGAGUACUAGUGCGUUCCAACUUUCCCAUUUUAUCUUUGUAUAUUCUCUUUUUGCCCUUUCAUCUCCAUUCUUCUCUAGAAUCAUAGAAUUAACACAAAUUUGAGAAUCAAUUGUUCUCAUCCAAAUUAAAAUCACAAAAUAUGUAAAAAGAUUUAAAUUAAUAAAUUAGGAGUUAUUCUAUCAAUUAAUAUCCAUAAGUGUCUGUAUUUUAAUAUGAAAUAUUACUGAAAUCUGACACUUAUUAAUAGAGAUAAAAACUUUUACAUAGUAUAUAGUGGGUGUAAAUCUCACCUUAUAAGUUAGUUUUAUAAGGUUCAAUUUGAGCUUAAAGUACACUUCUUAAUAUGGUAUCAGAGUCAUUUAAAGUCUAUCAUAGUGAAAUUUUGUUGGGCCUAUGAGGUCAUUCGCUAUUGGGUCACCCAUAAAUAUAUAGUUUAACGCACAAGUUAGGAAGUCCCGACGUGAAAGAAUGUUGGAGCUCUUACGUUGACUAGAGAUAAGGAAUUUUCAUAAUAUAUAAGUGGAUGCAAACCUCACAUUAUAAAUUGAUUUUAUAAGAUUGAGUUAAACUUAAAAUUCACUUCUUAAUAUAAAAAGUGAAAAAACUAAAGUCGUGAUCCAACACAACUUCAAAAAUCAAAAGCAAAAAUAGUAUAGAACAUAAUGAUUUCAAUAAAAAAAAUUUAAAAAUAUAAUGAGAAAAUCGUACUUUGAGUGAUGACUUACUUAUUUUUAUAAAAAAAAAGUAAAAAUUUCAAAUACUUUAAAGAAUGGUACCACUACAAGAAAAUCAUGAAACAGAAACCAAUUCUUAGAGACCAAAAUAAUUAGUUGCAAUAGUAACUAAAUUAAAGACCAUUUUAUAAACUAGAAGAAAAAUUAAAAAUUGGUUUCUAAAUUAGUUUCUAUUAUUGUUAAAUAGUUUCUAAAUUGGUAUCUAAUUAGCAACCAAGAUUUUAACUACCAAUUAUUUAGUUUCUAAAUUUGGUCUCUAAAACUUUGGUUGCUAAAUGGAUAUAAUUGAAACUAAUUUAGAAAUCAUUUUUUUUUAGUUUAUAAAAUGGUCUCUAAUUUAGUUACUAUUGCAACUAAUUAUUUUGGUCUCUAAAAAUUAGUUUCUAUUUCAUGAUUUUCUUGUAGUAUACCAUUAAUUUCAGUAAAAAAAAAUCUUGGAUUGUAUACAUUUUAUAUUUUGAAAGGUAAAUUGAUUUCUUCAUUUUAUAUUAACUAAAAAAUUUCUUAUUAACUAAAAAAAUAUAUAUUUAUAUUACAAAUAAGUAAGAUAACAGUUAUAUCAUUGUGAAUGUAAAAAUAAUUAAAACUUAUGGAAUUGAAAGAUAUAAACAUAUUUUAAUACCAUUAAAACAUAAUUUUUUUAAUAGAGAUUCAAUUUGAAAAUACCUAAAUUAAUGAGGAGUUUAAAACUUAACUAAAUCUAGAUUUUAAUUUCACAAGUAUUUAUUUAUAAUUUUAAAAUAUAUACACGUAAGUUUAAUUUUCAUUUAUUUUAUAAAUAAUUAUUUUCCUGAUAAAUGAUUUUUUUAUCAUUAAUUUAAUUGAUAUAAAUGUGUGGAUACAUUUAACGUACCAUUAUAAACUCUUCAAUAUUAAAACAAAGUUGUUGUGAAAAAAAAAUUUAGAGUAUCUAUUUUCUUGAAAAAAUCAUUUAAUGUAAAAUAUUUGGAUUAAAACUUACUAAAUAUUACUCAUUUGGUCAUUGGAAAAGUUAUGCAAUCCAACACAUGGAAAAUAGAAAAGACAAGUAUUUUCUACAACAAAAUUGUAGAAUGUCACCAUGCAUAUUCAGGUAGAAUGAUAGUUCAUGAUUUCGCAUUUGCAAACUUUGGAACAAAAUAAUAAAUUUAGUAACUCAUUUGUUCUAAUUGUUGGAGAUCUCACAUCGACUAGAGAUAAGGACAUUUCAUAAUAUAUAAAUGGGUGCAAACCUCAUCUCAUUGAGCCGGUUUUAUGGGGUUGAGUUAGGCUUAAAGUCCACUUUCGUAAUAUGGUAUCAGAGCUGGCUGCAUAACGUUCAUCUGAUAAAAAUAAAUCAAUAAUUAUUAUUCAAUAUAUGAAUUAUUUCUACAUAUAUUGUUAUUUGACUGCGUCAAAUAUAUACUUGCAGAUCAAGUGUUUAUAUAAGACAAACAUGUGAAACUCAUUAGAAUUUGUGGUUCAAUAAAACUUAUUAAUACGGAUAUUAAUGGAAAAAUGUUCUUUUCGCCACAGGUCUACAUGUGGUGGAACUUUGACUGAGUAAUAAUACAGAGAGGUUAGGAAAAAGAAGAAAAUAAAAGAAAUUAUAAGUUAAUGAUGAUGAGGAAGAAGCUUCGCAACAUGGGUUGUCGUUGUCUGAUGAAAAGAACAUAUGAAUUGAUGUCGAAUUAGAUAUAUGAUUUAUUCAAAUUCAUUUAGGUCUACCAAGUCAAGGUUGAGUGUGGGUUAUGUUUUCUACACACAGUAAUGAGUGAACUUCUUCCAAAUUUAAACCUGCAUUAAGCUUCCUGUCACAAUCUUAGGUCCACACUCUCCUUUAUCACACUAAUCAAAAAAAUCAAAACAUCUUUCAGACUUUUAAUAAUACUUUUACGGUAUAUUUGUUUUCAGGCAAAAAUAAAACUAGAAAUCACAAAAAUUAAUGUAUUUUUAUUUCUUCAAACUUUCUUAAUUUUGUUUAAAGGGAUUUGCUAUAUACUGAUUAUAUAUAAAAAUUAUAUUUUAAUAUAUAUAUAUAUAUAAUACUUAAUAUAUAUUUUUAUAUUAUAAUAAAUAAAAAAUAAAAAAUAAUUUUAAUUAUUAAGAUGUAUCAUUAUUAUUAUUUUUUAUUUUUUAAUCUAUUUUAAUUCUAAUUUAUCUUUCUAAAUUUUUUAUAUUAAAUUUUUUAUAAUCAUUUUAAAUUUAUUAUAUCUAUCAAGUCAUUCACAAAUUUUUCUUUCACUUUUUAUUCUCUUUCCCUCAAUCCAAACUAUCUCACUUUUCACUUUUUUUUUUUCACUCCUUCAAAUUCAUUCUUUGAUGAAAACAAAGCAUUAGUGUACAUGUACGUUCAACUGAUAAAAAAAAAAUCAAUGAUUAUUAAUUUCAAUAGGAAGGUUAGAAGUUGAAAUAUGUCUAUUACAUUUUUCAUAUGAAUGUCCUUUUCUUCAAUCAUCUCCCAAAUGAUAACAGUUUUUAAUCACGAACCUUUGUCUAACGACGUCUUCGACGGUAUAUUUGAGAAUAAGAGAAUCCCAAAUAUAUUUUGCUUCCUUGUAAAAGCAAUAAACAUCGAACAUAUUGUUAGAAAACACCGAGAAAGGUGUGACAACAUACCUUAUUUGCAUGAGCCCAAUCGUCAAUAUUUUUGAAAGUGUGCUUGAGUUGGGUUUAGAAGUUGUAAGUGCAAAAACGACUCUAUACAUGUCCAACAGGGUAGACAGAAAUUCUUGCCAGGGUAGAAACAGUUUUGCAAAGAUGCUCUGUGUUGCGGAAACAUUGUUUGACGUCUCCAGUGUAGACUUGUUGUUUUUGUUCGUAUUCUCAACCAUUAAUUCCUUACAAAUUGUAGUAAAUAAGGUUGAAAAAACACAAACAAAGUUGACUUCUUGAGGCGUGAUGAUCAUUGUUUGUAAGUACUUAUCCACUGUGUAUUACGCAAGUCCUCCAAGAUACAACAGGAACUUCUCGGAUAUUACCGAUAAUAUCAAAACUAACAAACAACUCUUAAAAGAGUAAGAACCCAAGAAAAUAUUAGAAAGGAAAAGAGAAAAAGUGGAAAAAGUCGUGAGCGAUGAUUUUGGAAAGGUGUAUGAAACCCCUGUUUAUAGAGUGAAAAAAGGCAACAACCCAAAAUUGCCACAACUCCAAAACCAACUUUGACGACAUUGUUUUCCAUCCCAACAGCACAACGUCCUGAGGAGAAAGAAGGAGAUAUGGAAGUUCAAGUCUUGCGCGUGAAAAAUCAACUCUGGCAUACAUUCUGUGUACUAAUUAUCUUUUUUUUUUUUUAUCAGCAAAGAAUAUAAUAUAAUAAAAAGGGGUACUUCAGGGGUACCCCAACCCAUAUACAAAAAAACCAAGUAGCACAAAGCAAAGGAAAAUAUUCAUUUUAAUGGAACAAACAGAACAACCAUAUCCUAGCCUAACAAGACUUUUCCAUUUGCCCCACACGACCUCUCAUCCACCUAUUUAACCACAUCUUCAAAGAAAACAGAUCUUGACCACCUGGCCUCUUAUGUUACGUGUCUUCAUAUGCUACCCCCAACACAACUUUCUUUUAAGCCCCUUGAUGUGUACAAAUCAGAAACACCAACAAACUGAUAUACCUCCACACGACUUCUAGCACUGACUACGACACCAAAUUUUCGUGGAAGCCACCUCGCACACCCAAACAUCCUUGGAGCAGCACCUUGAACCAGCUCCUUCUCUGAACCAGGAGCACCUUAUUUCCUAACCUCACAUCCAUUGAAAAAUUGUAGGAAAAAAAACCUCCAACAAGGAUUAUAUUUUCCUUUACUGAAUCAACACAAGAACAACACAUAUUUCACCCUGCAGCACCCUACUUCUCCUUAAACCUGAGCCCUGUAACUUUUUACAACAUUUCCACCACACCUACCAACCAUCCAGCUAACAUAGAUACCUUAUGCUUGACGUGGAGAUACAAGAACAUCUCAUCGACCACCUUCAUAUCAGCAACCCUGCAGACACAUGUUUGGAUUAAGGAUCCGAUCCGAAUAGGAAAAACUAUUGUUAUAAUAACACUACAAGAGAAUCAUUAAAUAAAAACUAAUUUUAGAGACAAAAAAUAAUUAAUUGCUAUAUUGACUAAACUAGAAACCAUUUCAGAGACUAAAAAAAUUAUUGGUUUCUAAAUUAAUAUUGGUAUCUAAUUAGCUACCAAUUGUCUUGUUUAUAAAUUUGGUAGCAAAAAUCUUGGUAGCUAAUUAGAUACCAAUUUAGAAAUUAUUUAACAAUAAUAGAUUAAUUUAGAAAUCAAAAUGUUUUUUAGUCCCUAAAAUGAUAUCUAAUUUAGUUAAUAUAGUAAUUAAUUAUUUUUUGUUUUAAAAAUUAAUUUUUAUUUAAUGUAUAAAAUUCUCAUCUAUCUGUUUGUGGUGUGGGACGGAUGGUGGUGAGGAUGGGUUUUAUUUGGACGAUUAUUAUGAUAGGAUCUUAUGCUUAUUCAUGAUUACUUGAGUUAUGUAUAUACAUAAUUUAUGUUUUUUUAAUAGGGUUGAAAUAUUUUUCAAAUAUCUUAAAUAUAUAAUAUAUUUUUUUUUUAUAAAAAAAAUCUACCUAUUGUCAUUUGACUGCGUCAAUUAAGUACUUCCAUAUCAAGUGUUUAUAUAAGACAAACCUGUGAAACUCAUUAGAAUUUGUGGCUCAAUAAAGCUUAUCAAUACGGAUAUUAAUGAAAAAAUAUUCUUUUAGCCACAAGUCUACUUGUGUUGGAACUUUUAGCCCUUGAAUAAUUUGCAAAUAUUUAAAGUAGAAAAAAAAAUCAAAUGCAUUAUACAAAUAUUGUUUUUCAAUCAGGAUAUAAAAAUUUAUUUCGAUCAUUUUUCCAUGAUUUACUAUAAUAUAUAUUUAUGUUUUGUCUCUAUUUAAAAGUAAGUCCUGAACUAUUUCUUUAAUUGGGUUCUCAAAGUAAUUCCUUAAAAUUGUUUUUGAACAGCAUAUUAAUAAAACCUUCCAAAAGAGAACGAUUUAGGAUGGCUUUAGAAACUCAAAGAACUCCAUUAAAAAAUUUACAUUAUUAAAUACCUAAAUAAGAAUUCACGGUACGUAUCAUACAUAAGUCUUCAAACAAUCUUCUAAAAGGGAAAAAUGUGGUCCUUCAUAGUUAUAUAUACAGUUCAGUCUCUCUUGUUAUCAGUAUCUAACUUUGAUUUGUUUGCACUUGAAUUCAAUGAGAAACAGAGAUGAUGUGGAAAGAGAGAGCAUUCAUGGUGGUACUGCUACUUCUAGUCCACAAAAUUCAUGGUGGCUGCCCCUCCUCUUCCUGUGGUCAAAUCACCAACAUCAAUUACCCUUUUCGAUUCAAAGGCGACCCAGAAGAGUGUGGUGAGGAAGGUUAUGAGCUUGGCUGUGAGAAUAAUGUUACGGUGUUGUAUCUGUACUCUGCACAAUAUCAUGUGCAGUCAAUAAACUACAAGAACUACACAGUGAGAGUGGUUGAUCCUGCUCUUCAACACCAUAAUCUCUCCUCCCUUCCUCUCCGUUUCCUCUCUCGUUCCAAUUUCUCUGACACUUACACUUACACUUCCUUUUACGACUCGGAUCCAUACCAAGCCGGUCUAAGAUCCUAUGAAAAUUGGGAAUUGAGUUUCUCGCAUAUAGUGUUUGUGAAUUGUAACCAUUCGGUGGGAGAGAAAGGGAAGUAUGUGGAGAGUGGAGAGUGGGUGAAGUGGGAGGGGAAGGGGUAUGCAUAUGCAAUUGGUGGAGACCUAAAAGCAGAGGACUUAGAAGUUGGGUGUGAGGUAAAGCUUGUUGCUCCCACUUCUCUCUCCACUUUCGAUUACCAUUCCUACUCUUCCAUUCACACCGCACUCGCCUAUGGAUUCCAGAUUUCAUGGAUAAAACUCACCUGUCAGAAUCUUUGUCCAGAUGAUGAUAGCUAUUGCUAUUUCGACUCUUCUAACCAGAAGCUUCAAUGCCGUGAGUCUAAACCAAAAUAUAUUAACCAAUUUUUUAGAUUUUUUCAUAACAGUUUCAAACAUAUAUACUGUAUAUUUCACUUUACAUAUAUUAUUAUUCACAAAGCAUCAUUGUAAUAAUUCAACCAACAUUUAGAAGAAAAAUAAUAAUUUGUUAUCAUCCUUUACAAUUCUCCCACUCAUAGUCACAUAAGCACGUUAUUAUGCUCCUUACUCAUGUAGUUUAAAUCUUCUAAAUAUACAUUUAAAUUAACUGAAAAGCUGGUAAACAAUUAGUAAACCAAUUUUUUUAUCUUUUAUAUUUUACAUGUAUUUAUAAGAACGUAUGCAUUAAAUUAAACAUUUAUUUUCUUUAAAAUAAAUAACUGUUAAACUUAUUGACCGCUAUAACCUUUAUCAAAAUAUGAAAAUAGCCUUUUUUGAAUAACUGGUGAGAUCACACUAUUCUAAACUUCAUAUGUUCCUUCAUUCCAGGCCGAUCUGGUCUAACACCGCUGGGAGUGCUAAUCCUGUAUCUAGCAGGUAAGACUUUAUAUUAAUUUCUAAAUUCUUUAAUUACACAAAAAAACAGACUUCUAUUAGUAGUUCUCAAAUUUCCAUUAACAGAAAUGUUGUUAAAAAAUAGAAGAUUUGGCUUACAAUCAUCUGUGAUUUUUUUUUAAAUUUUAUUUUGCUUUUAAAAACUUUCGACUACUUUCGACAGCAAUUUAUGAUUAAAUCGUAGUAUUUUUAAAGUAUUAUUUUAGUUUUAAAUUUUUCAACUCUUUCAAUGACUGGUUAUAAUAUGAACUUGGUGAAAGUAAUUAAUAUAUGAUAAUGAUUAUACUAAAAAUUAUUGUAACAUCCAACUAUUAUUCUCUAUUCACUACAAGAAAAUCAUGCAAUAGAAACGAAUUUUUAGAGACCAAAAUAAUUAGUUGCAAUAGUAACUAAAUUAGAGACCAUUUUAGAAACUAAAACAAAAAUUGGUUUGUAAAUUAGUUUCUAUUAUUGUUAAAUAGUUUCUAAAUUGGUAUCUAAUUAGCAACCAAUGUUUUAGAGACCAAAUUUAGAAACUAAAUAAUUCGUAGUUAAAACCUAGUUGCUAAUUAGAUAUCAAUUUAGAAACUAUUUAACAAUAAUAGAAACUAAUUUAGAAACCAAUUUUUGUUUUGGUUUCUAAAAUGGUCUCUAAUUUAGUUACUAUUGCAACUAAUUAUUUUGGUCUCUAAAAAAUGGUUUCUAUUUCAUGAUUUUCUUGUAGUGAUUACAAUAUAAUUCUACACACAAAGUCUUGUAUAAAUGGAGUGUUUUUUAAAAUAUUUCUUAUAUAAUUAAAAUUUAUAAAAGCACAAAUAUUUACAAUUUAUAUUUCAAAACAAACCUGUCAUGAUGGAGGUAAAAACUUCUCAAGUUAAAACAAGAUAAUAAUAAUUUUUUCUUCAAGUUCAUCUAACUUUUGAGGGUCAAUAACUUUACUACAUAUCGAAUUGAAAAAUGAACAUAGUCGAGUUAUUGUAUGUCUAACUUUUUUUGGUAAGAUUUCACGAAUAGUCACUAGUAGUAAUUGUUGCAUUAGAACGUGACAAUCAUGAAACUUUAAGUCAUUUAGUUUCAAAUCAUGCAUAGAUACAAGAGUCUUAACAUUUGAAAACUAGCCUUGUGGUACCUUAACACCUUUAAGAAAUUCACAUAAACUUAUUUUCUCCUUCUUCUACAAAGUGUAACACGCUGCAGGAAAAUAUGUAUGUUUGCCAACUUCUUACGGUGCCAAUUCCUCUCGUAUAUUCAUCUCAAUCAAAUUCGGACAUGCAUUCACAUCAUCCUUCAAUUUACCUUUAAUGUUCAAAAGUAUUUUGAUUAAGUUGUUACACACAUUCUUUUCUAUACAUGCAUUACAUCUAUACAAUGUUUCACAUCUAACUUACUCCAAUACAUAAGAUAAAAAAAGAUUGACCUCUUCUGAUGUGAGUUGAUUUUAGAUUUCCAUUUUAGAGGUGACACUUUACUUAGGAUUGAGAUUUUUAACAAUUAGAUGGUGAGACAUAGGGAAGAUUCCCACUGGACACGAACUUAACCAAGUGGUUAAGUAAGUGUGAAGGUUCACUUCCAAAGGCAAAAGGAAAAACACAUUAUAUGGUGAUGGUGAUGUAUGGUGUGGAAUUGAAAGAGCAUGGAAGGAAACAUAAUAAGAUGACAAAGACCGAAUGAAAAAUGGAGGAAAAUAAAAACAUAAACACAAAGAGAAAAUGGUGGAAUGGAAGAUGAAAAGAAAAGAUGAAGGGAAGCUUAUGGAUGAUGGGAGAGAGGUGGACACGCCACUUGGAGGUUGGUUUCCUCCAAGAUAAGUGUAGAGGGUCGCCACUUGAGAGCUCUCAAAUCACUCAAGAUAAGACCUAAUGCUAAGAGGACACAAGCCUCACAAACACCUCACACAAGUUGUGCAGAGUAACUUUACUAUUCAAAUUCAACAUGAAAAUACAUGAAGUAUGACACCCUAUUUAUAGGAAUGGGUGCCUUGGUGGGCAAGAAGAGCAAGGGUAGGGUGGUAAAUGUGUAAGGGGCUACCUUUAGGGUUUUACUAAGUAAAAAUUGCACCCUAGGCUUGUUCUUCUAUAAACUAGGUCAAAUUUCCUUCCUAAAGGGCUAGAAACAAGAUAAAAUGAUAACUACACCCCCUAUUAUGCUAAAGGCACCUUAUUCUAGCUUAUCUUGCUAUUUGGAUCUCCAAUAUGAGCCCAAAUUAUUUACAACUUGUUUUAUUCUUAAGAAGACUAUAAGGAAGAAUAAUUGAUGUUCUGGUCUUUGCCCAUUUCUCCUUCUGGUAAGGUCUGCUAGAUCCUUGGUGGAUUCUUUACUUGAAAAUUGAGAUGACUUCUCAUAGUGUGGAUGGUAAUGUGAGUCCUUGGUCAUCUCUUUGUGGUCUUGGAUUGUAUCAUGCCCCCCAAGUUUGAGAGAAUUCAACCUCCAAUUUAGAAAUCCUGCAUAUAACAUAGUUAGUUUGUUCACAUAUAAAAGAGUGCAGGGUGUGGGAAGUGAAACAAACUUAUGUACUUUAAGCUUGAGGAAUUUAAAAGGGGAAGCUCUAUAUACAAGCCAUGUUGGGAAAUAAUAUUUGAGGAUGAAAGUACUUGGUGAAAAAAAUCCUCUUAAAAGGUGAGAACCCGUAGGAGGUGUUUGAUUUUCAUCCCAAAGCUUCUUUGUCCAAGAUGUUAAGUAUUUAGAUGUAUUUGUUAAUGAAAAAGAUAAGGAAGAAGGACACCUUCGAGGUGUAGUUUGUAGCAUGGCACGAGUCAACAUGAUUGAUUUAGUUGUGUAAGAUGAUAGUUUGUGACCCGAUUAUCUUUUCUUUCUCUCUCUUUUUUCAUUUUCUCUUUUGUUUUUCAUUUUUAGUUGGUCCUCAUGAACUUCUUUGGGAGAGAGGGGUUUUAAGAUAACCUUGUGCACUUGGAAGUUGAAAGACAUUUUGUUUGUUUGGCCAUCAUGUAGAACUUGUCUAUCAUAUUUCCAAGGCCUCCCCAAAAGAACAUGUGUUGUUUCCAUAGGCACAACAUUAGAUAAAACCUCAUCUUUAUACUUUCCUAUAGCAAAAGUUAUGAGGACUUGUUUAGUAACCAUGAUUUCACCCUCUUUAUUAAGCCAUUGGAGCUUGUAGGGCUUUGUAUGAGAGAUGGUGGGUAGUCCAAGCUUGUCCACCACUCUUGUACUUGCCACAUUAGUACAACCACACCCAUCUAUUAUUAUGAAACAUAACUUGUUGUUGAUAAGGCCGCGUGUGUGGAAAAUAUUUUCUCUUUGGGUGUCAUCCAAAGGUUUUGGAAUUGUUCUCAACAUGCGCCUUAUCACCAAUAAGUCACCUUCACACGGUAUUACAUUUUCGUAAUUUUGAAGGCCACUUAAUGGAUUGGGACAAGUGUCAUUCUCAUAGUACCCAUUGAAAGCUUUUUUCAAUCUACGAUACAAGUAAUCUUUUGUUAGAAAUCUAAGACGUCGAAGAAGUAAACUUUAAGCCAAACUCAACCUUAUAUAGAUGACUCGUAGUAAGGUUUACACACUUAUAUACUAUAAAAUGUCCUUAUAUCUAGUCAUCGAUGUAGGAUAUCCAACAUAACCUCUUACUUCGAGACUAUCAACUCGUGCAUGUGACUAUAUAUUUAUGGGUGAUCUGAUUAGUCCAACAAACACUUAUUAUGAUACACUCUAAUUGACUAUGAUACUAUAUUAAGAAGUAAACUUUAAGUCUAACUCAAUCUUAUAAAACAGUAAGGUGAUGCUUGCACCCACUUAUAUAUUACAAAAUAUUUUUAUCUAUAGUUGACGUUGGAUCUCCAACAUACUUCCCAUUUUUUAAAAUUAAAUUUUAAUUUAUCAAAAAAAUUCUCAUAUUUUCUUCAUCUAAUUUUAAAAAAUCAAAAUUUUGAUCCUCAAAGUGAUAUAAAUAAAGGUUUUUAACCCAUAUUAAAUGUUAAUUACCUUAAAGAUUAAAAAAAUUGUGAUUUUCAAUAGGUUAAAAGGGGUUAGAGGAACACAAAUUGAAUUUAAAAAAUUUAUAGAAACUAUUUAAAAAAAUACGUAUGUAUUUUUUACAACCAUCACUCCAUUAGGUGUUAGGACACAUUAGUGUUACAUAAAAAUAUAUUUAUAGAUAGCAACGUGAAAAAAAAAAUUGUUAAUAUUUCUUUAUGCUAGACAUUAAAUUUACACUCUUUUUUUUCUAAUGUUACUAAGUAAAUGGAUGUGCAAACUUUGGAUUUUAUGAACGAUAAUUACUUUACAAAAUACUUUAGUGCAUUACAUUACUAGCGUAAUCACUCAAGUAAAAAUUUAUUGCAGGUAUUCUCAUAGGAAGGGCUUACAAAGUUGUGUUUGGAUUGCCAUUCAUAAUUGUUAUUUUUACAUAUAAAUGGAGAAAAAGACAUAUGUCAAUGUAUGGAAAUAUUGAAAAUUACCUUGAACAAAAUAGUUUGACACCAAUUAGAUACUCAUACAAGGAAAUCAAGAAGAUGGCUGUAGGUUUCAAAGAGAAGUUAGGUGAAGGAGGAUUUGGCUCUGUCUUUAAGGCAAAGUUGUGCAGUGGGCCUUUUGUGGCCAUCAAAAUGUUAGGCAAAUCGAAAGCAAAUGGACAAGAUUUUAUCAAUGAAGUUGCGACCAUUGGAAGAAUACAUCAUCAAAAUGUGGUACAGUUAAUUGGAUUUUGUGUUAGUGGCUCAAAGCGUGCUCUUGUUUAUGAAUUUAUGUCCAAUGGAUCUCUUGAUAAAUUUAUUUUCUCAAAAGAGAGAAAUAUACAUUUAAGCUAUGAAAAGAUAUAUAAUAUGUCAAUUGGAGUGGCUCGUGGGAUUACUUAUCUCCACCAUGGGUGUGAGAUGCAGAUUUUGCAUUUUGACAUCAAACCUCAUAACAUCUUACUAGAUGAAAACUUCAUCCCUAAGGUUUCUGACUUUGGAUUGGCAAAGUUAUAUCCAAUAGAUAAUAGUAUCGUCACAAUGAUUGCAGCAAGAGGAACCAUUGGAUAUAUGGCUCCAGAACUAUUUUACAAAAAUAUUGGAGGAAUAUCCCAUAAAGCUGAUGUUUAUAGCUUUGGAAUGCUUUUGAUGGAAAUGGCGAGCAAGAGGAAGAAUCUAAAUCCCCAUGUAGACCACUCAAGUCAACUUUACUUUCCACUCUGGAUCUAUGAUCAUAUCGAAGAAGAGGAAGAUAUAGAUAUGGAAGAUUUGACUGAAGAGAAAAAGAUAAUAGCAAAGAAAAUGAUUAUAGUGUCUCUUUGGUGCAUACAAUUAAAACCAAUUGAUCGACCCUCAAUGAAUAGAGUAGUGGAAAUGCUUGAAGGGGACAUUGAAGACUUGGAAAUACCUCCAAAGCCUACUUUAUUUCCAAAUGAAAUGAGUAGAGAUGGUGAAACAAUAAACUCGACAUCGAAUGAAUUGAACUCGUUCUCUUAUACAUGCAAUUGAUCCUUUAGUGAAGCAUACUAUUUAAGGAUGUAUAAUAAAAUUUUGUUUUACAAUAAUAUAUAGUCCCACGCACGAGCUUCUAUCUAUCACUCUCAGCGUGAGGGGGGUGUGUUGGAGAUCUCACAUCGACUAGAGAUAAGGACAUUUCAUAAUAUAUAAAUGGGUGCAAACCUCACCCCAUUGAGCCUGUUUUAUGGGGUUGAGUUAGGCUUAAAGUCCACUUCGUAAUAUGGUAUCAGAGCCAUUUCGAGCCUAUCCUAGCGAGUAUUUGUUGGGCUUAUCAGGCCACCCGCUAUCGGGCCGCUAUCGGACCACCCAUAAUAUAUAGUCCCACGCACGAGCUUCUAUCUAUCACUCUCAGCGUGAGGGGGGUGUGUUGGAGAUCUCACAUCGACUAGAGAUAAGGACAUUUCAUAAUAUAUAAAUGGGUGCAAACCUCACCCCAUUGAGCCGGUUUUAUGAGGUUGAGUUAGGCUUAAAGUCCACUUCGUAAUAUAUAUAUUGAAAUUAAUAAAAUAUUGUUGUAUCCAUGAGCCUAUAUCAUCUUUGCUUAAGACUCCGGUUGUGUACUCAUAGGUUAAGAUUUGAAUUCAACCACAGAUUUAUGAAAAAAAAGGAAAAGUACAUAAAGUUCAAUAUAAUUUAUAUUAUUAUUAUUAAUAAUAUAAUUUAUAUUGUUAUUAUUAUUAAUAAUAUAAUUUAUAUUAUUAUUAUUAUUAAUAAUAUAAUUUAUAUUAUUAUUAUUAAUAUAAUUUAUAUUAUUAUUAUUAAUAAUAUAAUUUAUAUUAUUAUUAUUAAUAUAAUUUAUAUUAUUAUUAUUUUUAAUAUAAUUAUUAUUAUUAAUAAUAAGUAUAAUAAAAAUCAUAAUAUGAUAAAUAAUAAUCCGAAAUAAUUAAAAAACAUAAAAAUUUUAAAAAAAUUAAUUUUUUUUAUUGCAUUACGAUUUUGGCAGUAUGGAAUUCUAAGUUUUCUUGUAAUAAGUCUUACAUUAUAAAUUGAUUUUAUAAGAUUGAGUUAUACUUAAAAUUCACUUUUUAAUAUAAAAACUCAAAAAAACUAAAGUGAACCAACACAACUUCAAAAACCAAAAGCAAAAAUCGUAUUAACAUAAUGAUUUCAAUAAAAAAAAUUUAAAACAUAUAAUGAGAAAAUCGUACUUUGAGGGAUGACUUACUUAUUUUUAUAAAAAAAGUAAAAAAUUCAAAUACUUUAAACAAUGGUACCAUUUCAGUAAAAAAAAUCUUGGAUUGUAUACAUCUGAUAAUUUUUUUAUAUUUUGAAAGAUAAAUUAUUUCUUCAUUUUAUAUUAACUACAAAAUUUCUUAUUAACUAAAAUAUUUAUAUUUAUAUUACAAAUAAGUAGGAUAACAGUUAUAUCAAUGUGAAUGUAAAAAUAAUUAAAACCUAUGGAAUUGAAAGAUAUAAACAUUUUUUAAUACCAUUAAAACAUAAAUUUUGACUAGAGAUUCAAUUUGAAAAUACCUAAAUUAAUGAGGAGUUUAAAACUUAAUUAAAUCUAGAUUUUAAUUUCACAAGUAUUUUUUUAUAAAUUUAAAAUAUAUACAUGUAAGUUUAAUUUUCAUUUAUUUUAUAAAUAAUUAUUUUCUUGAUAAAUGACUUUUUAUCAUUAAUUUAUGUUCCUACUAGGGAGAUGGGACCUAGAGAACUAUUGAAGUCUUCUUCUCCUUCCUUCGGUCGGGCAGAUAACUGGAUGAUGAGCUGGGAUUCUUCUCGUCCUCCUGCUUCUCCUUCGACACUUGGUCUCGGGUGAACACCGGAUGGUGGGGGUACCUGCGAAGACACUCCGACGCUCAAGUCAGUAAAGCGGGUGGUCAGCUCUCAGGUAGGUGAACAAUGAUAAAUGACGUACCUUAUUUCUUGGGAUGCAUGCUAUUUAUAUUAUUCUAAUGGACCUACAUUGUUGGGCCCGUUUAUCGAGGUGGAUACCGCUUAGGGUUGCAUUACCUAAUUCUUAAUGAUGGAUUAACUUUGCUGACCUUGGUUUGAGCGUUAAUGGUAAUCAGGAUUGGCCGUCGGCCUCAUCCUCAGGUAUGAGUCGGCCAUCGGCCAGAUUUCCCCGGUCUUGGUCGUCUCGAUCAAGUCUUCUAAGGUCUCGGCCAGGUCUCCCAGGGCCUCGGCCAGGUGGGUCGUCGGCCAAGUCUCUCAGGCCUCGGCCAGGGUCUCGAUCAAGUUGACCCGAUCUCGGGCAAUGAGACCAAGGGUCGGCCUCGCCCAUUCCGGUACAAUUUAAUUGAUAUAAAUGUGUGGAUACAUUUAACGUACCAUUAUAAACUCUUCAAUAUAAAAACAAAGUUGUUGUGACAAAAAGAAUUUAGAGUAUCUAUUUUCUUGAAAAAAUCAUUUAAUGUUUAUUUGGAUUAAAACUUACUAAAUAUUACUCUUUUGGUCAUGGAAAAGUUAUGCAAUCCAACACAUGAAAAAUAGAAAAGACAAGUAUUGUCUACACAAAAAAUGUAGAAUGUCACCAUGCAUAUUCAGGUAGAAUGAGUUCAUGAUUCUGCAUUUGCAAACUUUGGAACAAAAUAAUAAAUUUAGUAACCCAUUUGUUUUAACUUUAUAAAUGUAAAAUAUUAUAGAUGUACUUCUACUUAAAAUGACAAACAAGUUGAAUGUAAAACAAAAUUUUAUUAUACAUCACUCACUAGAAAGUAGGCUUCCGUUAAGGAUCAAUUGUGUAGGAACUAAUUGAAAGAAAUAAGAGAAGACAAAAGGUUGUAGAAACUAAUUGAACGUAAUUGCACAAAAUUGCAAAACUCAUCUUCUUCAUUUUGAUUUACUCAAUCAUAUAUAUAAUAAAAUUACAAUUACUGGAAGCUAUAAAAUAGGAAUACUAACAUACUUGUAUACUGACCAUUAAUGCAAUAUAAAGGUAAAAUAGUUUAAGGGUAAUAAAAUCAGAAUUAAUAAUAAUAAAAUCAAAAUUAAUAAUCAACAUCCUCCCUUAAUUCUGAUUUGGAACAACCUUCAUGCCCAACAUAUCUCUUAACUUGAUGAAAGCAUCAAUCUUGAAUGGAUUAGUGAAAAUAUCUGCAAUCUGAUAUUCUGAUCUGCAGUAUUCCAAUUUGAUCAUGUUUUUCCCAACUUGGUCUCGCAGGAAGUGAUAUCGAAUAUCAAUGUGUUUUGCAAGAUUAAUUGCAGAGACAUUAUCAACAUAAAUCUUAAUUGGAACAUCUAUAUUAAAACCAAUUUGAGUCAUGAUAUUGCUAAGUCAAACUGAUUGACAAGCACUUGCUGCUGUUGCUACAUACUCAGCUUCACAAGUAGAUAAUGCAACAAUUGACUGUUUCUUUGAUGACCACAAGCAAACAGUCUUUCCGAUCAAAAAACAAUUACCACUAGUGUUCUUCCUCUCGUCUGAAUCUCCACCCCAAUCACUGUCUGAGUAUCCGACGAUUUCAAUCUUCUUAGAUGAAGAGUAAAAUAGACCAAAAGUUGUAGUACCUUUGAUGUAGCGCAUAAUUCUCUUUACAGCUUGUAAAUGAACUUGUCGAGGUAACUCCAUGUAUCGACUGACCAAUCCCACAACAUAACAUAUGUCGGGUCUAGUACACGUGAGAUAUCUAAGGCUCCCAACAAUCUGCUUAAAGUAUGUUGCAUCUACAGUUUGCCCAUCACCUUUCUUCGUGAGCUUAAUUCCAGUUUCAAUUGGAGUUUUAACUGGGUUUGAAUCCUUCAUCUUAAACUUCUUUAAAAACUCAUCAGCAUAUUUCCUCUGAUGAAUGAAGAUUCCAUCAUCUCCUUGGAUGACUUCAAUGUCCAAAAAGUAGGACAUAAGACUGAGAUCAGUCAUCUCAAAUUCCUUCAUCAUGAUAUGCUUGAAAUCACCAGUCAUUUUGAGAUUACUUCCUGUAAAAAACACAUGAUCAACAUAAAGACAUAAAAUUAGCAAAUCUCCAUGAUCAUUAGUCUUUACAUAAAGACCAUGAUCUGAUGCACAUUUUUUGAAUCCAGUGGCAUGAAGAAAUGAAUCAAUCCUUUUGAUCCAAGCUCUUGGUGCCUGUUUAAGACCAUAUAAAGCCUUAGUUAGUCUGUACACAACAGUUGUAGGAACUAAUUGAAGGAAAUAAGAGAAGGCAAAAGGUUGUAGAGACUGAUUGAACGUAAUUGCACAAAAUUGCAAAAGUCAUCUUCUUCAUUUUGAUUUACUCAAUCAUAUAUAUAAUAAAAUUACAAUUACUGGAAGCUAUAAAAAAAGGAAUACUAACAGACCUGUAUACUGACCAAGAAUGCAAUAUAACGGUAAAAUAGUUUAAGGGUAAUAAAAUCAGAAUUAAUAAUAAAAUCAGAAUUAAUAAUCAACAAAUUGCAUAUAUACUUAUACUUUAUAUUAAAUAAUUAGGAGAACGAGUUCAAUUCAUUCGAUGUCGAGUUUAUUAUUUCACCAUCUCUACUCAUUUCAUAUGGAAAUAAAGCAGGCUUUAGAGGUAUUUCCAAGUCUUCAAUGUCUCCUUCAAGCAUUUCCACUACUCUAUUCAUUGAGGGUCGAUGGUGAACAUAUAUUUAUUCACACUCACUAGCCUUAUUCAUAGAUUAUUGGACUAUAAUAAUAAAUAAAUCCAUUGUUUUAAUUAAUAUUCUUAUAAUUGGGUUUAUUUGGGCUUUAACUAUUAUUAUUGUUAAUUUUGUGUUUUUAGAGUAAAUUAUCCAGAGGAAGCAUCUACCUUUGUGAAUGGGCCAAAUAUGCAAAAGUCCAAGUUGCUUCUUGAACCAAAACAGAAAACAAAUUCUGAGGAGAAGAAAGAGAAAAUAAAAGCUACAAUAUCUCAGAAACAGAAUUGGAAGCAAAUCUUCUGUUAAAUAAAAAGAAUUAUGGAAAGUGGAAACUGUUUACAAAAUCUAAACUGCAAUAUUUUCCCAAGAUCCUUGGAGCAGGAAAGCCUAUAAAAGGACACAAGCAUCAAGGAGAAGAGAGAGAGCUUCAUAGGGUUUUCUUAGUUUAUUUUCUUCUCAGUAAUUCUUUUGUUUUGCCUCCGCAUGGAAGGCUAAAACUUUUUGGUUGAUUCUUUUGUAAUUUCCCAUUGAGUUCUGAGGUUCUGUUCAAUAAAAGUUUCAUUUUUCAAUUCUUUAUAGCAGUUGUUUUUAUUGUCUAAUCUUCUGGAAAACUAGUUUUCUGGAAAACUAGUUUUUGUGAGAGGUUGUACUUGAACGCAUGAUUGAGAGUCUUCCUUGUCUUAAACUUUGGUUUCUUAGUUAGUUCGCAUCGUUCUAAUUAAUUUCUUGGGCGCAUGAUUCAAGAGAGAGGAGGUAAGCAUUCCCAUGGAGUAUACGCAUGGAAAAAAGUGGGUAUUGAUUAAACUAGUAGACGCAUGUUUUACUGGUGAGUUUCAGUUGAAUUAGAUUGAUGCAUGUUCAAUCUGGUUUAGCUCUGUUGGAGGAUUGAGAAAAGAUUAAUCUUUAGAGAACCUAUGAAGAAUUCAAUGGUGGAAGAACUUAGGAUCAACCGCUUUUUUAUUUUCUAUUUUAAUCUCUUUUAUAUUUUUUGCACAACUAUCUCAAACUCCCUUUUUAUCUUUAUUGUUAUUGCUAACUUUUAUUGCUUGCAGAUAGAUUUUAAACCCUGAUCAACUAAUUUUACUAUUGGAUUCGUUGGGAGACGACUUGGGGACAUUUGUCCAUAAUUAUACUAUCAUCUCUCUAGUGUUAGACAAGUCUACGCUAGAAUCAUAUUAAUUUGACAGCAAAACGACAGUUAUCAGUCAAUCACUUGGUUUCAAUUGUAUACACCAAAGAGACACUAUAAUCAUUUUCUUUGCUAUUAUCUUUUCCUCUUCAGUCAAAUCUUCCAUAUCUAUAUCUUCCUCUUCUCCGAUAUGAUCAUAGAUCCAGAGUGGAAAGUAAAGUUGACUUGAGUGGUCUACAUGGGGAUUUAGAUUCUUCCUCUUGCUCGCCAUCUCCAUAAAAAACAUUCCAAAGCUAUAAACAUAAGCUUUAUGGGAUAUUCCUCCAAUAUUUUUGUAAAAUAGCUAUGGAGCCAUAUAUCCAAUGGUUCCUCUUGCUGUAGUCAUUGUGACGAUACUAUUAUCUAUUGGAUAUAACUUUUCCAAUCCAAAGUUUGAAACCUUAGGGAUGAAGUUUUCAUCUAGUAAGAUGUUAUGAGGUUUGAUGUCAAAAUGAAAAAUCUGCAUCUCACACCCAUGAUGCAGAUAAGCAAUCCCACGAGCCACUCCAAUUGAUAUAUUAUAUAUCUUUUCAUAACUUAAAUGUAUAUUUCUCUCUUUUGAGAAAAUAAAUUUAUCAAGAGAUCCAUUGGGCAUAAAUUUAUAAACAAGAGCACGCUUUGAGCCACUAACACAAAAUCCAAUUAAUCAUACCACAUUUUGAUGAUGUAUUCUUCCAAUGGUCGCAACUUCAUUGAUAAAAUCUUGUCCAUUUGCUUUGGAUUUGCCUAACAUUUUGAUGGCCACAGAAGGCCCACUGCACAACUUUGCCUUAAAAACAGAGCCAAAUCCUCCUUCACCUAACUUCUCUUUGAAACCUGCAACCAUCUUCUUGAUUUCCUUGUACGAGUAUCUAAUAGGUGCCAAACUAUUUUGUUUAAAGUAAUUUUCAAUAUUUUCAUACAUUGACAUAUGUCUUUUUCUCCAUUUAUAUAUAAAAAUAACAAUUAUGAAUGACAAUCCAAUCAAAACUUUGUAAGCCCAUCCUAUCAGAAUACCUGCAAUAAAUUUUUUACUUUGAGUGAUUACGCUGGUAAUGUAAUGCACUAAAGUAUUUUGUAAAAUAUUUAUCGUUCAUAAAAUCCAAACUUUGCACAUCCAUACUUAGUAACAUAAAAAAAAAGUGUAAAUUUAAUGUCUAGCACAAAGAAAUAUUAACAAUUUUUUUUCACGUUGCUAUCUAUAAAUAUAUUUUUAUGUAACAGUAAUGUGUCCUAAGACCUAAUGGAGUGAUGGUUGUAAAAAAUGCAUACGUAUUUUUUUAAAUAGUUUCUAUAAAUUUUUUAACUUCAAUUUGUGUUCCUCUAACCUCUUUUAACCUAUUGAAAAUCACAAUUCUUUUAAUCUUUAAGGUAAUUAACAUUUAAUAUGGGUUAAAAACCUUUAUUUAUUUCACUUUGAGGAUUAAAAUUUUGAUUUUUUUUAAAUUAGAUGAAGAAAAUAUGAGAAUUUUUUUUGAUAAAUUAAAAUUUAAUUUUAAAAAUGGGAAGUAUGUCUGAGAUCCAACGUCAACUAUAGAUAAAAAUAUUUUAUAAUAUAUAAGUGAAUGCAAACAUCAUCUUACUGUUUUAUAAGAUUGAGUUAGACUUAAAGUUUACUUCUUAAUAUAGUAUCAUAGUCAAUUAGAGUGUAUCAUAAUAAGAGUUUGUUGGACUUAUCAGACCACUCAUAAAUAUAUAGUCACAUGCACGAGUUGAUAGUCUCGACGUAAGGGGUUAUGUUGGAUAUUCUACAUCGAUGACUAGAUAUAAGGAUAUUUUAUAGUAUAUAAGUGGGUGCAAACCUUACUAUGAGUCAGUUAUAUAAGGUUGAGUUAGGCUUAAAGUUUACUUAUUCGAUGUCGUAGAUUUCUAACGAAAUAUUACUCGUAUCGUAGAUUGAAAAAAGCUUUCAACGGGUACUAUGAAAAUGACACUUGUCCCAAUCCAUUAAGUGGCCUUCAAAAUUACGAAAAUGUAGUACCGUGUGAAGGUGACUUAUUGGUGAUAAGGCGCAUGUUGAGAACAAUUCCAAAACCUUUGGAUGACAGCCAAAGAGAAAAUAUUUUCCUCACACGCGACCUUACCAACAACAAGUUAUGUUCCAUGAUAAUAGAUGGGUGUGGUUGUACUAAUGUGGCAAGUACAAGAGUGGUGGAAAAGCUUGGACUACCCACUAUCUCUCAUACAAAGCCCUACAAGAAUGACUUAAUAAAGAGGGUGAAAUCAUGGUUACUAAACAAGUCCUCAUAACUUUUGUUAUAGGAAAGUAUAAAGAUGAGGUUUUAUGUAAUGUUGUGUCUAUGGAAGCAACACAUGUUCUUUUGGGGAGGCCUUGGCAAUAUGAUAGACAAGUUCUACAUGAUGACCAAACAAACAAAAUGUCUUUCAACUUCCAAGUGCAUAAGGUUAUAUUAAAACCCCUAUCUCCCAAAGAAGUUCAUGGGUACCAACUAAAAAUAAAAAACAAAAGAGAAAAUGAAAAAGAGAGAGAAAGAAAAGAUAAUCGGGUCAUAAACUAUCAUCUUACACAACUAAAUCAAUCAUGUUGACUCGUGCCAUGCUACAAACUGCACCUCCAAGGUGUCCUCUUCCUUAUCUUUUUCAUUAGCAAAUACAUCUAAAUACUUAACAUCUUGGACAAAGAAGUUUUGGGAUGAAAAUCAAACACCUUCUAUGGAUUCUCACCUUUUAAGAGGAUUUUUUUCACCAAGUACUUUCAUCCUCAAAUAUUAUUUCCCAACAUGGCUUGUAUAUAGAGCUUCCACUUUUAAACUCCUCAAGCUUAAACUAACUAUGUUGUUUGCAUGAGUUCUAAAUUCGAGGUUGGAUUCUCUCAAACUUGGGGGGCAUGAUACAAUCCAAGCCCAUAAAGAGAUGACCAAGGACUCACAUUACCAUCCACACUAUAAGAAGUCAUCUCAACUUUCAAGUAAAGACCCCACCAAGGAUCUAGCAGACCUUACCAGAAGGAGAAUGGGCAAAAACUAGAACAUCAAUUAUUCUUCCUUCUAGUCUUCUUAAGAAUAAAACAAGUUGUAAAUAAUUUGGGCUCACAUUGGAGAUCCAAAUAGCAAGAUGGGCUAGAAUAAGGUGCCUUUAGCAUAAUAGCGGGUGUAGUUAUCAUUUUGUCUUGUUUCUAGCCCUUUAAGAAGGAAAUUUGACCUAGUUUCUAGAAGAACAAACAUAGGGUGCGUUUUUGACUUAGUCAAACCCUAAAGGCAGCCUCUCAAACAUUUACCACCCUACCCCUGCCCUUCUUGCCCACCAAGGCACCCAUUCCUACAAAUAGGGUGUCAUACUCCAUGUAUUUUCAUGUUGAAUUUGAAUAGUAAAGUUACUCUGCACAACUUGUGUGAGGUGUUUGUGAGGCUUGUGUCCUCUUAGCAUUAGGUCUUAUCUUGAGUGAUUUGAGAGCUCUCAAGUGGCGACCCUUUACACUUAUCUUGGAGGAAACCACCCUCCAAGUGGCGUGUCCACCUCUCUCCCAUCAUUCAUAAGCUUCCUUUUCCUUCAUCUUUUCUUUUCAUCUUCCAUUCCACCAUUUUCUCUUUGUGUUUAUGUUUUUAUUUUCCUCCAUUUUUCAUUCGGUCUCUGUCAUCUUAUUAUGUUUCCUUCCAUGCUCUUUCAAUUUCACACCAUACAUCAUCGUCAUUAUAUAAUGUGUUUUUCCUUUUGCCUUUGGAAGUGAACCUUCACAUUUACUUAACCACUUGGUUAAGUUCGUGUCCAAUGAGAAUCUUCCCUAGGUCUUACUAUCUAAUUGUUAAAAAUAUCAAUCCUAAGUAAAAUGUCACCUCUAAAAUGGAACAAUCUAAAAUCAACUCACAUCAAAAGAGGUCAAUCUUUUUUUAUCUUAUGUAUUGGAGUAAGUUAGUGUUGAUUUCUCUCGGCAAGUGUACCGAAUCAACUGUAAUAUAUUACUCUUUAAAGUACGCAUGUCGAACCCACAGGGAACAAUUCUAAUUAAGAUGUUCUGUUAUAAAACUCAUUAAGUAUAGAAAAUAAUUUUGAGACUUUGUCCAUAACCAAAUUAAAGAAUUCACGAAUAACUCGGAGAGUUAGGGUUUGAUUCAGGACGUAACAAAACCAACUUAUCAAAUAUAGAGAAAGAUACUUGGGAUUGAAUUGCGUCUAUCUCAAUCAUCUGUAUUUUGAAUAAUACAAUAUAUAAUACUCAAAAUUACUUAUUCUUUAUGCUUAAUUUAAAGUCAUUCACUUUGAUUCCUCACAAAUGAAAUUCAUAAGAUAAUUUAUCAAAUACUGAUUCCUCAAAUAUCUAACAAAUCAUCCAGCUUUAUGAACAGAUCUAUGAUGCAAUUAAUAACCUGGAAUCUAUUCCUAGCAUUACAAGUUAUCAUGUAUUUUCGUCUAUUUCAGAUCCUUAAAGGUACUUUCCAGUUGAAUUUAAGGAUCAAAAUCAAGACUCUAUUGAUCAGACAGAAUCAAGCAAUAAGCAUAAAACGAAAAUACCAAGAACAAGUAGAAAAGAUAAUAUUAUAUAUAUAUAUAUAUAUAUAUAUAUAUAUAUAUCACCAAGAAUGCAUUUGAUCAAGGUAAAUUACAUUCAAUCCCAAGUUAGAAAGAAUUUAGCCACUCAUGACAGCUCCUCCAAUCUUCAUUCUUGAUCUGGAUUGCAUAAGAAGGGCUGAUAUGAGCAAGUUCUUCUCCUAAGAACAGAGGUUUUUCCUCCUUCUCUCACUAAUCUCUCUCUAUAAAAAUUGAAUCUUUCUCCACUGCUCCUUUUGAGUUGUGUUUCAAAAUUUAUAUAAUCAACUUUAGCUCAAGCUAGCCAAUUUAGCUUAAGCUAGAUCUUUCGGUGCAUUUUUAGCUUGAGCUAGCGAUUCUAGCCUGAGCUAAAUCAGUACUGCACCUUUAAUCAACUCUGGACAGUUUUAGCUUGAGCUAGCGAUUCUAGCCUAAGCUAGAUCAGUACUGCACCUUUAAUCAACUCUGGACAGUUUUAGCUUGAGCUAGCAAUUCUAGCCUGGGCUAGAUUAGUACUGCACCUUUAAUCAACUCUGGACAGUUUUAGUUUGAGCUAAAUCCUCUAGCUUGAGCUAAAUCUUCUUGUGAUCCAAUUAAGUUUUUACUUUCUUUCGGUCAAUGGCAUCUUGAAUAAUUCUUUCAAUGCUUCAUAUUCAUCUGCAAUUUACACAAAAAUUGAGAUUAAAUUUCUUCAUUUGUUUCUUGGUUCAAAAUAUAUAAUCAGAUUCAAUAAUUCUCAGAUUAGGGUAAUUUUCUUACAUUAAGCAACAAUUAAGUUCCAAAGUGUUCAAUUUUCUCAAUCAUAAAAACUACACAUUGGCACUUAUUAGUUAGAUGUAAACAUUAUAUAGAUGUAAUGCAUGUAUAUAAAAGAAUGUGUGUAACAGCUUAAUCAGAAUACUUCUGAACAUUAAAGGUAAAUUGAAGGAUGAUGUGAAUGCAUGUCUGGAUUUGAUUGAGAUGAAUAUACGAGAGGAAUUGGCACCGUGAGAAGUUGGUAAACAUACAUAUUUGCCUGCAGCGUGUUACACUUUGUCGAAGAAUGAGAAAAUAAGUUUUUGUGAAUUUCUUAAAGGUGUUAAGGUACCACAAGGCUAGUCUUCAAAUGUUAAGACUCUUGUAUCUAUGCAUGAUUUGAAAAACCAAAAACCCCAUCCCUUAUACAAAAACCAAAAACAAGUUUCCUUGCACCAGCAAGGAUCCACCAGACCUUACAUGACAAUACUAAAAAACACGUAUAAAAUACAAGAUACUGAGACCCCACAACCCUCAACCCAACAUUGAAACACACUCUCAAAACAGACACAAAAUCCAACAGUUAAAGAAUAUCUUUACUAGCAUUAUGACCUACAUCGAACUCAAUGCCAAAUACAAUAGUCGAUAGCAUGCAAAAAGAUUUUAACAACAUUUCUGUUAAUGGAAAUUUGAGAACUACUAAUAGAAGUCUAUUAUUUUGUGUAAUUAAAGAAUUUAGAAAUUAAUAUGAUAAGUCUUACGUGCUAGAUACAGGAUUAGCACUCCCAGCGGUGAUAGACCAGAUGAGCCUGAAAUGAAGGAACAUAUGAAGUUUAGAAUAGUGGUGAUCUCAACAGUUAUUAAAAAAAUACUAUAAAGGACCACAUAUAGCUAUAAAGUACCACAUUUUUCCUUUUACAAAAUUGUUCGAAGACGUAUAUAUGAUACUUAAAACGUAGACUUUGACUCAGAAACCGCGUUUCUAUCUUGUUUCCGUAACUCAUUUUAAUCCAUACAAAAUUUUAAAUAUUCGUGAAGUGCAUGAAUUUUUAUUUCGGUAUUUAAUCAUGUAAUUUUGUUGAUGGUGUUCUUUGAGUUUCUAAAACCAUCCUAAAUUCUUCGUUUUAAAAGCUUAUAUUUUGAAAAAUAAUUUUAAUGACCUUACAAUUUCUGUGAGUCCCAAAAUAAUGUUUGUUUAGUUAAGAAACUUCUACAUGUGAUUGGUACAUAAAUUGUUUUGGUGAAUGUUCCCCCGAAAAUGGCCUCAUAUGUUUCUUUGAGUUAAUUUCUUGAACAUAUUCUUCUUGGACAUGGGAGCAAGAAAGAGUGUGUGGUGGCAGAACGAAGCACUAACAAUUUUCUGUAUGUGUAAAAGGUAACGGACAAAGAAAAAACAUAUGGAAGCAAUUCCAAACACGUAACCCAAAAUUCCAGCAUACUUUUCAACUUGUAGCCUAAAAAACUCAAUAAUUAAAAGUGCGUUUCGAAGAAUUUGACGUAGAUCUCCAAAAUUAUAAUAUGCCCAAAAAUGUGUAUGGUUAGACCUUGUGGACUUUGACCUUCAUAAAGUUAAUAAAAGUGAACAACUCAGAGAUAAUUCUUGAUAGAAUUAAACACUUGAGUUACAUAGGAUGAGCCGGGAGAUCCUCAUUCAGCUAAUUAUUAAUUGGAAGAAUAAAAAAUCAUUAAGCAAUUUUUGUGUGGAAAAGCUAGCAGGAAAUUUCUAAACCAAUAUUUCUGCAUGCAGGUAUCAAAAUCCUCAAGUGCAUGUAGUUUAUUCCAUGAAACAUUACAUUUUAGUCUAGUCUUAAGCUUGUUUCACACUAUUAUGUCCAUUGUAGCAAAUUAACCAAAACCCUAUUCGUAAGCAUUCACGUUCUCUGUACCCCAAUUGCCACAAGAAGAAUACUCACCACUAACUAGUUGGUAUUAGUUGAUCACACUCUCGAAACUCACUACAAGUAGUUGUCACUCAUCAUCAAUGUUCAUUGAUAAAGGUUUAUCCAAGCCCAUCAGAGUUUUGAUAAACUUUCACUAUAAGAAAAUCAUGAAAUAAAAACUAAAAUAAUUAGUUGUAAUAAUAACUAAAUUAGAGACUAUUUUAGAAACUAAAAAAAGAUUGGUUUCUAAAUUUUUUUUAUCAGCAAUGACAAAUAUAUAAAUGCGAACCACAUUAGGAGUGGAACAACCCAUUAACAAAAGAAAAAACAUAGACCUCUCUAGAUCCCUAAAAAGGCAUCACAGAAUCAAAUGCAUACAUAACAGGGGUUCCAAACACCAACUGGAAAAAGAGACCGGAGCAGCAUGAGAUUUUGUAGAAAUCCAAGACCAAACUUUUUUUUGCAUCAAAGAACAAACUUCCGACGCGUCAGCCACUCCCCUAUUGAAAAUAACCGAGUUUCUGCGAAUUUAGAUCUCCCCCACGACCCCUACCCAAAUAGUAUUCCAAACCACAUUAAUCGAAGUAGAGGACGUGUUCAUCCUAAACUGCGCAAAGUUUGACAUAGGGUCAUUGUGAGAUACAAAUGACACUCCCAGCCACUUAAAGCAGUAACACCAUACCCGCCAAGCAAAGUUGCAUUCGAAAAAUAAGUGACGGUAUGACUCUUCCUCCUUUCCGCACAGACAACACAAGGAACUUUCCACCAGCACCCUUCAUCUUUCCAAAUUGACCCUAGUAGCAAUCUUGUUUUGCAACACCCUCUAGGCCGUAAGCAAAGCUGAAGGAAACGCUUUACAAUUCUAGAGCUUACUAAAAACCGAAGAUGGGUCCGCCACACUAACCCUCCUCACUAAAGAGUAAGCAGAGUUGACAGAGAACAUCUAACCUUCACCUUAUCUCUGUCAACUACCACAUUGUCUAUCAGUCCCUUUUCUUUAGUCAUCCUUGAUGCCCCAACCAACCCUUCUGCCACAAUAAGAAAAAGGAACGGGGCUAGCGGAUCAUCUUGACAAAGACCUUUCUUAGGGAAGAAUUCCUUGGUUGGACUACUGUUCACUAGAACAGAAACCGACGCCGAUUUUAAACAUCCUUUUAUCCAUUGAAUCCACAACUCACUAAAGCCCAACCUCCUCAACAUAUAGUAAAUGAACUCCCAACUAACUGAGUCGUAUGCUUUCUCAUAAUCAACUUUGAAGAAAACGCAACUUUUUCUCUUCCUUUUAUACUCUUCCAGGACCUCGUUGGCGACCAACACACUGUCCAACAAACUCCUCCCUUCAAGAAAAGUCGACUGUCUGACAUCAAUACCUUUGUUGAUCACUUUCUUGAAGCGUAGUAAUAACACUUUAGAGAUGAUUUUAUACAGGCACCCAACUAAAGAGAUAGGGCGAAAUUUACCGAGUUGCUGGGGAUUCUCGACUUUUGGUAUAAGACAAAGGAACGAAGCGUUAGUGCCUCUGGGCCAGUGACCGUUGACUGCAAAGUCUUUUACUGCCGCUACCACACCAUUUUUAACAAUAUCCCAUCAGAAUUUUAGAAAACCAAAAUUGAAACCAUCAGGGCCAGGACUCUUGCAACUAUCACAUCUCCAAAUCGCAGCCCUAACUGUUGGGUUUAAUAGUGCCAAAGUUCAAGAGGGGGGUGAAUUGACCUUUUAAAACUUUCUCGCAGAAACAGUGUUUAACUCAGUUUUACAGAAAAUAAAUCGAUUUAUGUGAAAAUGAACAGAUUUAUUUCAGCACUGUUUUUGUUUGAAACGCUUUUAAUACAGCAAGGUUAAUCACAAGACUAUGUAGAUAGAUUUUCCAGAUGCACACACACAAAUAUCAGAAUGAAAAACAGUGAAACACAAAACAGCAAACUUCAAUUUCAAGCAAGUGAUUAAGGUUCAAUUGAUAACAUGCUAAUUAAUUGAGUGACCUUUGCAAACAACCUGUUCCAGUGACUUUUGACAGACUAUGAGUGUUCUUCUUGAUGUCAAGCAAUUUUCCAGAAAUUAAGAACAAUGAAUCACAGAACAGCAAGCUUCAACUUUCAGCAAUUGUUUAAGGUUCAAUUAAUAGCUUUGACAGUUUCUUGAGCAGUCUAUCACAGUCAAUGUGUUCCAAUGGCUUUUAGCAGAUUAUAUAUGUUCUUAUCAGAUUCAAACAACUUUUUCAGAAAUCAAGAACAGUAUGCACAGUGCCCAGAAAGAACAGAUUUAUUUUCAAUUGAACAGAUUUAUUUCUUUGCUGUUUUACCAAUUAUGCAGAAACGAAAUUGCAGAGAGUGAGAGAGAAUGAACACAAGCAGUUAUACUGGUUCACUCAACCUGAGCUACAUCCAGUCUUCACCAACAACAGGUGGAAAUCACUAAAACACAGUACAACCAAGUACAAUUCCCACUGUUCUUGAAACCUACAAGAACUUAGGUACUCUUGCUGAAAAAACCUAUUUCAGCUCACACACACACACUCUCCAAGAACACCUAUGAAGAAGAGUGUUCAACCAAACUAUUACAAGGAAUAAGAAGUGAAACGACUACACCUGAUUGAGGAUACAAAGAUCAGCCUUAAACCAGUAGGCAAGAUUGCUAGAACAGUAGCUGCACCUCACACCAAGCUUUUGGAACCAAACCAAGAACAAGCACUUUGUGAUUUUCGAAAUCUUUGAAGAAUAAAUGCUAAUCCUUUGUAAACUUUUGAUUCUCUGCUGUAAAAACUUGUUUUUGCAAAUGUAUGAACUGUUGAAUUGAUUAUUAACUCAGAAAACAAGUUUGCCUUUUAUAGAGAACCAACUUAUAAUAGAUAUUUGAAAAACAGUUAAAGCUAUUAUAAAAUGAACAGAUUGAAAACAAAAUGAACAGAUUUAUUUUCAAAAAGCAGUUAUAGAAUCUGUUAAGUGAGGAGACUUAGUCAACCAUUCUGGUGCAGAGAUAAAACUGAAAAACGUUUAAGCUUGUCAUGGCACCAGAGACAAAAAGAAUCUAUUCAUUUACAGAUGAACAGAUUUAUUUUUCAAAACGAAAACAGAGAAAGUUUAACUAUUUGAAACUCAGUCGUUUUGAAAAGAAAAAGACUUAGUCAAAAUGCUUGAUGCACAAAAUCUAAUUUUCACAGGACAAAGCCAAGGCAUCAGUGUAAAAAAUGAAUCUGUUUAUUUAGAAAAGAACAGAUUUAUUUUUAUGCAGUAAACGUGUUUUUUGUAAAACAUGUGAAAAACAGUUUAAGAAAACUUAUGCUUGUUCUUAUCACAUGGCCAGUAGUUAUGAGGUGAGUUACUCAGCAAAAAGCCCACUCUUAGACAACCUCUAAGCACUACCUAAGACAUACUUAAAGCAAAGCAAAAUACAAAUGAAAUGUACAUAUAAGUCUUCAUCAAACACUACAUAUCAGUCUUCAUCAAACACAAUCUUGAAGGGGCAGCAACCAUCUUCAACAAUCUCUUCUUCAGAAAAGUCAUCUAUCAGCAUAUCGUUAUCAGAGUCCGAUAUAGAGCAAAACUUAACAUUAUCCAAACGAACCUGACAAGCAUCGUUCCUAGCAAACCUAUCUUUGAAAAAAGUCUGAACCUUUUCCUUGAUCACCUCCUUAUCCUCGCACCAUUUACCAUUCACAUGAAAACCAUGCAACUGAUUUCUCACCCUUCUCCACUUAACAAACGAGUGGAAAAACAUUCUAUUUAGAUCCCCUUGUUUUAUCCAGCUUUGUCGUUCUUUCUGAAACAUGACUGCCUCCUGCUUAAACUUAGCUUUAUUAAGUUCAGCAAGGAGAACCAUUCUUUCUUCCCUUUCAGACCCAAUCAGCCCACAAACAUCAUCGCGUUCAUCCAGAACUUCGAUCUUAUUUUGUGCCUCCUUGUUAGCAAGAUUCACAUCACCAAAGCUUCUUUAUUCCAAAUUUUUAGGUCAGCUUUUAGCCUUUUCAACUUUUCUUUAAAAAUAAAAAUCCUGUCUCCUACAACCUCAUAAAAGUACCAUCUCGAGCUCACAAACUCCUUAAAACUGUUAUCUCUAAGCCAAACGUCCAAACAUCUAAAAGGUUUUGGGCCCAGUCUACGAACACCUCUUUGAGAAUAACAGUGCAAUGGUCAGAGACAAAUCUACUUAAGACGAACUGUUGACAAUUUGGCCAGAAAUCCAACCAUUCCUUUGACACCAACACUCUGUCAAUUCUGCUCUUUACUAACUCGUUUGACUUAUACCAGGUAAACUUCUUGCCUACCAACGGAAUAUCAACCAAUUUCGAACUUUCAAUAAACUCAUUGAAGCCUUUUAUUUCUCUGGAAUAAUCUAGCGUCUGAUAGAAUUGAAAUCACCAAUGACGCACCAAGCCUUUGAUAGCUGAUUCAGUCUAACUGCAUUGAUUUCACUCCACACUUCCUUCUUUUCCCGUAGGGAACCAGAGCAAUAAACGUUCACUCCCGUUACACUUACCCCAUUACCUCGCUUCCAAAGACCUUCAAUCACAAAGUAGUUCCUGUCGUUUACCACCUUAGACUUUUGAAAAGACUUACUACUCCACAUUGUAAGAACUCCUCCAACACUAUUACAAGCUUUGUUCUCAACCCAAUCAAUUUCGUUAGACCCCCAAAGAAAGUACACCUUCCCCGGCUAAACCCGAACUCUUCGUCUCUUGUAAGCACACCAUAUCCGUCUACUCCUUAUUGAUCAAAUCCCUUAAAUAAUUCCUUUUUAUGGUGCCACCUAACCCUCUGAUAUUCAGACUAAUUAUCUUCAUAAACAAACUUACUCCUAUCUCCCUUCCACUUCCUCGAAAAAUCACCUCCCUGUUUUGAUAGAGACAACAAAUUGUUUACAAUUGCUCCUUCGCGACCGGGAAAAGAAAAACCAGCUUCUUUACCCACACACCAAACCCUUGACGCCUCAUUCUUAUCUGUCUUUACCUAGAAAAUUUUAUUGCAAUUCUCAAUUGCGCUGUCAAACGUGAAUAAAGAAUCAAUAUUAGAUUUUGACUGAUGAACCACGAGAACCUGAUCUACCCUUACAUCCACCAAAUUGCUCUCGUUCAUCACAUUAUCAUCUGACCCGUUCCGGCCAAUGGCCAAACCUGCAUUCGGCCUUGGAGUUAAAACUGCAGCCUGUAUAUUUGGUAGCAAAAACUUUGGUUGCUAAUUAAAUACCAAUUUAGAAACUAUUUAACAAUAAUAUAAACUAAUUUAGAAACCAAUUUAGUUACUAUUGCAACUAAUUAUUUCGGUCUCUAAAAAUUGGUUUCUAUUUCAUGAUUUUCUUGUAGUGUUUACAAGUUUAAAUAAACCAUGUUGAAAAGAUUCAUAUUUAUUAUCAAUCAUUGACAACCUAGUAGAUGGUGUAUUGAGUAUGAGAUGUUGAGUUUCAUGGACUGCUAUUCAAGUUAUAACUAAAUUAGAAUGUAUUGAAGACAAGACAACAUUAUGCUAGAAAUAUUUGGUUUUUGUUAGAAAAAAAUAUCGUUUGGAUUGAAGAAUAUAAAAAACAACCUAUCAAAGGUUGGUGGAUCGAAUCUCAUGCAAUUUGAUUGGUUGGAAUGUUGAAACAUAUAUGCAUGACAUAAUGGUCAUAUUAGACAAAACUGACCAACAUGAAAAAAACUUGGAAGAGUUGUUCAAAACUAUUAACAAAUAUAGUUUGAAGUUUUUUUUUAUCAGCAAAAACUAAAUGAAUAAAAGGGGAUGCUUCAGGAGUGUACCAACCCGUAUAAAAAAACCAAAGACAACAAAGGAAGUUAAACACAACAAAAUAUACUUGGAUAAUAGGGAUGGUGUCCCUUUUCAACAAUCUCCAACAAGUUUAGAUUAGUAGACUCAAGAUAUGUUAUGCUAAGCUUUCAUAGAUAAUAUUUUUCACCUUUGAAAAGAGGUGGAUGAUUGACAACUUGACCUUCUCCUUGAGUCUAAUGGAUUGAACCUCUCUUUCUUAUUAGGAUUUUACCCUAGAGGCAAGCUCUGGUUUGACAUAUCUUUAGUCGCAUCAGAUUUUCCAAACAAAAAUUAAGCUUCCCCCGAUGUAACAUAAGGCUAACUUAGGUCGAAUCUCUAAAUACAUAUCUCAUAUAUUAUAUUUUCACUACUUCAUAUUCUACUUAAAUAAGUUAAAAUUGGAGGGGGGAAAAAGGAAAUUGGAAUGAAAAACGAACUAAAACAUAAAACAAAGUAAAGAAUAGACCAUCAAUACAUAAUUGUCUAACAGACUGUUCAUCAAAACAUGAAAUGUAAAGAAUNNNNNNNNNNNNNNNNNNNNNNNNNNNNNNNNNNNNNNNNNNNNNNNNNNNNNNNNNNNNNNNNNNNNNNNNNNNNNNNNNNNNNNNNNNNNNNNNNNNNNNNNNNNNNNNNNNNNNNNNNNNNNNNNNNNCUACUUAGAGAAAGUGAAAGAGAAAGAAAGUGAGACCGACCAUCUAAAAGAUGCAGUAAAGUAAAUGACUAAAAUGUAAAUUGUGAGAAAUAUAAAUAGAUGAAAUGUAAAUUGCAGGAAACAUAAAUUAUUGGAAAUUAAAGUGCAGGAAAGUAAAUUGCAAAAGUCGUAGAGUACAAAAACUUAAAGACUGGAAACAUAAAAUAGAGCAUGAUUCAAAAUGUAAAUUGCAAUUGAUUUAACAAGAACAAAAAAUGAAUUAGAUGCAUAAAUUGAAAAUAUAAAUUGUAGAACUAUAAAUGAACAAGAAUUAAAAGGAAUAAACGAAAGGAAAAGCAAAAUUCAAUUUAUGAAUGUGAAACACGGGACAAAAUCAUGGUUCGAUAAUCUUCAACUUUGAAUGCAAGAGACCAAAAUUUGGAUUCCUUUUUAAUCAAGAAAACACAAUCGUUCAGUUUGAAUGUUCAUAAAAAAUAUUUUCAAUCAAAAAGGAAAAUACUAAAAUAGAGCAUCAUCAAACAUGAUUUUUAAUUCACUGUUACCCAAUUACAAAAUUAAAUUCACUUUCAAAUAUAAAGCGCAAAAUAUAAAGCAAUGCAGAAGUUAAAAAAGAAAAGAAGAAACAUGAGAGAGUGAAGAAGAAAAAUAAAGAACUCUCAUAAUAUUGGAAACCAACAAAAACUAUUAAUAAAAAACUGAAAACUAAACUAAACUAGUGUUGCACCUAAGUGCUUGCUGAAACAUAUCUUUUCUUCUGCAGUUACAGUUUACCUAUAAAGUUUUGAAGCUUUACAAAUAGGUGGUCCUUGGUUGCAAUUGAAAUCGGACCCAAAAAACUGAUCUAAAACUAGCUAAACUGACAAUCUUAAACUUAGUUUUGUUGACUAUCUAAUACUUCGUUAAUGCGCUUCGUUAAUGCGCUUCGUUGAAUGCUGACUUUUAACCGUUUAAUGCUCAUUUUGUUGAUUUUCAUUCUUUCAACUCAACUUUUUCCACUCUUCGUGGUAUAAGUAUUUUCAUUAAAGACCAAUUCAAAAAUAUUCCUACAAAAGAUCAUAAGCAAUUGUUAGGCGGUUGAAGCAAAAUUUAAGCUAAAAACUAUAUUUUUAUUACUUUUUUAUAAAAGAAUACUAAUUUCUUAAAGAAAAUACAAAUUUACUCUACAACCAAAAAAUAAGAACCAAGCAAAUCUCCAAAAUCAGAAAAUAAACAAAAACAUUCAAAAUUUAUGUUAAAUCCUAAACUUUAAACCCUAAACCAUGCAUGACUGUCGAUAUAAAUUUGAUGUAAAUUUUGGACUUCCUUUUUUAAGUUUGAUAGUUUUGGCUUCAAACUAAAGCCUCAAAUCAAGAAAACUCCCAAUAACAAUGCAUAUACAAUAAUAGAUAAAUAUUAUGUACAAAAUCAUAUAAUUUAACCUUAAUAUUUGUUGUAAAACAAGAACCUAAUAUAGCAAAAUAAAAACAAAAAAUAGAGUGUGUGAAACGAAAACAGAGUAAGUGGUAAAACCCUAAAUUUCUUCAAUGACCAUUGGAGGAGAUCGCGGAGGUUCAACGAAGACCGGAUCUGCUCCAAGGUUUUCGCGCGGCGUUGCCUCUUCUACCCUGAAUCGUAGCCGCACGACUGGGAACGCUCACGCCUUCGCUCUACUGAUAGUGUGGAAUCUUGAGAACGUUGCGAGAUUCGUGGGUGGUUGGCUCCUCCUUUCCCGUGGGUCUUCCUCCAACUCCGGCGACAGUCACGACUUCGUUAGGGUUUGAAGAUGCGGUAGUUUUGGGUUUCUCCAUCUAUAAAUACCACAUUCCAUCCUCUUGCUUCACACUACUCUCACUCACGGUUCUUCAUCCUCUUGAAACCCUCUACCGUGCUUCUUCUCCUUCUUUUCCAUUCUUCACCUUUUCUUUUUCUUUCUCUCUCUUCAAUAUUUUAUUAUUAUAAUAAUUAUGUGUUCUAUUGGAGUAUUACUCUUUUAAAGAGAAACUUGCUAGUUCUGAUCCUCGAAAACUACCGGGAAGUUCCUGUUGUAUCUUGGGGGACUUACGCAAUACACCGCGGAUAAGUCCUUAUGGACAAUGUGUUGGGUCUAUUAGUGUCUAAGUUCAAGAGGGGAGGGGUGAAUUGAGCUUAUAAAAUUUUCGCAAAAACACACAAUUUUUCAGUAUUCCAGAGGCAAAAAGAACAGAUUGUUUUUACAUGAAACAGAUUGAUUCUUCAGAGCAGUAUUGGCACAAUUUGAAUUUUGUUCACUGUAAAAUUGUGAUCAGCAGAGAAUUAGAACAGAACCAGAUCUGCUUAAUAUUGUGAGGAUGAAGGAUAUAGCUAUGCUUAGAGAUCAACCAAAAUUACACAACACAAGAUUUCAAGAAGUAUGAUCCUUUCUCAGGUUUUAAUGAAUGGUCAGUUUGUUCACAAUUCACUUAAGCCAUUAUAUGCAGCAACCUUGUUUAUGAUCAGAAAACUUUAACAAGACAGGAAGAACAGUUUUCACUUAACCCAGAAUUAACAGAUUCAAUUUAAAAAGAACAGAUUCAGUUCUUGACAGAAUUAAGCAAAAGAUCAGAAAAGAGUGCAGGGAUGAGAAUGCAAGAUACACACGUUUUUAUACUGGUUCACUCAUACAGAGCUACAUCCAGUCUCACCUUACCCCAAGGUGGAAUUCACUAAAAACAGUGCCAAUCACUUACAAAAACCAGCAGUUCUUGAACACUANNNNNNNNNNNNNNNNNNNNNNNNNNNNNNNNNNNNNNNNNNNNNNNNNNNNNNNNNNNNNNNNNNNNNNNNNNNNNNNNNNNNNNNNNNNNNNNNNNNNNNNNNNNNNNNNNNNNNNNNNNNNNNNNNNNNNNNNNNNNNNNNNNNNNNNNNNNNNNNNNNNNNNNNNNNNNNNNNNNNNNNNNNNNNNNNNNNNNNNNNNNNNNNNNNNNNNNNNNNNNNNNNNNNNNNNNNNNNNNNNNNNNNNNNNNNNNNNNNNNNNNNNNNNNNNNNNNNNNNNNNNNNNNNNNNNNNNNNNNNNNNNNNNNNNNNNNNNNNNNNNNNNNNNNNNNNNNNNNNNNNNNNNNNNNNNNNNNNNNNNNNNNNNNNNNNNNNNNNNNNNNNNNNNNNNNNNNNNNNNNNNNNNNNNNNNNNNNNNNNNNNNNNNNAGAUUUAUUUUGUGAAAACUGCCAACUCAGCUUAACAGAAAUAACUGUCUGAGUGGUACCUUUGGAGCCCUAACUAACUUGUGAAAAGCCUUUCAACUCACCAAGGAAUAAACAUGUUCUUUCUCAGUGAAACAUAUUAAAGUAUAACGCACAGGCCAGCUCAGCUUAACUGAAAUAACGAACUGAGCUUUCCCUUGGUGCCUUAACAGAAAUUUAGAAAAGCCUUUUAACAGAGAAGAAAUAAACAGAUUCUUUCUCCAUAAAACAUAUUUAUUUGUGUACUGUUUUAAAACUGUUAAAACCAUUUUAAAAAGCUUUUCAAAAACUAUUUAACGAAAGCCUUUUUAACGGAGAAGAAAUACACAAAUUCUUUUUCCAUAAAACAGAUUUAUUUGUGUACUGUUUUAAAACUGUUAAAAAACAUUUCAAAAGCUUUUCAAAAACCAUUUAACCACAUCAUGUGCUUGAUCUAGACUUGGUUAGGCAUCUAGGAUAGGUUACACAGCAAAAGGCAAUCAUACACACUUACAAGCCUAAUUACAAAUGAAUCUAAGAACCUAUUACAAUCUUCAAAGCACUCAAGCCAUUUUCUUCAUCAAACACACAUCAAGUCUUGGUAGGGAAGAAGCUUCCUCCAGCUUCAACACAAUGAUCACUCACGCCUCGGGAAAUAUUUUGUUCGUUUUAAAGCCUAUUUUACUACAAUCGUAAGGACUUAUGGCUGAAAAUACGAACAACAACGACAACAUUGCUCCGGGAUCGUCAAGUGUUGUUUCCACAACGCAAACCAUUUUUGCUAAACCAUUUCCGGAUGUCUCCAAAAUUGAAGUCUUCACCGGUCAGAACUUCCAACGUUGGUAAGAACGCGUGUCCACCCUAUUGGACAUGUACGGAGUUGCUCAUGCACUUACAACUGCCAAACCCGACUCAACCACGACUACGAAGCAAGUUGAUGAUUGGAUCCAUGCGAAUAAGGUAUGUCGUCACACUUUACUCAGUGUGUUAUCUAACGAUCUGUUAGAUGUUUAUGCUUCUUAUAAGAAUGCGAAAGAAAUUUGGGAUUCUCUUAUCCUCAAAUAUACUGUCGAAGACAUCGUCAGACAAAGGUUCGUAAUUGCAAACUACUAUCGCUGGGAGAUGAUCGAAGGCAAAGACAUCAAAAUCCAAAUAAAUGAAUAUCACAAGCUGAUUAAAGAUAUCAAAACUGAAAGCAUAACCUAGCCGGAUGAAUUCGUGUCCGAACUCUUGAUCGAAAAGCUCCCGCAGUCUUGGACGGAUUACAAACAACAACUGAAGCACAGACAUAAACAUAUGUCUCUAUCGGAUCUGAUCACCCACAUCAUCAUCGAAGACACAAACAUGAAGGAGUGCGCUGCUGCAAAGGUCAAAGCUUUGUCUGCCAAAGCAAACGUGAUAGAAGACAAACCAGCUCCAAAAAGGUACGAGAAAAAAUUUGAUCACAAAAAGAAACCUAAUAACAAAUUCUUUCGUCCCAGUGGAACUAACCCCACUUUCAAGAAAAAGGGUAAUUGCUUUGUCUGUAGAAAGCCAGGUCUUCAUGCACCUUAGUGUAGACAUAGGGCAAAAAACGACUAUCCUCAUAAGGCAAAUCUAGCCAAAGGGGAAGAUACUAUUGUGGCAGUCGUUUCACAAGUAAACCUUGUGACAAAUGUGAGAAAAUGGGUGGUAGACUCUGGGGCUACCAGACACAUCUAUGCAAACAGAAAUGUGUUUACCUCCUACACAAGUGUGGGGGAUGGAGAAGAACAAGUAUAUCUCGGUGACUCCAGGACAACUCCUGUCCUAGGAAAAGGAAAAGUUAUUCUGAAGCUCACAUCUGGUAAAACUCUAGCUUUGAAUGAUGUUCUACAUGUGCCGUCAAUUAGAGUUAAUUUGGUCUUUGUGGCAUUACUAAGCAAAGUUGGGGUUAAAGUGUCAUUUGAAUCUGACAAGAUUGUUAUGACAAAAAUAAUGUUUUUGUGGGAAAGGGAUAUUGUGAUCAAGGCCUUUUUGUAUUAAAUAUUUUUGAAAUUAUGAAUGAAUCUAAAUCUUAUGCUUAUAUUGUUGACUCGUAUGAUAUAUGGCAUGCUAGAUUAGGACAUGUGAAUUCUUCGUAUGUUAUAAAAUUGCAACGACUAGGAUUAAUCAACAUGCAUGACAAACAAAAUAGUAAAUUUGAUGUAUGCGUAGAAUCUAAAAUAACGAAGAAAACAUGUCACUCUGUAGAAUGUCAAACUGAAAUUCUUGGUUUAAUUCAUACUGACCUUGCUGAUUUAAAACAAAUUAUGUCUAGAGGUGGUAAAAAUUAUUUUGUAACUUUUAUAGAUGAUUUUUCUAGAUACACCAAAGUGUAUUUAAUUAAACAUAAAAAUGAAGCUUUUGACAUGUUUUUAACUUAUAAAGCGGAAGUAGAAAAUCAACUAAAUAAGAAAAUUAAGAGAAUUAGAUCAGGUAGAGGUGGUGAAUAUGUUUUAUUUAAUGAUUAUUGUGUAAAAGAAGGUAUUAUUCAUGAAGUAACCCCACCAUAUUCGAGUCUAAUGGAGUAGCUGAAAGGAAAAAUAGGACUCUUAAAGAAAUGAUGAAUGUCAUGCUUAUUAGUUCUAGUGCUCCUGAUAAUUUAUGGGGUGAAUCUCUACUUACUGCGUGUUUUUUACAAAAUAGGAUACCACAUAGGAAAACUGGUAAAACACCCUAUGAGUUGUGGAAAGGUUAUCAACCUAAUUUGAAAUACCUAAGAGUGUGGGGGUGUUUAGCUAAAGUGAUGUUACCUGAUCCUAAGAAAAGAAAAAUAGGCUCUAAAACAUCUAAUUUUAUGUUCUUAGGAUAUGUAGAACAUAGUGCUGCCUAUAGGUUUCUAGUUCUUAAUAGUGAUAUAAUUGAACGUAACACUAUAGUAGAGACGAAAAAUGUUGAGUUCUUUGAACACAUCUUUCCUCUAAAGAGUAGUGGUACAUCUGAACAACCUAUAGAUAGUGCUAGUGAUACCUUGAGUGAGGAUGUUAGGAGAAGUAAAAGACAGAGAAAGGAAACAUCUUUUGGAGAUGACUUUUAUACUUAUCUAGUUGAGAAUGAUCCAAUAAGUUUUGUAGAAGCUACUAGUGCUCCUGAUGCUAAACAUUGGGAUAAGGCCAUUAAAAUUGAGUUUGAUUCAAUUAAGAAAAAUAAUACGUGGACCUUAGUAGAUUUGUCUAAAGGAGCAAAACCCAUUGGUUGUAAGUGGAUCUUUAAGAAGAAGUAUCAUCCUGAUAGAUCCAUAGAGAAAUAUAAGGCAAGAUUAGUAGCUAAAGGGUUUACUCAAAAACAUAACAUAGAUUACUUUGAUACUUUUGCACCUGUUACUAGGAUUUCCUCUAUCCGUGUAUUGCUAGCCUUAGCAUCUAUCCAUAAGUUAGUAAUUCACCAAAUGGAUGUUAAAACAGCUUUUCUGAAUGGUGAAUUAGAAGAGGAAAUUUAUAUGACUCUACCUGAAGGAUAUGUAGUUCCAGGUCAAAAGGAAAAAGUAUGCAAACUUUUAAAAUCUUUGUAUGGUUUGAAACAAGCACCAAAACAAUGGCAUGAAAAACUUGAUAAUGUUUUACUUUGUGAAGGUUUUUCUACCAAUGAUGCUGAUAAAUGUGUGUAUUCUAGAUCUGAAAAUGGUGAAUAUGUCAUUAUAUGUUUGUAUGUAGAUGACAUGCUAAUUUUUGGUACAUGCAAUGAUAUAGUUUUUUAAACAAAAUUGUUUCUUGGAUCUAAGUUUGAGAUGAAAGACAUGGGUGAAGCAAGUGUGAUUCUAGGAGUUAAAAUCAUAAGGAAGGAAGAUAGUAUAUUACUAUCCCAAGAAAAAUACAAUGAGAAACUUCUUAAGAAGUUUGGUUACUAUGACUUUAAGUCAGUGAGUACCCCUUAUGACGCUAAUUCUAAAUUUGGCAAAUCCUCUGACAAAACCCCUAGGGAGAAAAAUGAUUUUAGAAACAUCGAGGGGAAUGGGACUUAAGCCACUUGCAAACAAACAAGUGAUGGAAACCCAACCUUUGUCAUUGGAGAUCCCAUGAAUAAGGUUCAUAUGGGUAAAAACAAGUCACUUGUUAGUUCUGCUAGCACUGAUAUUGAUUUAAAAUCAUUUUUGUCCAUUCCUAUGGUGUGUGUGAAAGUGCUAGUUAUUGCAUUAUCGAGAGGAUAAACUUUGUGGUUAAAAUUCAGAGGUAAAAGAGUUUUAAUGAUUUUCAUAUCCCUUAUGGGUGCUGUAUGAUUUGCAACAUACACUUGAUGAAAUCACCUAUAUGAGUGUCAAGUGGGGCCGCUUGCAUGAGAUCUUGGCAAGAUCUCUAUAGCACUCAUGAAUACCGGGCACGCGCAUGGCCUAGUAGCGCAACACAGCGAUAACAACAAGUAAUGUGGGGGUUUAUUGUGAUUGAUAAACCUCUAACACAUACUAAAUGUCUUGGUUCAUAUAGCUUGCUAUACCAACUACACUAUGUGUUAAGUUCAUCAAUCUAAGACUGGUUCAUAUAGCUUGCUAUACCAGUUCUGAUGCAUUACAUCUUAGAUAAAUCCAGUAUUAUUUUCUUUCAAUAUUUCUAUGUUUUAUCUUUUGCAAUAUGUGGGGGAUUGUUGUAAAACAAGAACCUNNNNNNNNNNNNNNNNNNNNNNNNNNNNNNNNNNNNNNNNNNNNNNNNNNNNNNNNNNNNNNNNNNNNNNNNNNNNNNNNNNNNNNNNNNNNNNNNNNNNNNNNNNNNNNNNNNNNNNNNNNNNNNNNNNNNNNNNNNNNNNNNNNNNNNNNNNNNNNNNNNNNNNNNNNNNNNNNNNNNNNNNNNNNNNNNNNNNNNNNNNNNNNNNNNNNNNNNNNNNNNNNNNNNNNNNNNNNNNNNNNNNNNNNNNNNNNNNNNNNNNNNNNNNNNNNNNNNNNNNNNNNNNNNNNNNNNNNNNNNNNNNNNNNNNNNNNNNNNNNNNNNNNNNNNNNNNNNNNNNNNNNNNNNNNUCUAUAAAUACCGCAUUCCAUCCUCUUGUUUCACACUACUCUCACUCACAGUUCUUCAUCCUCUUGAAACCCUCUAUCGUGCUUCUUCUCCUUCUUUUCCAUUCUUCACCUUUUCUUUUUCUUUCUCUCUCUUCAAUAUUUUAUUAUUAUAAUAAUUAUGUGUUCUAUUUGAGUAUUACUCUUUUAAAGAGAAACUUGCUAGUUCUGAUCCUCGAAAAUUACCGGGAAGUUCCUAUUGUAUCCUGAGAAACUUGCGCAAUACACCGCGGAUAAGUCCUUACAGACAGUGAUCACUCACGUCUCAGAAAAUCUUUUGUUCGUUUUAAAGCAUAUUUUACUACAAUAUUUUCUCAACAAUAUAAAAGAAACUAUAUCAUCUUUGCUGAAGGAAGAAAGUAUAUUAUAUGGAAGCAAUUCCACAAAGUAACCCAAAAUUUCACCACACUUUUCAACCUAUGGCCUAAAAAUUUGACACGAUCGAUCUCCAAAAUAUAACGUCAAAGUAAUAGUGCGUUUUCAAUUUUAAGUCCCACAUAAUUUUCGUGAUUUUAGACUUUAAUUACGUUUAUAGUUACUUACAAAAUUUGGUAUUUUUAAUUAAGUGUGUAUUAAUUUGUAUAUUAAAUUUUUUAUAUAAAUUAAAUUAUUGUCUUUUAUUUUUUUAUUAAUUCAAUAAUUUAAUAUUUAUUUCGUUACUUUUCUUCAUGUAUUAAAAAAUAUAAAAUUUUAUAAUUAAUAUAAAAAAUAUUAUAGUUAAUAUAAAACGAUAAGCCUCUAAAGAACAAAAUCAAAUAUUUGCAUCCGUUUAAAAGGUGUCACUCUUUUAAUCAAUAAAUUUUUUAAUGUACAUUUGUUUAUUUAUAAAUAUAGAUUUUACAUAAGAUUUCAAAUAGAUUUACAAGCUUUAAUUUAUUAAAAUAUAUAAAUCAUUUUAAUCAAAUUAAAGUUGACUAAAUCUAUAAAAAUAAUUUAGGUCGAUCUACAUUUUGAAAACUAAAUAUAUGUUUACAAUACUUGGUAUUAGAAAACUAUAAAAUAAUGAUGCCUUAAAAGCAUUUAUUUUAUAUUUAAUAAAUUGUCUUAACCAAUAUUAAUCAAAUAAAUUAUCAACUAUUAAUGAAAUAUUUAGAAUAGAUAAAUAAUAAUUUUGUAAACAUAUUUAUAUAAAUCAAAUUAAAAACUAACAUAUGUUUAAAAUAUAAAUUGUUCGAAUGUACAUGACAAUGUUUGUAAUUAUUAUAUUUUGACAAAUAUAUAUGUGACAACUCAUAUUUAUUUUUGUAAAAUUAAAAAUUAAUAAUAAAUAUAUUAAAAAUUACAAUAUAAAAAAUCUAAGUUAAAUCCAUUUACUACCAGAUGAGGCACUAAAGGAUAUGAAAGGACUUUACAUGGAUAGAUGGAAACCACCAGUUUUUGGGAAAAUGAAAAUGAACAUAGAUGGAAGCUAUGAGUUAUCAUUCACUAAAUAGUCACAGAAAAGUCUAUAAGGAUCAAAAUUCUACGUAGGUCUUUGGCUUUUCUUCUUGUAAUACAUCGAAAGCAGAAAUUUUGGUCAUUUUGCAUGCAAUUCAUGUAACCAUUUUAGAAUAUAAUAACAUGUCCUUGUAUAGCAAAUUUCACUNNNNNNNNNNNNNNNNNNNNNNNNNNNNNNNNNNNNNNNNNNNNNNNNNNNNNNNNNNNNNNNNNNNNNNNNNNNNNNNNNNNNNNNNNNNNNNNNNNNNNNNNNNNNNNNNNNNNNNNNNNNNNNNNNNNNNUGAAUAUAUCUAGCUAGAGUUGAUUAUUUGUUCCUUUGUCACUGUUUCAUCUGGAAAUAGAAUAGGUUUUGGAGGGAUUUCCAAGUCUUCAAUAUCCCCUUCAAGCAUUUCCACUACUCUAUUCAUUGAGGGUCGAUCAUUUGGUUUUAGUUGUAUACACCAUAAUGCAACUAUGAUCAUCUUCUUUGCUAUUUUAUUUUCCUCUUCUGUCACAUCUUCGAUAUCUACAUCUUCCUCUUCCCUAAUAUGAUCAUAGAUCCAAAGGGGAAAGUAAAGUUGACUUGAGUGGUCUGCAUAAGGAUUUAGAUUCUUCCUCUUACUUGCCAUCUCCAUCAACAACAUUCCGAAGCUAUAAACAUCAACCUUAUGAGAUAUUCCUCCAAUAUUAUUAUAAAACAAUUCUGGAGCCAUAUAUCCAAUGGUUCCUCUUGCUGCAGUCAUUGUGACAAUACUAUUAUCUAUCGGAUAUAACUUUGCCAAUCCAAAGUCAGAAACCUUAGGGAUGAAGUUUUCAUCUAGUAAGAUAUUAUGGGGUUUGAUGUCAAAAUGCAAAAUUUGCAUCUCACACCCAUGGUGGAGAUAAGCAAUCCCACGAGCCACUCCGAUUGAUAUAUUAUAUAUCUUUUCAUAGCUUAAAUGUAUAUUUAUCUCUUUUGAGAAAAUAAAUUUAUCAAGAGAUCCAUUGGGCAUGAAUUCAUAGACAAGAGCACGUUUUGAGCCACUAGCACAAAAUCCAAUUAACUGUACCACAUUUUGAUGAUGUAUUCUUCCAAUGGUUGCAACUUCACAUAUAAAAUCUUGUCCAUUUGCUUUGGAUUUGUCUAACAUUUUGAUGGCAACAAAAGGCCCACUGCGCAACUUUGCCUUAAAGACAGAGCCAAAUCCUCCUUCACCUAACUUCUCUUUGAAACCUGCAGCCAUCUUCUUGAUAUCCUUGUAUGAAUAUCUAAUAGGUGCCAAACUAUUUUGUUCAAGGUAAUUUUCAAUAUUUUUAUACAUCGACAUAUGUCUAUUUCUCCAUUUACAUAUAAAAAUAAAAAUUAAGAAUGGCAAUCCAAACAAAACUUUGUAAGCCCAUACCAUUAAAAUAGGUUCGAGAAUAUCUGCAAGAAAUUUUUACUUUGAGUGAUUACACUUAUACUAUAAAAUGCAACAAGAUAUUUGUUAAAGUAAAUGUGGAGUACAUAAUUAAAACAGAGGUAAAUUAAGAUGAUAAAAUAUCAAUUUCAGAAUAUAAUAAAGACUGAGAUAAUAAAGGUUGUGUUGGAUUAGUAUAAAUCACGGGGAAGAUGAUAAUGCGACUGUAAGAAGAAAUGGACUAAUGGUUGUCCAAAUUAAAAACUAAAUUUAUUAUAAUUUUGUUUCAUGUGGAUUGUGUAUAGUUUAUGGUGUAAUGAUGAAAUAGAGACAACAAAACACCGGUUUUGUAAAAUGUAAAAUUAUUAGUAAGGAUAAAUGGAUAGGAGUUGAUUAAGUUUCACUAUUAAUAGUUUUACUCAGUUGACUUAGAGUUGUGGAUUAGAUGACAUGCAUACAACAGGCUCGUUUAAAUUGUGCAUUAUGAAAAAUUUGCAAAAAAAAAAAAAUGUUUAAAUAGUAUGACAACUAAUUUUGGUAUGUAAAUGGAACAUGUUGGCAAAUGGAGGCUGAUUACUCCCUGAUAUUUUGUAUAAACGAGUUGAGUUGGAUCAUCUUUCUAAUGUUUUAUUUAAGUUUAUUAAUUCUUUGUUAAUAAAGAAAAGCAUAGGUAAAUUAAGAUGCAAAAGUUCUUACCUGUUACAUCCAUUAAUAGUUCUUCCAGUAUUCCUGUAUCACCCGAAAACGAAGGAAAAUAUCAAUUUCAGAACUGUUAAUCUCAACAACUAUACCAACUAAAUGCAUGACUUUUUCUACAAGCAGCUUAUGUGCAUGAGUUCUAACUAAUAAUACAGGUAAAAUAUACAAAGUAAUGAAUUAAUACUCAUCUAAAAAUUGAUAGAAUACAGAAGGGUGAAUCNNNNNNNNNNNNNNNNNNNNNNNNNNNNNNNNNNNNNNNNNNNNNNNNNNNNNNNNNNNNNNNNNNNNNNNNNNNNNNNNNNNNNNNNNNNNNNNNNNNNAUAUAUAUGUUUGACAUUUGGUUUAGGAUCACUCACCAUACCCGCAAUUAAGCUUCUGGUUAGAAGAGUCGAAAUAGCAAUCUCUAUAGGAAAGUGAACAAUGUUUCUGACAGGGUAGUUUUAUCCAUGAAAUCUCGAAUCCAUAGGCGAGUGCGGUGUGCAUGGAAGAGUAGGAAUGGUUAUCGAAAGUGGAGAGAGAAGUGGGAGCAACAAGCUUUACCUCACACCCAACUUCUAAGUCCUCUGCUUUUAGGUCUCCACCAAUUGCAUAUGAAUACCCCUUCCCCUCCCACUUCACCCACUCUCCACUCUCCACAUACUUCCCUUUCUCUCCCACCGAAUCGUUACAAUUCACCAACACUAUAUGCGAGAAACUCAGAGAUUCCCAAUUUACAGAGGCUCUUAGACCAGCUUGGUAUGGAUCCGUGUAGUAAGCGUAAGUGUCAGAGAAAUUGGAGCGAGAGAGGAAACGGAGAGGAAGGGAGGAGAGAUUAUGGUGUUGAAGAGCAGGAUCAACCACUCUCACUGUGUAGUUCUUGUAGUUUAUUGACUGCACAUGAUAUUUUGCAGAGUACAGAUACAACACCGUAACAUUAUUCUCACAACCAAGCUCAUACCUUUUCUCACCACACUUUUCUGGGUCGCCUUUUAAUCGAAAAGGGUGAUUGAUGUUGGUGAUUUUACCACAGGAAGAAGGGGGGCAGCCACCAUGGAUUUUAUGGACUAGAAGUAGCAAUAUCACCAUGAAUGCUCUGUUUCGCCACAUCAUGUUCAAAUUAUCAUGUGCAAACAAAUCAAAGUCGGAUAUUGAUAUUUAAAACAGCACAGACUAUCUUUAUGACUAUUAAGGACCACAUGUUUCCUUUUAGAAAAGUGUUUGAGGACUUAUGAUACUUAAAACGUAGACUUUGACUGCGAAACCGCGUUUCUGUUUCCGCAACUCAUUUUAAUCAAUGCAAAAUUUUAAAUAUUCGUAAAGUGCAUCAAUUCUGAUUUAGAUAUUUAAUCAUGUAAUUUUGUUAAUGAUGUUCUUUUGAAUUUCUAACACCUUCCUAAAUUGUUCUUUUUGGAAGCUUAUAUAAAUAUGGUGUUGAAAAAUAAUUUUAAUGAUUUUAUAAUUUUUAUUUUAAAAUAUAUUCAUUGUCUAGUGGUAGUGUAAUACAGUCCAGUGGUUUUGUUCGGACAGUCUAAGAGGUCAUUAUACUGUCUAGCAUUCUCUAGUAGUAGUGUAACACCGUCUAGUGGUUUUGGCCGGACAGUCAAAGAGGUCUUAUAGACCGUCUAACGGUUCUAGUGAGAUCGUCUAGCUCGUCUAGCUAGUUUAGUAACAAGACUAUCUAGCGGGUUUGUUUUGUCUUUUUAUUCUAUUUAUAUGUUUAUAUGUUGUAAUCUUGAGAGUGUGUGUAUCUCAUGCUCUAUUUUUCAAAAAUUCUGGUUUUCUUCUUUUGUUUCUUGCUUUUACGAGUUGCGUUAUCAUUUCAUUAAUUUGUGUUACUAUGCAUUGAUAAGUGUCUAAUUUCAGUAAUAUUUCAUAUUAAAAUAUAGACACUUAUGAGGAUUUUUUUCUAAUUUACAUAAAAAAUAAUUCCUUAUUUAUAAAUUUAUACUUUUUUACAUUUUUGUAUGAUCUUUAUUUAAAUAAGAGCAUUUUAUUCCCAAAUUUGGUGUUAAUUGCAGGUUUCUAGGGAGGAUUGAAGAUUUGCAGUAAAGGAUAAUGAUUUGAGCUAAAAAGAGAAAGCUGGAAGUUCUCAGAAUAGAGAAAAGCGCCGAAAAACCCAAUGUCGCCAAAGGAGUAUCUCACUCAAGCGAGAUAUUCUCGUUGAAGUGAGAAUGCGUCAGACAGAAUGGGCUUUUUUUUAUGUUUUAUCACUUAGCCCAUCAACGCGACACAGGAAGCGACCUAACCCUUGAAAGUUAGGUUAAAUAGGGGGCUAGAGGCUCAACCCUAGUGUGUCAGAUUGAGAGGAAAACACCAUAGAGUGAAUUGUAACCCAUUUGAGAUAAUGGAAGGUGUUAGAAGUAUGUGUGGCUUAUUAUUCUACCCUUUCAAAUUGGGAGUAAUUUGUUCGAACUCUUAUGUAUUGAGAUGAUAUCUAUAUAAUAUAAUAUCCAGUUCUUGAUUGAUUAUUGGUACUCACCUAAAUAACAAUACUUAACAUAUUUGAGUGCUAGAAAUAGACUUGAAAUGUUAAUUGUUAUUAACAUAUGAGUUUGAUUCUAAAUUGUUCUUAUAAAUAUGUGAGGGAUCGAUAUUUAGGGAACAUUCUUAAGAAUUUUAUAUGUGAGGAAUCGAUAUAAAUGACUUUUAUACGGGCAUCAAUUUCAGGCAAAGAACUUAAUAUUAACAUGCUAAUCAAAAUACAUGAGUGAUACAAAUGAAACCCAAUCCCCAUUUUUCCAAUUGAAGCAAUUACUCUUUGAUUUGUUUUCUUGUUAAUUCUUGUCGUUAUAACAAUUUUCAAACCAACUUUUUAUUAUUCUGUUUUAUAUUUAGCGAAUAUUGUACUUGAAUAGUCAAUUAUUCCUUAUGGGAUCGAUAUCCGUCCUUAAGGACAAAUUAUUGCUUUUGACAACGCGGUGCACUUGCCGUAAAAAGUCAUCAUUACGUGUGUAAUGAAUUACCAUUUUUAUUAUGCUAUCAAAGUAGGUUGAAUGACCUAUUUUGCCUCCACUGUUGUUUCUAUUCUUUUUCUUUCUUGCUGAAUAAUUGUUUUCUCUUGUGGACUAUUUUUCUUGUUUUCUUCAUGUAUUUUUCUGAAACAUAAUACAGAUAGCAAGGUUUUGUUCUGGAUCUUUGCAAUAAUCCCUCAAGCUGAUAUUACUUGCAUCUUGGAGAAUAUUUUGGAACUGCGUUUAUCUCUCCUAAACUAAAUGGAGAAAAUCCCUUCGCAUAAAGGGAAAAUUGUGGUAUUAAAGUUGACACCUCUCAUAGUUAAGUUUGAUCUUGUUGGUACUUAUUCCACCAAAACCCUCCAAUCAAAGGUUUGAGCAUUCUGGAGUGCUCAGACAUUCUCAAACAAAUUGAAUAAAGUAUUACUCACAUAGGUAUUUUUUAAUAUAGCAUAUGAUGACUUGUCAUAGUACUUUCCAUCCUCUUCCCCUAAUCAUUGCCAUCUAUCUUGGUUGUCUUUUUGUAAUUGUGAAAAGUUUAAUUCUCCCAAAUUACCAUUCAAACCUCUCUCUUAUCCACUUUUAAGUUUCACUCCUAACAAUUUUGUGACCAACUUUCUAAUUCUCUUACUGUUUUCCUUUACAAUUAGAAAUUGAGAAUACCCUAGGAAACUUUUGUUUAAAGGUCACCUCUCCUAAUCAUCCUUUCAAUAAGUGAUUGAUAGAUGUUAUUUAUUGACUUCCCUUUUCUAAAUGCCCUUUCUGGCAUUAUUGGUAAGUUCUGAUACUAAGCCUUUAAGGCUCGGCUUGAUGCUUAAUUAGUGGGUUGUGUGGCGUUAUAGCUAUAGGUAAGGUUUGAUAUUAAGCCUCUAAAGCUUGGCCUAACAGUACAAGAAAAUCAUGAAAUAGAAACCAAUUUUUAGAGACUAAAAUAAUUAGUUGCAAUAGUAACUAAAUUAGAGACCAUUUUAGAAACUAAAAAGAAAUUUGGUUUCUAAAUUAGUUUCUAUUAUUUUCUAUUAUUGUUAAAUAGUUUCUAAAUUGGUAUCUAAUUAACAACCAAAGUUUUUGCUACCAAAUUUAGAAACUAAAUAAUUGGUAGUUAAAACCUUAGUUGCUAAUUAGAUACCAAUUUAGAAACUAUUUAACAAUAAUAGAAAAUAAUAGAAACUAAUUUAGAAACCAAUUUUAUUUUUUUAGUUUCUAAAAUGGUCUCUAUUUUAGUUCCCAUUGUAACUAAUUAUUUUAGUCUCUUAAAAUUGGUUUCUAUUUCAUGAUUUUCUUGUAGUGUAAGGUUUGGUCGGUGGCAUUAUAGGUAGGUUAUGAUCUAUAUAACGAUAAUUUGGACUGAAAGAGAGCCAAUCCCAGAAAAAUUCCUAUGAUUAUAUAUUUAAUAGAUGAAUAUCGUUUAUGUCUCCUAAACAUUUAAGACACUUUUAAGACAAGAAUAAAAUGUUAUAAAGGUAAUUUUGGCCUUUAAUAAUGAAUAAAGACUUAAAGUAGGACCAAAUACAAGAAAAUGAGAGGAUUAAUAGAGCAUCAAAAGGAUAUACAAGGUCAGAAAAAGGCAAAACAAAAACUAGGGUUGAAUUGUUUUCACAAGAUUUUCGCAAUACUGGAGUCAGAUUGAAAUCUUAAUCAAAUCAACUAACUAAUUUAUCUGUUCAACUAAUUAUAAAAAGCACAACAAGUAUAUAUUCAAAAAUUAAAAACCAGUUGUUACGAGAAUUCAACCAAUUGAUUUAAAUGCAAAACACCGAAAAGCAAUUGAUAAAACAAAUAUCAGAGUAAGAGAUAGAGAGAUUACACAUGAGAUUUAUACUAGUUCACUCCUACACCAAAAGCUACAUCUAGUCCUCAUCAAACCAUUGAGAAUUCACUAAAGCAAACAUACAAGAUUUACAACACACAACACUCUUAACCACACACAAAAUUCACACUAGUGCAAAUAACACUUUUUACAACAUUAAGUCAGUUAAAUGAGAACCGAUGUAAACAAAAAUGUGGUGACAUUUUUGUAAAUAUUUGACACAUAUUACACCAGUGAAGCUAUCCAACCGGUGUAAUAUGUCCUACUUAGAGAAAAAAAAGUAUUUUUAGAUUUUUUAUCUUUGGGAUUACAUAUAAUACCGGUUUAAUAGAGGAAUUGGUGUUAUAUAUCAUUUUCAGAUUAAAAAAACUUGUUUUCAAACAAAAUUAAGAAUGAUUGCAGCGGUAUUAAUAACUAAACUUGAUAAAUGAUAAAAAGUUGAUAUAUAAUCCAUACGACGACUCUGUAUGGGGCAAUACGUAACUGGAAAACAUAUAUAUGGAUCAUUGCAUCAAUUUAGAAAAUUUAGGCUAGAGAACCUCAUAAAAGUUACCCUAUAUCAAGACAUGAUUUCAUGAAUUAUAUUUAAAAAAAAUAGAGAUUUUAUACAGAUACAAACAUCAAUCAAAAUGUGAGAAAACAGCUUUAUGAUAUUUAUUUGUAAUCCAUCUACUAUUUAGUUUUUGAAAAUUACCUCAUUUCUAUGAGACCAAAUUGUCCACAAAGUAGCAAUUCAUAUGGUUCUACAUAUUUGGUUAUGUUUCCUUGUUAGCCUACAUGUUCAUAGGUAAUGUAUUUUAGCAUUUUUGUGGUGUACAAAGGUAAGUCUAAGCGCACACAUAUCCCAAAUUUGUUUUGCUACCCGACAAUUAAAGAAUAAAUUAUUUAUAGAUUCGUCUAAAUUGACACACAAAAUGCAUGAAAGAUUUGUGAUUGGGAUGAGUCUCUUACAAAGAUUAUAAAGAGUGGCAACUUUAUUUUGGAGUAACCUCCAAACGAAUAACAUAACUGAUGGUAAAGCCUUGAAGCUCCAUAAACUUAGAAACACGUUGUCAUCCUUGCCUGCUUCUAAUCGCUCUAAACCACAUAAUUUUGCUCCUCUUAUUAAUUGUAAUAUCACGGACAAAACAUUGUGGCACUAUAGACUGGGGCACCCUUCACAUGAAAGAUUACAUGUCUUACGCAAACAAUACCCUUUUAUUACUAUUGAUACUCAUCAUGUAUGUGACACUUGUAAUCGUGCAAAACAGAAAAAAAACUUCCUUUCACUUUAAGUACUACUGCUACCUCUUCUAUUUUUGAUCUUGUACACUUUGAUAUUUGGGGACCCUGUUCCAUAACUUCUAUGCAAGGUUUUCGUUAUUUCUUAACUAUUGUUGAUUAUUACUCGCGCUAUACUUGGGUUAUUUUGUUGCAUAAUAAAUCUGAAGUGCGUCCGCACAUCAUUAACUUCACUCUUUUUGUUCAAAAUCAUUUUCAAACUAAUAUCAAAACGAUUCGUACUGACAAUGGUGUUGAGUUUGCUAUGUCAAGUUUUUAUGCUUCAAAGGGAAUUAUACAUCAAACAUCUUGUGUUGAAACACCACAACAAAAUGGCAUUGUGGAACGUAAACAUCAACACAUACUAAAUGUAACCAGGGCCUUACUUUUUCAAGCAAAUCUUCCUCCCAUCUUUUGGGAAUUUGCUGUAAAUCAUGUUGUUUUCUUAAUAAAUUAUAUUCCUACUCCAUUACUUAAUAACAUCACUCCUCAUGAACAAUUGUUUGGAAAACCGUAUGACAUUUCUUUUUUAAAAGUGUUUGGUUGCCUAUGCUAUGCUAGUACCAUUACUGCACAUAGGAAGAAAUUAGAUGAUAGAUCUAUCAAAGGUAUUUUUCUUGGUUUCCCGCAAAAUACAAAAGGUUAUAUUGUCUUAAAUUUAAAGUUUUAUCGCAUAGAGAUAUCAAGACAUGUAAUCUUUCAUGAAACUCAUUUUCCAUAUAAAUUGGAUAGUGGCUUGCCUAGGGACUCCAACACUUUAUCUCUCCCUAUUUCUAACGCAUAUAAUUCUGCUCUUGAUUUUUUUCUGAUACUGCACCUCCUUCCGAGCCGUGUGCCUCUACUCCUGCACCUUCUGUCGAGCUGUGUGCCUCUACUCUUGCACCUUCUGCCGAGCCGUGUGCCUCUACUCCUGCACCUUCUGCCGAGCCGUGUGCCUUAUUAUCCUCUGAUCUUCCGGAAAAUAAUGUCUCUGCUCCUGCAUCCAACACUGCACCUCCACCAACAUCAUCACCUCCUGCACCUCCAGGAAGCACCUCACCCCAAUUUCCAAGAAGAUCAACUCGUCCUCACCGACAACCUGCCUAUCUUGCCGAUUUCCACACAGCAACCAACACUAUAAGUAGUAGAUAUCCUAUUCAUAAUUACUCUUCUAAUUUUAGAAAUAUUAUUUCCUCUAUCAAUUCUCAUCCUGAACCUCGCACCUAUACUGAAGCCUCCAAACAUGCUUCUUGGCAAUCUGCCAUGCAAGCUGAGCUUCAAGCUCUUGCUGCCAACAAUACUUGGCAACUUACCCCUCUCCCUCCAGGAAAGAAAACUAUUGGUUGUAAAUGGGUAUAUAAAAUUAAAUAUCAUUCUGAUGGCACUGUUGAGCGCCACAAAGCUAGAGUUGUUGCCAAAGGGUUCACCCAACUUGAAGGACUUGAUUUCUUAGACACUUUUGCACCUGUUGCUAAACUCACUACCGUCCGCCUUCUCCUUGUUGUUGCCACUACCAAAAAUUGGGUUUUAAAACAACUUGAUGUCAAUAAUGCCUUUCUUCACAGUGAUCUCUAUGAAGAGGUAUACAUGACCCCCCCACCUGGUCUCUCUCUUCCUUCUCCCCAGCACGUCUGCAAGCUUCAACGGUCUUUGUAUGGUCUUCGUCAAGCUGGUCGUCAAUGGUACGCAAAACUUUCUACUUUUCUUUUAUCAAAUAAUUACUCUAUCUCUGUUACUGACCACUCUCUUUUUCUUAAAUAUAAUAAUGAUAAACUCACUCUUUUUCUUAAAUAUAAUAAUGAUAAACUCACUGUUAUUCUUGUUUAUGUUGAUGACUUGGUCUUGACUGGUGAUGACACGGAGGAAAUCAAUACAAUUACUGCAUCCCUUCACCAUCACUUCAAGAUCAAAAAUUUAGGUAAUCUCACUUACUUUUUGGGACUGGAAAUUGCUCGCAACAGUACUGGUCUUCAUUUAAGUCAACGCAAGUAUACUCUUGAUCUCCUUCAAGAAACUGGCAUGCUUGACUCUGCACCUGUGGCCACUCCUAUGACUCACACCUCCCGUCUCUCUCCGACCAAGACUCACAAAUCUGCCCUUCAAAUAGCUUCCAAUCAAGUUUUUCAUGAACAAACCAAGCACAUCGAAAUUGAUUGUCACCUAGUUCGUGAAAAACUUAACUCUGGUCUCCUCAAAUUGCUACCCAUUACUUCUGCAAUGCAAGUUGCUGACAUAUUCACCAAGUCCCUUGCUUCCGCACAGUUCUCUACUCUCAAAUCCAAGCUGGGCCUGACAAAUAUCUACUCCCCAGCUUGAGGGGGUGUCAACAUAUUUAAUUUUCCAUUUUAAAUUAUUGGGCUUUGUUUGUUUGGCUCAACCUUCCUUUUCUGUUUCCGCUAGGUCUUAAUCUUUCUCUUAUAUAUACACCAUGUAUUUUACUCUAUAAUAUAUAAGUGAAUAAAAUAAAAGUUUAUUUUAUAUUUAGUUUUCUCUACAAUUAGGGUUUAUCAAAACCUUUUGUCUCCGUUACGACUACGUUCGUUACAUUAAAGCAUCACAUCAGGGCAAGGAAUAUUCAUCUUCAUUUACUGUAAUAAUAACCAAAAUAAAUUAAUACAAUAAAUUAUUAAGUAAAGAUAAAAUGGAAAAAAAAAUAAGAGCAGUUAAGAGGAGAAUAAGAAAUGACACAAUGACCAUAAUACAAUAAUAAAAUUAAAUAUUAAUAUAAGGAUAAAAUAGAAAAAAAAAUUAAGAGUAGUUAAGAGAGGAAUCCCCUUUAUAUAUAGGUAUAAAUAUUACAAAUAAGUAAGAUAACCGUUAUAUCACUGUCAAUAUAAAAAUAAUUAAAACUUAUGGAAUUGAAAGAUAUAAACAUUUUUUAAUACCAUUAAAACAGAAUUUUUUAAUAGAGAUUCAAUUUGAAAAUACCUAAAUUAAUGAGGAGUUUAAAACUUAAUUAAAUCUAGAUUUUAAUUUCACAAGUAUUUUUUUAUAAAUUUAAAAUAUAUACACGUAAGUUUAAUUUUCAUUUAUUUUAUAAAUAAUUAUUUUCUUUUUAUCAUUAAUUUAAUUAAUAUAAAUGUGUGGAUACAUUUAACGUACCAUUAUAAACUCUUCAAUAUAAAAAACAAAGUUGUUGUGACAAAGAAUUUAGAGUAUCUAUUUUCUUGAAAAAAUCAUUUAAUGUAAAAUAUUUGGAUUAAAGCUUACUAAAUAUUACUCUUUUGGUCAUGGAAAAGUUAUGCAAUCCAACACAUGUAAAAUAGAAAAGACAAGUAUUGUCUACACAAAAAUUGUAGAAUGUCACCAUGCAUAUUCAGGUAGAAUAAGUUCAUGAUUCCGCAUUUGCAAACAUUGAAACAAAAUAAUAAAUUUAGUAACCCAUUUGUUCUAACUUUAUAGAUGUAAAAUAUUUAAUAGAGAAAAACAAGUGAAAAAUAUUAUAGAUGUUUUUCUACGUAAAAUGACAAACAAGGUGAAUAUAAAACAAAAUUUUAUUAUAUAUACAUCACUAAAUAGUAUGCUUCACUAAAGGAUCAAUUGCAUGUAUACUUAUACUUUACAUGAAAUAAUUAGGAGAACAUGUUCAAUUCAUUCGAUGUCGAGUUUGUUGUUUCAACAUCUGUACUCAUUUCAUCUAGAAAUAAAGUAGGUUUUGGAGGUAUUUCCAAGUCUUCAAUGUCUCCUUCAAGCAUUUCCACUACUCUAUUCAUUGAGGGUCGAUUGCUUGGUUUCAACUGUAUGCACCAAAGAGACACUAUGAUCAUUUUCUUUGCUAUUAUCUUUUCCUCUUCAGUCAAAUCUUCCAUAUCUAUAUCUUCCUCUUCUUCGAUAUGAUCAUAGAUCCAAAUUGGAAAGUAAAGUUGACUUGAGUGGUCUACAUGGGGAUUUAGAUUCUUCCUCCUGCUCGCCAUCUCCAUCAAAAGCAUUCCAAAGCUAUAAACAUCAGCUUUAUGGGAUAUUCCUCCAAUAUUUUUGUAAAAUAGUUCUGGAGCCAUAUAUCCAAUGGUUCCUCUUGCUCCAGUCAUUGUGACAAUACUAUUAUCUAUUGGAUUUAACUUUGCCAAUCCAAAGUCCGAAAUCAUAGGGAUGAAGUUUUCAUCUAGCAAGAUGUUAUGAGGUUUGAUGUCAAAAUGCAAAAUCUGCAUCUCACACCCAUGGUGGAGAUAAGCAAUCCCACGAGCCACUCCAAUUGAUAUAUUAUAUAUCUUUUCAUAGCUUAAAUGUAUAUUUCUCUCUUUUGAGAAAAUAAAUUUAUCAAGAGAUCCAUUGGACAUAAAUUCAUAAACAAGAGCACGCUUUGAGCCACUAACACAAAAUCCAAUUAACCGUACCACAUUUUGAUGAUGUAUUCUUCCAAUGGUUGCAACUUCAUUGAUAAAAUCUUGUCCAUUUCCUUUGGAUUUGCCUAACAUUUUGAUGGCCACAAAAGGUCCACUAAGUAACUUUGCCUUAAAGACAGAGCCAAAUCCUCCUUCACCUAACUUCUCUUUGAAACCUGCCGCCAUCUUCUUAAUUUCCUUGUAUGAGUAUCUAAUAGGUGCCAAGCUAUUUUGUUCAAGAUAAUUUUCAAUAUUUUCAUACAGUGACAUAUGUCUUUUUCUCCAUUUAUAUAUAAAAAUAACAAUUAUGAAUGGC